CUUUUCCCUCUUUUUUUAAGACCCAGUUUUGAUCUCGGUUUAUAAUUUCUCCCAGAAGCUACACUUUCUUACAAAAACAGAUUUCUGUCCUUUUAAAGGAAUAGUAAAACAGCAAGUGUGACUACAAAGUGUGGGAAAAUAUUGCCCCUUCGUUUCCUCAUCUCUCCCCACCCCCCUUGCCUUCUUUUUUGGCACAGGAUUGACAUGGGACCUAGCAUGGUUAUUAUUCCCAGGACAAGCCGGACCAUUUGCAGUUGUGCUGCGUGACCUGCAUCGAUGUCAGUGGAAGCCACAGAAAGGUAAGGCAAUGGCAAGCAGCUUUCUAUUAAUGUAUGUUGUGCGGAAGGAUCGGGUGUAGCAUGGCCACGUUUCUAAAGGCGCAGGACUUCCGUUGCUUUAGGGCUCUGGAAGCAGGACAACAUUCUGCAGGCACAGCGGUGCAUCUCUGCAACACUCCCUUGGGAGAAGCUACACCUGCUAGGCUAUUGCUGAAAAGUUUUUAGAAGAGCCCCAACCCUGUCCUGGUUGCUUUUAGCUAGACAGUAUUUGCUCUAGGCGAUGAUUAUUAUCUGUCUGCUGUGUGGUGAGCUAGCCAUUAAAAAAAAUAAAGGCCCUGGUAUUUACUGAAACAAUAGAGCGAGGAAAAGACUCGAGCGAGGAUUUUGACUGACUGGUGCUAUUGUUGUUCUCUCCUGCUCUUUGAGGAGCUAAAGCAUGGUCUGAAUAUGGUUCUUGGGCGGUUUCCCAUCCAGAUAGUUUGUGGAGUCUGACCGGCCUAACUUGCACCGUGAGCCCUCAGACAGUUGUUAUCUUUCCUGAACUUAUGAGGCUGAGCAAGAGAGAGAAUCGACUGUCUUGCAUGGGAGCAGGGAGACCAUAGCAGUGGGUACCAAGGUGAUCCAUGGCAGCACCUACAGUUAAAAGGAUCAGGUAGCUGUAGCAGAUGAUGGGGAAUGACCUCCUCUCUGAAACCCUGGAGAGCAUCCUAAUUUUUAUAGACAUUUUGGUGCCUGAGACGAACCACAAAAUGGCGCCUCCUCCUCACCAGGGAAGAAGUGGUAAGUGAACAAGAGGGAUUAACGAUCUACAUUGGGAUAUGUUUCCCCUGUGGAUCCUGCCACCUGAGGCAGUCGUCUCACAUUGCCUCAUGGGUGGGCCGGCCCUGGCUGGGGUUUUCACAGUGACAUUGGUAGCGGCAGGGAAGGGGAACCCAACAGGGCUGCUUUGAGCCAGAGUGAUUGGACAGGACUGAAGGUGGUCACAGGGUCCACCAGUUAACUCCUGCUUAAGAUUUCACCAACUGUUAUUUUAACUUGGUAGUGUCAUGAUGUGUUAAAAAACCCCACUGUUGGGCCAGCCCUUGUUCCGGGCACCAAAAUAAGUCCCAGAAAUUUGCUUCCUACAAGAUGCUUUCAGAUAGAAAGGGACACUCUGGUGUAAAAAGGAAAGGUGACAAAAAAGCUAUGAAUAGCUUCGAGAUCAGAGGUGCACAGGAGGUGUAUCUUUAAAGAGGGGUGUAUCUUUUUAAGGCUGCAAUCCUGUGCACAUUUGUCUGGGAGUGAUGUGAUGGUAGGUUCUCAAUGCACACUGGCGUGGGGUUUCCUUUGUGCUUUGUCCAGAAGCUGUAGUUAGUGAAGCAGAAUGGAAGUCCGAUCUUUUGCUACCCUGUACAGAUCUAACCUCAAAACUCCUUCACGAACUGAGAGCAGUUAAGACUCUGUCAGCACCCUGCUCAAAGAUCCAACAGCCUGUGACUGGGCCAAAUUCAAGAUGUUACAAUUAGUGUAACAGGUGCUUAUAUAGGCUUGGGAGCUAUUUAUUUAAAGGAAUGCCUUGCCCUGUGUGUGCCACCCAACCUGGAGAAGGGGCAGUGUUACAAGGGCCAUAUAAUGUUCCCGUAUUUGCGAGAAAUCAAGCUUUUCACAUGACAGCCCCAAUUUUUUUGGAACUUCCUGCCUAUUGACAUCAUGCAGGCCCCUUCAUUGUACUGUUUUUGACUUCUACUGUUUUUGUUUUUUUGUAUAGGCCAGCCUGCCCAGACAAGGGAUUUUCUUGUGUACAUUUGUAUUUAAAUCGGUUGAUUUUAUACAUAUUCUGAUAAUUUUUAUUAUGUCUAUAUUUUAAAAUCGCUAUUUUAAACGAAUACUUUAUACUACUUUAUGUAAACUGCUGAGAGAUUAUUUUUCUGCUUUAGCUGUUGCUUGGUAGCAUUCAAAGACAGUCCUGAGGUAUUUGUCACCCUGACAAGCUGAGGCAUGCUGGUUCAGAUGACCCUUACUUGUGGUUUGUUGGUUUACCAGAACUUCCUUGACCAGCCUUUGUUGGGUAGCAAACAUACACAGGCAUAGCUAACUAUCUAAACUUAACCCGAGUGUAGAGAAAGUCUUUAAAAUUUUAUUUUCUUAUUCAAAUUCGUGUAAGGACAGUUGUGUCCAGUCUAUCUGUGUUUCAUGAGAGAGUUUCAAGCACACUCCGGAAAUUAGGUUUGCCACAAUUGAAGUGGUUUUGAGUGCUCUGCUGCCUGGCGCAACAAAUACACUUUCUGUAACAACUUUUUGUGCUUAGUAAAGUCAUAGGGGAAAGUUUGGGAUGGUCAAAUGAUUAACAGGAAAACACACAAACAAAUCAGGAUGACAGCUUAAUGAGCAGGUCAUCUGUAGGAACCCAAAAUCUUUGCAUUUGUAACUCUUUGGUUUCGGACAACAUUUUUAGCUUUUUGUCCUUGCUCUUGGAUUGAAUUGUUCAUUCUGUGGCUCUGUCUGCACCAUACAUUUAAAACAGUAUCAUACCACUUCAGACAGCAAUGGCUGUCAUGAAAGAAUCCUGGGAAAUGUAGUUUAUUAAGGGUGCUGAGAGUUGUUGAGAGAUCCCUGUUCCCCUCACAGAGCUACAGUUCUCAGGGCGGUUUAACAAUCAACGCCCAGGGAAAUCUGUGCAUUAUAGCUCUGUGAGGGGAUUAGGGGUCUCCUAACAACUUGAGAGUCCCAUGGACUGCAAGAAGAUCAAACCUAUCCAUUCUUAAGGAAAUCAGCCCUGAGUGCUCACUGGAAGGACAGAUCGUGAAGCUGAGGCUCCAAUACUUUGGCCACCUCAUGAGAAGAGAAGACUCCCUGGAAAAGACCCUGAUGUUGGGAAAGACGGAGGAAGAAGAAGAAGAAGAGUUUGGAUUUGAUAUCCCGCCUUUCACUCCCUUUAAGGAGUCUCAAAGCGGCUAACAUUCUCCUUUCCCUUCCCCCCCCACAACAAACACUCUGUGAGGUGAGUGAGGCUGAGAACCUUCAGAGAAGUGUGACUAGCCCAAGGUCACCCAGCAGCUGCAUGUGGAGGAGCGGAGACGCGAACCCGGUUCUCCGGAUUACGGGACUACUGCUCUUAACCACUACACCACACUGGCUCUCGGGCACAAGGAGAAGGGGACAACAGAGGACGAGAUGGUUGGACAGUGUUCUCGAAGCUACCAACAUGAGUUUGACCAAACUGUGGAAGACAGGAGUGCCUGCCGUGCUCUGGUCCAUGGGGUCACGAAGAGUCGAACACGACUAAACAACAACAACUUACAGCACCCUUACCAAACUGCACUCGCUUACCAGGAUUAUUUGGGGGAAGCCAUGCCUGUUUAAAGUGGCACGGCAAUGUGCUAUGUGUGUAGUGCGGAGGGGGCCAAGGAGACAAAGGACCAAACUACGCAUUAUAUGCAAGCGCAUGUGUGUAAACUCUAAAUAGCUUCAGUAGUGCAUUGUGGCUUUUGGGUGGCCCUGUGAGCAACAGAUGACGAGUGGGAGGGCACAAUCCGCCGCGUCUCCUGAUCUACCACCUCAGCCUUAACAUGGCUUGUUGCAACUUACAACAGGACCACCCCUCUUAAUUUGUUACCUGUGUUGCUCUGUUUGGGGCUCUGGGUGAGGACUGUCCUGUUCUCUUGUAGUGGCACUUAAUUGGUUUUUGGAUUCCUUGCAUUCCACCCCUCCCUUUUAACUGGAACUGAAUUUUAGUACUGGCUGUUGUUUUAUUUUCACCAGCUGCUUCUAGUUGUUAAUGGAUUGUUUGUUGCUACUAGAGUUUUUGGUUUUUAAUGUACUGUGCCUGCUAUCGUUAGCUAUCCCGAGACAUGUCCUUAUGACAUUGCCCUGGAAUUGCUGUGGUACAGAAGCUUCAGCUAGGAGGAUUUACAACCUGUAUUAGACGGACAAGAUAGAGGCUGUGGGAGAGGUCAGAAACUGACCAGGAGUGGUGGGGGAAUCAGGGCAGGGGGGAUCCAGCACUGGCAUUUCCUGCAGCAAUUAUGUGUGAUAUAUGAACAAUGCACAUGCCUCCUUCACCUUCACCUGGGAGCUCUGAGCAGCUGUGGGUUCCUAAUAUAUAAUCAUUGGCCUGUUGAGGCAGAACACUGGUAUUACACUGGUGAGGUCCUGCUGUGAUCAAGAUGGAUCAGAAAGAUCUUGCUAAAGAAGUGGGUCGUGAAAAAACUCUUUGAGAACACAGAGGGCUUGUCCACUCCAGAGCAUAAUGUGGAGUUGAAAUUGCUCAUCCCGUGUUCUUAUUAAGUUUUUGCCGUCCACGUGAUCUGCAUUGCAAAGAACUGCAGUCACACACAUUUCCCCCCCUGAUCUCAGAUUUCCCCAAUUUGGGAACAAUCCGAUUAGUUGUUGAAAAAACUGAGCUCGCUCUGUUGCACUUAGGUAGUGGUAUGCUAUGCAGUGGACAUGAAAUAUACUCGGAGUCCUGUAGUGAUUUCAUGCUCUUUAUUGCAGCUUGUAAAACAGUGAUUGAAUUGCCCCCCAAACCUCAGGCUUUUAUACACAUUAUUUACACAAUGAGUCCUGUCUGAUUGGCUGAUUCUGCUUCCCUCCUGGAGCCUGAUUGGUCUUUUCCUGCAAGCCAAUCAGUUGUUGCAUUCUAGGAUCCUACUUGCCUGUUGUUCUAGGAUCCAAGCUUAGUACAUAACAUUUCCCUGUAGGUGGAGCAAUCCCUUGGGAAGGCGCAGUCCGCUACUGACCACUUUAGCAGCCCUUAUUCUGAUCUGAGCUUUCACCGAAUAUUGCUGACACAUUUUCAAGGAUGUGAUUGCAAUCAUAGAGAAAAAUCGGGGAUGGUGGUAAGUGAUCCUUGGCUGUCAAAUGCAAAUAGACACUUUGAGGAAAGGUGACUAAUUCCAGAGUCUUUUUAGUGUCUGCUCAGGGUUGGCAGUCUUUUACACACAACUUGCCUACAAAAGCGUUCUUCCGUUUUAUUUCAGUAUCUUCUCCCAUUUAUUGCUUUGACGUUGCUAGUUUUUCAGUUUGAGCUGUUGACAUAUAAAUUGGAUGGGGGAAUAAAAGAUGGCACCACACAUUUAAAAGUGCACCCACUGAACGUCGAGCAUCUUCUGUAAUUCCUGACUCUUGUGUGUGUGGUGUGUCUGCCUGCAAAUCCUCUCCAAACAUAUUAUUCCUUGUGGGAUGAAAUUACUUCCUUUAGCAUUGGGGGGGGGGGGAGGAUUCUAACUGAGUUGGAAAGCGCUUUCCUCCCACGGCAUGGACUUCUUCCUGGAAUAAAUUUGAGAUACAGUGAUCUUGAGAAGUUGACUAGUCAUACUCUGAAGUAUGAAGAGAAUGUAAGAGAGGAAGUGGUGGUUGGUGAGUCAGCAUGAGUAAUCUGGUUACAGUGAACAUGAAGACUGGAGUUGAGUUUUCUCCCCUGUUAAUCAUUUCAUUAUUAAUAUUUUUAAAAUGCAAGGAAAUAAGUGAUAUUAUUCCUUUGCUGCUAGCAGUUGCUUUUCAUCAAUCCUUCACAAAGUGGUACCAUCUCUAGAUCAGUUUCAAUCACCUUCUUUCAAAGAACAUGGAGAGAAGAAAAGAGAGGAAAGAAAGAAAGAGAAUGGUAAGCAGCUUUCUUUUCUAUCAUUGCCCAAUUUAGCAGGCUAUGUGGCUUAAGGAUAUACUGGCACCUUAAGAUUUAGCUGCUCUUCCCAGCAUGGUUCAGAAUCCAGUGCAUUCUCAUGUGCAAAGGGUGGCCUUCUGUUGUACAGCAGUUUUCUGACAAUUGAAUUCUCAGUGUUUUACCUUCCCUAAUUAAUCUGCUUUAGCUUUAGAAUCUUACCUAGCUGAGAAAGAGUCUUGCAGACAAAUUGGGAGUGUUGCAGACAGACUGAACACUGAGCAGUGAAGUGGUGCAGAGAACUGACAGUCCUUGGAAAUGGACUUCAGAAUACAGUGCUGGUUGUUGCACAGACCUGCAAAUCAGGAUGUCUCUGAUUUUUGUGGAGAGCCCCUUAUAAUGCUGGAAAAAAACUUUUUUCUUUUCCAUUGCUCUUUUUGUAGCACUAUGCCACAAAUCCAGUGUGCCCUUCCUUAAAUAUACACUUACAGAUCAAGGUCUUCAGCUUCUGUGAGAAGGUGAUGUGAAUAGCUUGUUGCUAUGUUGGGCUGACUACCCGUGACAACCAUCUAAAACUUAGUACCUGAAAAAUUCAGCAUGCAAAAUGCCAAUAAUUCGGGUUAAUGGAAAUGAUUCCGAUGGAUUUGGUGCCAUUGCAGUACUGUAGUUUAUUUUACUUUCAGUGUAUGUCAAUGUGCUGCAAGCUAGGUUUGGGCAUUUGACAAUUCAAAUAACAUUUGGCCAAGUCACUAAGUCAAAUGUUGGCCAAUAAUGUGCAAGCAUUUUUUGAAGCAUUAACCUAAUGUUAGGAGAUAAUUAAUUGUAAAAUUGUGUUAAUUACCAAAAAACCCUCAGUUGCUCCAAUAAUAGUCAGAUUACCUGUUUAGAGGUUUUCAGGUGUCGAAAGUGCAGCCCCUCACAGGAGCUCUGCAGAGCAGCCUACUAGAUCUCAUGCAGGAUCUACUUCCAGGUUCCGCAGCGAGAAGAAUGGUGACAGGGUCAGCCCUAGGCAGCGGCCUUUGCUCUUGCUGACGUCUUCUUUUCCUGUUUGGGAUGGUUGCAAAUGUAGCAGGCAGACAACAAAAGAAGCUUUGUUGUGCUUCUUGGCUUGACCCCUAACACUGCUGUAGUGUUAGGAGGCAAACAACCUUUAGUCUUCCUAUAUAACACUAUAGCGAAUUCUGUUUUAAGAUGUAAGCUGCUAUCUGCAAUGCGGCAUUUAUUUAUCUGAUGCAUUUUUGCACCUACUUGACAGUCAGAAAGGCUCCUGGAGAGCCUUACAUGCAAUCAGUAAAGAAAGGAAAAAAGGAAAGAAAGACAGCCCUUGUCUUUACCAUCUAAAAGAUGCAAUAAUUAAAAAGAAAGAAAGAAAGAAAGUUGGUGAGGAAAGAGGAAAAAAGAGAACUGGGCACCUAUUCUUCAAUAGUAGUUCUGAUCAUGACCAGCUGGAAAGAGAAGCAGUUUCAGGGAGAGGAUGGGGCAAACGUGGCUGGGCUUCCAGCUAAGCCCAUGGGGUGGCCUUGCUUUCCAUCUCACCCGUUGCUGCAACCUGAUGGAAUAGCAUGAAUGCUACCUAGUGAUGGGUGUUAGUGUGUCUCUCUCUGUGUGUAGGCAUAGGCUUGAUGCAACUUGUCUUUCAGCAGAGCCGAUGGAAUGAGUUUGCCAUUGUUUGACAACAUGUGGCUGCAGUCACAGUCUAGGUGGUCAAUAGCAGCGGCGUAGCUAGCUGCUCAGGUACGGGGGCGUGUCCUGCAGCCAGGGGCGGGGCGAUCCACCUGUGGGGGUGGGGCGAGUCUCCCUGACGCUUGGAGCCUCUAUGCUGCCUCCCCCUCAGCUGUAGGGUGGCUGAGGGAGAGGCAGUAGGCAGAUGCAAGUCCCACGCUGCCGUUUCAGGCAGCACGGAACCUGCAGGCACCUAAGCCACCACGUCACUCCUAAAAAGUUUCAUGAGCCCAUUUAAAAAAAACAACCCCAAAACUCAUUUUGUCACUCCUCCCCCUCAGUGAUGACACCCAGGGCAGACUGCACCCCCUGCACCCCCUUCUUCCACCACUGGUCAAUGGAUAAUAUUUUGACCAGCCCAUUAACUUGAGGGACAACUCUGCUUCCAACCCAUGGGUCAUGGGCACCUUAGUAAGGCCACAUUGUCAUUGCAACAGGCACUGUGGGUGUUUUCUCCAAUACAAACAGAUGGCCAACCACCUAGCUUUGUCUGCUUCACAAUUCUUCACCCAAAUGCCUAUUUUUCACCCCGUUUCCAAAUGGGAGUUGAAGGGGGGAAAUGAACACACACACACCCCAAUUUUGAGCACCCAGACCCAUCAGUUCCACAGUUCCACACUGUGUCUUCUGGAGGUUUAGCGGUUUGUUUUCCUCCUUGCCAAGUAGGUAGGCUUUGUAGCAAUUCUAAAUUGGCGAGUCCAGCCCUAAUUGCAACAGCAGUUCAAUAACAUUUUUAUUUGUAUUUGGGUGGCUCCUAAAAUGCUGUCAAUUCUGCCUUUAUAAAAUGGAAGUUCUUGCCAUAUGCUUCCUUGACCUGAGCAAUUAUUUCUCAGGAUGCUUUGAAUGAUGCAAUUUCCUCCAGCAAUAUCACUUAAUUCCUGUUGCUCUCUGGGACCAGAAGUAAACCCAGUUAAGAGGAAAUUGCCUUUAAGGGGACAUUUUGAGGUAAGAAUUGGUGGGUGUGGGAAGAGUUAACCUUCGCACUCACCAGUUCCCAUCUGCAAUUCUCAUCUCAAGGUUACCUUUGUGUAACCUUGAUAAACACAGUAGUUUUGGGAACAUGUGUUUGCAGACGUAGACGUGUUCGUUCCUUGUGCAGCUGUGUUUGUGGAAGCUCCAGCCAUUUCAGACGGAAUAUGCACAGAACUAUCAAUAGGACUGUAGUUUUAACAAGGCAUUAAACCCAACUUUAGCAAAGCCUGAGACAGGGGUCCUACAUCAGCCCUGGGGCACAUUUUGGCCACAAAAUGCCAAUUUCCCAGAAGAAAAACUAUGAUUCACAGGAACUCCACAACAACAGGCAAAACACGCACACAAACACCAAAACAAAUAAAGCACAGAACCCCCCACCCACCCAAUAAAGCAGGUCACACCCUCCACAAAUAGGCAUCCCUCCAAAAAAGGCCAAAAAACCUCAUGGAAAAAAUUGAGACAGACUAGGCCUUAAGGUAUCCUGGUGUCCAUGGGCACCAUGGAAAAAAGAAUCUUCUUUAAAUCUCUUUUAGAUCAAGAGACAAAUAGGAAGUUUCAAAGCUAUGAAGUAAAGGUUAGGUUCUGUGUGGAAAAUCUUUGUACAGUGGUACCUCUGGCUAAGAACUUAAUUUGUUCUGGAGGUCCAUUCUUAACCUGAAACUGUUCUUAACCUGAGGUACCACUUUAGCUAAUGGGGCCUCCUGCUGCCGCCGUGCCGCUGCCGCGCAAUUUCUGUUCUCAUCCUGAGGUAAAGUUCUUAACCCGAGGUACUACUUCCGGGUUAGUGGAGUCUGUAACCUGAAGCGUUUGUAACCUGAAGCGUUUUUAAUCCGAGGUACCACUGUAAAUGAAGCUUAAGGAAUCUACCUUUUUUUCCUUUUUUUGCUUAUUUACAAGAUUUACAUAUCUUCAUUUCAAAAUUCAACUGCCAGACUUCAGGUGCGGGAAACUGAAUCUGUUUUGUUCAGUAGCAGAAGCGGGGUGAGGUGGCAACACUUUCUUGACCUCCCUGCAGUAGCGUCAGUGCUACACACCAAGAGGGACAGUUGGGGGAGCAAGGUGGCGAGGAGGUCAGUUCUGCACCAUCUUGCAAUGCAUAUGGGCUCUGCUGGUAUGUUUGCACAGUGCUGACCUUCAUGCCACCUUGUCCAUCCUCUCAGUACUCAUCGGAAACUCCACAGCCAAGAGGUCAGGAAAGCGCCCACUGCCCCAUCUGCUACUACAUAAAAAGGAAAAACCAAAUCCAUGUGAGAUGGUGGAUGCCUUAGAGGGGAACCUUUUCAUCUUCUGAGGGCUGCAUUCCCUCAGUGUCAGCGUGUUGAGGGCUGCAAUGCAGGUGAUGGGUGGAGCAGGAGCUAAAAGUACCUAUCUCUUCUCUCCCUCUUUUUGCGUUCUCCUUUGUUCUCUUUCCCUCUCCCUUCACAGCAGGCUAUCAGGGGAAGCACACCUGGCUCUUUCCAGAGGUCUGAGCUGAUUGUAUACAGAGGGCUAGCCUUCUCCUUCCACCACUACAGUAUUUUCUGCUCUCCCCUCUCACUAUUUCCCCCCCUCCUAGGGUGGUGCAGUGGUUAGAGCAGGGGUUGUCAACCUGGUCCCUACCACCCACUAGUGGGCGUUUCAUGAUUCUAGGUGGGCAGUAGGGGGUUCUACAGCACAAGCUGAAUCCUCCUUCCAUCAAUCACUGGUGGGCGGUGAGGAAAUUUCACCAUCAAGAAAGAUGCAUUAGUGGGUGGUAGGUAUAAAAAACCCAUGACUACCCAUGGGUUAGAGUGUCAGACUAGGACCUCAGAGACCAGGGUUCAAAUCUCCUACCAGCCACUGAGCUAGGGGACCUUGGGCCAGUCCACCUAACCUACCUCAUAGGGUCGUUGUGAUGAUACAACGGGGAAGGGGAGGAUCUUGUAACGCCAGUCUGAGCUCCUUGGAGGAAAGGUGAGACCUAAAAAGAAAGAAAGAAAGAAAGAAAGAAAGAAAGAAAGAAAGAUCCGUCUCCCCUCACCAUUUCAUGAGUCUGCUCUUGGGCCACAGGUUCCCCACCCCUCCCUUAAGGAGACAUGGACGUUACCAGAUGAGACGAAAUGCAGUCCAGCUUUUUAUGUGCAUUGGGUGAGAUAGAGGGAGCAGGUAAGGACUUCCCUAACUUAUCAGUCACGCAUAAUGUUGGUUUGCAGCGGCGUCUUGCUGCUAAAGUUGCAUGCAGCUCACUUUGGAUUGGAUUAAUUGUCUAGACGUGAGCACAGGAUAGGCCUUUGUUGAGACUCCCAACUACUUUUGUGAGGCGAGAAUAUUCUCUGCUAGAAAAUUCUCCGGAGAAAAUAUUCUCCACAAACUGUAAAUUCUGUGUCAUCUACACAGCUGCUUUAAAUGUACACACCUCAUUAAUCGAGAAUAUUCUCCAAAAGAUUAUUCUCAAGAAUUUAACAUCACUACUCCCAGCUCAAGAUUCAGGUAGGUAGCCGUGUUGGUCUGAUGCAGUUGAAAUAUAUAAAAGAAUAAAAAAAAUUGUCCAGCAGCACCUUAGAGACCAACUAAGUUUGUUCUUGGUAUAAGCUAUCUGAAGAAGUGUGCAUGCACACGAAAGCUUAUGAUGUGAGCUGUAGUCAAUGACAAGUGGAGAGCCCCAGGUUCCUCACCCACGGUGUAGGGAGAAGCGUAGCAAUAAAUGACUGACCCAGAAAUGAUUGCAACCUCAGCUUCAGAAAUGUAUAGCCUCAUCCGCAAGUGAAGACAAGAGUGCAUAAAAAUUACAAUGUCAUUGUAGAUGAAAGCAGAAUUUGAAAGGUGCUGAUUAUCUCACUUCUUACUCACCGCUUUGGUGCCCUUUUCUCUGCUGGAAUUUCUUUCUGUGUAUUUUCAAGUGGAUGUUGCUUACGGUAAAUGAAACUGGGUCUACAUUGUUGAGAUUCACGAGAAGAGACUUCUUCUUUUUGUCGGUGAACUCCCAGUGACCUAAUUUUGGGGUAGGGGGAGUGCUUUGCUGUCGCCUACAUACAGUCACUCUAGUGUGUCAACUUUUGGGGUUAAAAUUAGUAAGCAGCCAUGCUCUUUAAAAUCAGCUUAUCGCUGACAAUGAGCAGUUGAAUUUGCCUCCUUACAAGAGAAAAGGUGCCAUGCUGUGUAGUUUUUUGAAACAAUGCAAUGUAAGGAGAGAAUUAGAUAUUGUGGUGGCAUGAGCAAUAUGUCAGAAUGCAGAUCAUGUCAAAUUCUAGUAAUGAAUUGAGUGUGUGGGGGGGUAACUUUAAAGUCAGGUGGACUGAUUUAAAUCAAUGAUGGCUUAAAUAAGCAAGAAAGGGGCAUAUUUUUUCAUGUAUAGUUUGUAACAGUGAUGGUACAAAUCUGCCCAUUAGACCAUGUUAAUUUUCAAAUAAAUGGAGUACAGUAUUUGCACUAUAUAUAGGCAUAAAGGUAAAGGUAAAGGACCCCUGAUAGUUAAGUCCAGUCGCAGACUCUGGGGUUGUGGCAGUCAUCUCGUUUCUUGGCGGAGGGAGCCGACAUUUAUCCACAGACAGCUUCUGGGUCAUGUGGCCAGCAUAACUAAGACGCCCCUGGCGAAACCAGAGCAGCGCACAGAAACGCCGUUUACCUUCCCGCCAGAGCGGUACCUAUUUAUCUGGGAGCCAGUGUGGUGUAGUGGUUAAGAGCGGUAGUCUUGUAAUCUGGGGAACCAGGUUCGUGUCUCCACUCCUCCACAUGCAGCUGCUGGGUGACCUUGGGCCAGUCACACUUCUUUGAAGUCUCUCAGCCCCACUCACCUCACAGAAUGUUUGUUGUGGGGGAGGAAGGGAAAGGAGAAUGUUAGCCGCUUUGAGACUCCUUCGGGUAGUGAUAAAGCGAGAUAUCAAAUCCAAACUCUUCUCUUCUUCUUCUAUCUACUUGCACUUUGACGUGCUUUUGAACUGCUAGGUUGGCAGGAGCUGGGACAGAGCAAUGGGAGCUCACCCCAUCACGGGGAUUUGAACCGCCGACCUUCUGAUCAGCAAGUCCUAGGCUCUGUGGUUUAACCCACAGUGCCACCUGCAUCCCAUAUAUAUAGGGAUAUGUUUUAUAAAUAAAUUAUGGUGUUGUUGUUUUUCAAAAAAACUGCUAAAUUACCGGUAAUUAAUAACUUUAGUAAAAGGUUUUUAUAUACAUACAUACAUACAUACAUACAUACAUACAUUGGGGGGAGGGGUAUCCCUGCAGGUUUGUUAUUGUUUUCAAGGCAUUUUCUAAGGUUUUGUCUUUUCAAAGUGUAAUCAAGUUAUGCUAUAUGGGCUAUGAAGGGUAUUUCGAGAAAUUGUUAGCAAAAAUGUGUAUAUUAGUCGAAACGGCAUACAAAAAUGUAUUUAUCAGGAGGUAUUCACAUUAAAUGCUGAUGAAUUUUCAUGCAGAUUCCCCGCCCCCCCCGCCCCCAAUUCACAAAUUGUGGUGGAAAUGUGGAGAACUGAAUUUAUGUUGGGUUGGGAGAAAUGAGAAAAGGAAAAACAAACCUGACCAAUUUUGCCAUCCCUAUCCUCUGCCCAGUUCUGCAUAUACAGACCCUCCAAGUGUCCCUAUUUUCCAGGGACAUCCCUGAUUUAGAGAAGCAGUCCCAGUUUCUGAUUUGAUCCUGGAAUGUUCCAUUUUUACUUAGGACAUCCCUAUUUUCGUUGGUGAAAUGUUGGAGGGUACGGAGGUAUCCGACCCCUGAGCUGUCUGAAUGAAAUUCCGUAUACAGAAGGUUUAUUAAAAUUUCCCAUUUUCUGUGGUUUGUUUUUUAUGUACACCAUGUAGAAAUGCAAAUACCAUAAUUAAGCAGCAUACAGAUGUCACGAAUAAGCAAAACAAAAGGGUAAAUGAUGGCAUAAACUGACCUGAAAUUGACUUAACAUACUGCAUGUACUUAAGGGCUUAUUAACAAGAAGCCACAAUGCUAUUUAGUGAACGUAUUUUUCUGUGGUGAAUCUAUGGUAGCUACUAUGACAAGACAUUUCACCAGUAAAAGAGCAGAUAGGUCUCUUGUCAAUGUUAUUGAUAAAACUAACACAACUCACGAGACCGUAAAGUACAAAUUCAUUUACAGAACUGAGGGAAGAUGAAACACUCAAGUGAGAAUGGACAUCAUGUUUUGAAAGUAAAAAAUUACCAGUCUUCAGUCAGAAAUGCCCUUUGGGGGCUAUGCCACAAGACACGAAUGCAUGAUAUGACUAGUUUUCUCACCAUUUACUAUCACCGAGACAAAAGCUUUCUUUUUAGUGCCUUGGAUCAGGAAAUUUGUAUGAUCCUCUUCUCAAAUCUUAGGCUUACGAAUUAGCUUUCUUUUAUUACAUUUAUCCCACACUUUCCCAAAUCGCUCUGAGUCCCAGCUUAUCUCUCAUACAAGCAGUUUAGAGGGACAAAACUGCUUCACUUCAACAGAAGAGCUGUAUCGUGUCCCUGCAUGUCACUACCUCGGCAUUAUUUUGUAAUUUUCGCAGGUGCAAUGGAGCACAGGUCCAGUGGAGGGGGAGCACAGGUCCAAGGCUAUUUUUCACUGCUGGAGCAAUGACAGCAUCUGGGGUUUUUUUUUUGGGGGGGGGGGUUAAAAUGGCGACAGGGGUAAGUCCAGUUGGGUGCAUUGAGACUCCUGACACUGCUUCGAUACCCUCCUACGUUUUCUCACCCAGAUUCACCGGCUUCUCUCUUCUGCCACUGUGGCUAGACCUCAGCCUUCUGAGCCUCCUUGCAGCCUCCUCGCCACGUCUGCCAGAAGUGGCACAUCUCCUUCCGGGAAGUGUAUUUCCUGGAUGUUCUGUGCACACUUCCGGAAGCGUGGCGGAGGCAGAAGCUGCUAUGGCGAAGGCAAGACAACAGAAGCAGGACAUCUGGGAUUUCAAACAAAAGCCGGGGAGGCUUCUGUAAAUCCAGGAUGUCCCGCUCACAGCAGGACUUCUGGGUGCUAUGUGCUUGGCUGCUCUUUAAGUGGCCCAAGAGUGGCGCUGGCAGAAGUGCAGUGAUUGGGUGCUGGACCCCACACUUUGGUUUCUCUAUAAUGUAAGGCCUUGCAUGCCCAUGGCAUUGCAUUGUGCAGAAUGAAGAUGGCUGGCCUCACACGUUUCUUCUGUGAUGAGAUACUGGGCUGCAUAUGUGUACUUACUUGGGGGGGAUGUGUGAGCCCUGCAUUUUUUAUUUUUAUUAAAGAUUUUCUUGAUUUACAAAAGUGUGUACAAUGUCUCUCUCUCGUAUUCCACCCCCCCCAUGUAACAUUUUACAAAUCAGUUUCAUUUGUUGAGACAUUGGGAAGAAAAGGGGGAAAGAGGUGGAGGGGGGAAGAUGGGUGUGGGUGGGGUCGGGUGGCGACGUUUCUGUUUUACUUACUAUAUGUAGGGUUUGGUGUCAGCAUUGCUUUUGCAGGUUCUCUGCUGUUCGCUUGUGUUCCUUUGGUGGUGAGAGGUUGGGGUUGGCCUAGGGUGUGGUUAUUCAUUUGUGGUUGGCUGUGGUGGUCUUUGUUUUCAUGUGUGAGUGGGGUGGGUGGGUGUUUUGCAUCAGGUUAGCCAUAUUGAUUUGUAUGCUGUUGGUGGAUUUUUGUCGUCUUGUUGGUGAGCCCCACAUUUUGGCUUUGCAGAGAAUUGUGACAAUGGAAAAUAUGCUGCUGGCACUUCUUAUUCUUUAUCUGCAUUUACCUUCACAUUGGAUGAGGUCUUUACUAUGGCUCCUAUGUUGGGAAACUGUGUAUGUGCAGCUACUCACACAGAGUCAAUUAAGGUUUGGCAGACAGCCAGAAGGCAAUCUGAAGGAGUAAGUCUGCCUGGUGAUAACAGAGACAUGGAUUGGUCUAUCCUGUCUUGGAUUGGUCCUAUCCUCCCUGAUUGGUCUAUCCUGUCUGCAGCCAAGUCGCCAAUUGCUUCCGUGGAUUCUGCGUUAACUCUGCUAGGUCUGGCUAAGGUCCUGCAACUAGUCAGAAAGUUGCGAAACACCAAAUAGGUUUUACCAAUAUCCUACACCUAUACCGAAACCUGAAACAUUGGAGUCCUUUGCUUCUCCUAGUAAUAGCCACAGAUUUUAUGGGCUACGUACUACCCUGAGGGCAAAUAUCAUUCUGAGGUGCCACUGUCAUCACCAACCUUCUCUCCGCAGUACCUUACAUAGGUUCUACCCUUGUCAAGUGGGUAUGAGGCGGGUUUGCAGUAGAUAGUGCAACCUUAACUCGAUUCUUUACCGAGUUCUUUACUCUUUACUCGAUUCUUUACACUUUGUACUCCCCUUUAUUAUUAUGGGUACCUCCAUAGUCUACUUACUCUUCCUCCAUGAAACAGGCUCAAACAACCCUGCAGGUCUUAACUCUAAUACAGAUAAAAUUCCAUUUCACCCCUACUAUUCCUACAAAUAGGGAUGCGGGUGGCGCUGUGGGUUAAACCACAGAGCCUAGGACUUGCCGAUCAGAAGGUCGGCGGUUCGAAUCCCCACGACGGGGUGAGCUCCCGUUGCUCAGUCCCUACUCCUGCCAACCUAGCAGUCCGAAAGCACGUCAAAGUGCAAGUAGAUAAAUAGGUACUGCUCCGGCGGGAAGGUAAAUGGUGUUUCCAUGCGCUGCUCUGGUUCGCCAGAAGCGGCUUAAGUCAUGCUGGCCACAUGACCUGGAAGCUGUAUGCCGGCUCCCUCGACCAAUAAAGCGAGAUGAGCGCUGCAACCCCACAGUCGGCCACGACUGGACCUAAUGGUCAGGGGUCCCUUUACCUUUAUUCCUACAAAGACCUUUUAGGUGCUUUAAUAAUAUUGUCAUGCCUCCUCUUUCUAACUAUUUUUUUCACCAAAACUUCUAGGAGACCCAGAAAACUUCUCCCCUGCAAACAUUCAAAGUGGCCUGGGGGCAUAUAGAAAACAAGUUCUGGGGUUGAAACUUGUUUUGAAGAAAGGGAGAGGACUUGAAAACUGCCAUUUAUUGCAGUUUAGCAUUGGCCUUAUUAAACAGGGCCUAGCCUUGAAAAAUAUUUCACACCCACUAAUAUAUAUUUUUUACAGUUUGUCGGUCUCUUUCACUGACAGCUUCUGUGGGUGCACUCCUAUCUUGCUCUUGUUCACAUCGUUUCAGAAAAUAUCUACUAUUUAGGAUUCCACAGGGAGGGUGUGCUUAUAUUUCACAACCUCUGAUAUUUAUGCUGAGAUCAUGCAAUGCAGUCUUCUUCCGGAGGGAGCCCUUUCCAUUACUGUCAGAUUGCCCAGGAGAUAUGAGUUGCUGGAUGACUUGCAACUGCUUGCAACUAAAAGGACUUUAGCAGCAGCAGCAGCAACAACAACAACAACAAAAAAGCAAUCAUUUGCUUAUGACGCUGCAUUUAAUUGUAUCACCUGCACUUGAAUAUGCUCUGCUUGUCAAAUUGUCAUCCUCAUCUAAAUUGCACGGUGAGAAAGUUGAGUAAACAUUUUGUCAGCUGGAUUUUCACUCCGCUACUCAGUUGCACGACGGCAGACAAAAUGUUUUCAACAUUGUUAGAGCACAAAGGAAUAUAAUUAAGCACAGCACAUUAACACCGCAAUGUGUGCUUUUAUUAUCCUUUGUUCGGCGUGUCUUUUCACUUUGCCAUCUGUCUUGCUGAAGCUAACUUUCAGUUUAAUUAAACUCUUUCAGAUCUUACAAGGUGCAGCAAUAAGACUAGCAGUGGGUGUGUUUAACAGUCUUAUGCUGGGCUCUUGGAGUUGCUGUGGACGUCAGCAACUGCUUGAAAAAUUUGCCAAGGAUUUUCAGGAUUUGUUCAGGCAAAAAUGGACUGAUUUUAUUGAUCAUUGCAAGAGAUGCAAGUGGCUGCCCAGCGCAUGUUAGGGAUUCUUAGUGUUCUGCUAUGUUAAUUCUGAGUGGCUUUCUGCCCUGUUAUAUCAAGGAAGGUCCAUUACACAAAAGUUAUAAGCAUGAUCUCAACCUGACUAACUGUUAAGAUACCCGUUAUUCUAUUUUCUACUUUGUUCAAGCUUGCAGUAUAAAUGGAUUUAUUUUAUUUUUUUUAAAAAAAACCUUUAAGAAACGAAUUCUUCAAGCAUUCCUACACAGGAUACAGCCACCAGGAAUUUAAAUAUGUGAGCUGGGUCACUAGCUUUUGACUGGGCUGAAUUCCCAUGAGGUUGGUCUGAUCCUGCCUGUAACCCAGAAAGAUUCUUUUUUUAAAAAUAAUCCUGGACCAUUUCAUACUGAACCAUGACAUAGCCAGUAGUUUUAAUGAUUGCUUUUUGUGAUUACUCUUAACGUUUAAUGUUGUUUUUGAUGUUUUCCUAUUUUUUUUGAAUAUGUAUUGUUGUACAUUCCCCUUAUUUUUUAUGAUUCUUUUUUUUUAAAGGAGAAAAAAAGAAAUUGUGAUUCAGUUCCACUAUCAGUGGUCUGAAUUACCCCUAUUGAAAUGAAUUGGAAAGGGAAACAACCAAAUGUAUAUGAUAACUGGGUUCCAUUCUAUCACCAGCAGCUUCUUAAAUAGGGUAGAGAAAACUGAAGCAUUUUUUGUGUGUGUCCUAAAGUUAUUUUGCCACUUCAAGAUCACUUGAAGCUUUCCUUUGUUUUUUUAAUAUGUUUAUUUGUUCAUGUACAAAAAUAAAUAAAUAAAGGGAUUGCAGGGUCUGUUUGGCCCCAGGAAUAAAUUUUACCUGAAGAGUUUAUUAUUCUGCUCCAUGUUGCUAUUUAUUCCUCUUAUCAUUGAUGGUUUGCUUUGCAUAUGGGAUGACGUAAUACCCUGCUACUGUACCUUUGAGGUCUUAGUAAUGGUUGUUACGCUACAAUAAUAAGAAAAAAGAGGGGGGAUUUGUUCCAAGUUUGCACACUUUCAUAGUGCGAACUAUUUGUUUUAGUUUUUUUUCUUAUUUGUGAUUUUCUUUUGGAGGAAAAAGAAAAACUUGCUUCUGAGGUACAUUGGACCCUUUCCAUUAUUUAGUAUAAAUCCACCAUUUCAGCUUGGUACAUGUUGGCUUCUGUUUUUCUUUAACAUUAUGGAGCCUGUGUACCCUGCUUUUUUUGUUUUGUUUCCCACUACGUUUUGGAAUAUGAUACCAAUAAAAUCUGCUUAUGUGAAGUUGGAAUCAUUUUGAAAUCAGUUGUUUUUAUUUUUAGCUAGGGCUUUAAAAGGGGGCCGUUUGAACCGUGAGUGAAUCUGUCAUUUUUGGUUUCUCUUAAUUUUUCAUUUUUCCUAUUUUCAUUUUUCAAAUCAAUUUUAUUAAGAGUUUUCAACGUAUCCUAAAAACAAUAAUAAAACUAAAAAAUGAAAGAAAACAAGAAAGAGAAAGAAAACAAGGAAGAUAGAUAAAAUAAAACAACAACAAUAAUCCUAAUAAAAUACAAAAUUAUAUAGAAAUAAAUAUAUCUCCCUCUAUCACCGUUUUAUAUUAAUCUUCAAUCCACAUACAGAUAUUUUAAUCCUUCCAGCUCCCACCUGGAAGAGCUUCCAUUUUCCUCAAUCUCACACCCUGAGGAAAACCACUCUCGCCUGCAUCUGACUCUGGUCUCUCCCUCUUCUAUCCAGUCUUAAACUCAGUUCUUCACAUUUCUACAUUAGUUUGUGAAUUUCUUAAGUGCUCGUGAAAAUUAUCAGCAUUCUGGUGUUAAUUUUUCCUUAAUAUACACUUCCUGACCUACUUUAGCUUGGGGUUUCUUUUAGUGCAUUUGUUAGGAAUCAGCAUAUAUAUAUAUGAUAUAUAUAUGAUCACAUAUAUAUAUAUGAUAUGAUCACAUAUAUAUAUAUGAUAUUAUAUAUAUAUAUAUAUAUAUAUAUAUAUAUAUAUUAUAUAAUAUAUAUAUUGAUACAGAGGUACCACUGUAUAUAUAAUAUCUAGUUGUUAACUGGGCAUGCUCAGUCUCUACAGGUAGAAGAAAUUAUACGUAACACUUGCAUGGCCAUCUUGACUGUGGGUCCUGCAGAACUUCCUGCCUGCUUUGUUGGCCUUUUCCCAUCUGGCCUGGAAGGGCCUGGUCCCCACAGAUUUCUGCUACAAAAGCUACUGCUAGAGACCAUCUUACCCACAAGUCCAGAAAAAUAGGCUGCUCAGGAUGCCUAGAGACCAUCAAAGUGGGGCAGGAAUUAAGGGCUUCUGUUUGGGCCAAGAUUUAAUUUUGAUGCUGUGUUGUUUUUGCUGUUUUGUAUUCUGCUGUUAGUCCUUAUAUUAUUAAUUAUAAAGGGGCUGUUUAAUUUAAUGAAGGAGGUGCUUUCGUUUACUUAAUGAUUAAAUAAGUGUUAUGUUUUGUGCCUCGUGAAUUACGUAUUUUUUUCUGUUGUGAGCCACCUUGAGCAUGGCUUACUAUGGAAAAGCGGUAUACAAAUCAGUGGUAAUGAUGAUGGCAUUUGUGAUCAUUUAAUAAUUCUCUUUCUUUCUUUCUUUCUUUCUUUCUUUUGUAAAAAAGCACCAAAUAUUUAUUUAUAUGAGGACCUCCGAUCCAAGUUUCUUACAGGCUCGUAUCUGUUUAUCUUCAUUGUGGCAAUGCAGAUGUUCUGGAUCACUCACUUGGCUCAAAGUCCACAAUUCUAUGGUUAUCUCUCUCUCUCUUUGAGACCUGCACAGUUCUUUCUGUGUACAUUUCAUACGUGAUGGGAUGGUUGGAUUCAGAGCCUUUUUGGUGGUGGCUCCUUAUGUUGGGGAGGUUCACCUGCAAAGAUUUUAGAGAAAUCACAGGCUUUUAAAGAACUUUUAGAAACUUUGAAUUUACUUUUUAAUGUUGAGACUGCUGUUGCCAUUCUUUCUUGUUGGUUUCUACUGCUGUUCUGCUUUAGUUUUGGAUACUGAAGGUGCAGAAUAUAAACGGUGCGAGUGAGCGAAUAAGAAAAUAAAUGGUGUGAAAUUGGGUGCGUCAUGGAAGUGUAAGCAAAGUGAAGCUUUGGUGCAUCAAAAUAAACAUCUUUUGGAAUCUCAAGCAUUCUUAUUUUAAGGUCUUCAUAGAAAUGUCCUGCUCUUCUGCUCUUUCAUGAUUUUUAAUUCUGCCAACAGCCUAAAUUUCAGCAGACUCAAAUAAAUUUUGCUACUUCAAGUGCAAAGAGUUUAGAAGCCAAGAAUAAAGGGUUUUGUGUGUUUAUGUGUGUGAGGUUUUUUUUGUUUUUGUAGCAUACACCUUUGCUUCAUGGUGAGUUAUUUAUCUUGGACAGAAAUGCGGCAGCUGUUAUAGGUCAAAAUCAUCGUAAUGAGUUAAUGAUCUUCUCCGCUUUUUGGCUGCUGAGAAAAAAACUCGGUUCCCUCUGAAAUUUUGUACUUGAGCUCCCUGGCUACCAGGAAUGAGGUUGAAGUGUUUUGUUUUGUUGCAGCAGUAGAACAAAGUCAUUAAGCUAGUCGCCAUUCAUCACAUCUUGUGGCUGUCAAUUCCUUAAGUUAAAUAUGCAAUGGUUUCCUUUCCUUAGCCAUCCUAAAACAGCCCAAUAAAACACAGUCAUGCACGUGUUUUAAUUCAUAUGUUAAAUUGUAUUUGUUAAAUUUAUAUCCCAUCCUUCUUCCAAAGGACUCCACGGUAACAUGAUCAUGUGAAAUAGUGUUCACUUGCUCCAGUUUGGAGACGGAGUAGCGAUUAAUCUAUUAUUUUAGAAAUAAUAGCAUAGGGUUUUAAUGAAUGUGGGUCUCCUUUAGGUCAGGAGUUGGCAACUUUAAGUAUAUGGGGACUCCCAGGCUGUCACUGUUUUGGGGCAGGAUUCAAUCACAAACUUGCAAAUUUAGGUUGUGCAAUGAAAGCUGAACAGAGCUCUUGUACAACAACAAACCCAUUGACUUUUUACAGUAAGGAAAGUGACAGGACAGUUUGAGAUAACAGUUGCUUGAUGUAAUGGCCUAGAAUCUGCCCUGAAAACAAACUGAUAAGUAGCUGGCAUUAUCUAAACUCUGUGCAAAGUUUGUGCAAACAAAUGAGGAUGAACGCUCAACAAACAGGUCAUCUGGAAUCGGCCUGAGCCUCUGGGGAUUCAAGAGGUCAGGUGGCUGGCUGUAGUUGUCAUUUCAGCUGCGUAGGCUUCACCGUGGAGCAGGAAAUUCCACACAGAUUCCUGUAAGACAUCAGGAAGUCUUUGAGUGAAUGUGUUACUAUAACAUUUUCCUGUUGUCCGUGAGAGUGGGUGGGGUAGUCAGCGUAGUGCCCUCCAAAUGUCUGUUUCCACCAACUACCAGCAGGCUCAACCGGCAGAAAUGUUGUUGGUCAGGGAUAAUGGAAGCUGUAUUCUGGCAGAAUCUGGAGAGCACCCACAUUGGCUACCGCUGUGUUGCUUUAUACUGAGAGCGGCUCUUACUUCCCUAUAUGGGGGACAAUGGGCAUUUUAACAUUGAAGCUAGGUCACUGAAGACAUCUCUUUCUGUGCAGUACUUGAAUAGGUCCAUGAAUGGUCUUUUGUAUACUACAUCUUGAUUUAUUUUGCAGCAACGUUCUCAUAAAUCAGUUGAGGCCAAUGAACGUGCCCUUAGGCAGCAAGACGUCAAAAAUAUAGACCAGUUGGGGGGAAAACAGCUGCACUUUUCCUAGAUUUUCAAUUUCAGGCUGUAGAUAACGAGUUGCUGCUGGAAUGAAAAUAAAUGACAAAAGUGGAGGAGACCUGGGUUGUAUGAGUAAAUGCUUGUGACUACCUAAAGCAGAGUUUCCCAGAAUUGGGUCCCCAGCUGGUUUUGGACUACAAUUCCCAUCACCCCUGAUCACUGGUCCUGCCAGCUAGGGAUGAUGGGAAUUGUAGUCCAAAAACAGCUGGAGACCCAAGUUUGGGAAGCACUGUCCUAGAGGGUUCCACUCCCCCCCCCAUUGGCAUUUUGUAUUAUGCGGUCUUGAGUAAUAGCACCAUUUUAGCAUUUGUAGAUAAACCAGUUCCCCACAGCACCAUUUUAGCAUUUGUAAAUGGACCACAAGAUGUAGUGAUGGCCCCCAACUUGGGUGGAUUUAAAAGAGGGUUAGACAUAUUAAGGGAGGACAAGGCUAUUGAAGUCUACUACUCACAGUGGCUGUGUUGGAGGCCUCUGAAAAUCCAGUUUCUGGGAAUCACAAGCAGGGAGAGCACUGUUGUACGCAAAUCCUUCUUGUGGGCUUUCCAGAGGCUGUGGCGCCAACUUGAACAAAAUAUUUUUUGAGGGGGCCACAUCACACUCCCUCUGAGCUCGGGACUGGUCUGGCAUGCCCUCAGGAAGGCACAAUGAGUGCAGGCGUUCUGUCACAUGCCUCUUGCCAUCCAGGUGCCUGCCUCUCCUACGCCCAAAGCCCACUGGCCAGGAAGAAGAAGAAGAGAAGAGUUUGCAUUUGAUAUCCCACUUUAUCACUACCUGAAGGAGUCUCAAAGUGGCUAACAUUCUCCUUUCCCUUCUUCCCACGCAACAAACACUCUGUGAGGUGAGUGGGGCUGAGAGACUUCAGAGAAGUGUGACUAGCCCAAGGUCACCCAGCAGCUGCAUGUGGAGGAGCGGAGAUGCGAACCCGGUUCCCCAGAUUACGAGUCUACUGCUCUUCACCACUACACCACGCUGGCUCUCAGUGUGCUCUCUCAAGAGUGCUCAGUGGUGCCCAGGCUGCCACUGUGGUAGUUUGGGAGUUAUCCCAGAGGGGGCCGCUGUCCCUGCCGCAGGAAGGCGCCACCUCCGUUGGCUCGCCGGUCCAUGUCAAGCUCUACCUGGAGCUGAGCUGCUCCAUGCCAAGCUACACAGAGGGAGGAAGCACAGGAAGGAGAGAUGGCUAGCCAGACGGGGGGCAGACAUCCCCCCUUGUUCCUCCUGGAGACAAGCCGGAAACAGAGGGCACUGACAGCCCCCAGGGGAGGCAGCAGACCGAGGAAGACAGGUGGGUGGGGGGAGGAAAUAUUGAGGGGAUUCUGCCCCCAGAAGAAAAUUAUUGGGGGGUCCCAAUGGGCCCCAGCCCCCUUGAGUUGGUGCCUAUGCCUAAAGGCCUCUGGUUUUGUCACUGUGAGUACAGGAUGUUGCACUACAUAGGCCUUUGACAUGAUCCAGUUCUUGUGAUCUCAGUAAGGCUGUUCUUGAAUAUUUAAGCCCUGCUUUGGGGGCUUCAGGAAUUUGAAUUAGUCAUGCCAAGAAUCACCAACUUGCUAUGUUAAUGGGACCUGGGAUUUAUUAUAUUGCUGGGGUUGACUGAGAAGGCCGGGUUCUUCCUCCCCAUCCUUGCCUGAGUCAACUCAGUUGUUGUUUUUCUUCAAAAAUGAAAUCUUCAAAGUUAAUCCACAGGUGGUGGGAACUCUGAGUUACGCAAUGUGACAAAAAGCCAAGUAGUGAGGUUAGGCACUCUGUAACCAACUCGUCCGUUCAUUUAUAGCUUCUGUAGAAAAGCAAAACAUGGCAGUGUUCCUUCCCUACCCAAACAGUAAAAACCGAUGAGCCAUUGCACCAGGCUUGAAGCUACAGCUGUGGGAAGCAUCAAAAGCUUUUACCACUUGAAAGUUCUUGAAGCACUACCCAAGGAAAAGGUUGCAGGCAAGAGCUAGGUGCCAGAUAAGAUCCACAAGUGAUAAAGGCUGGCUGUUUUUGUUAAACUGGUAGAAGUGGCAUCUUUCGAAAUUUAAAAAAACGGGCUUUCAGCGGAAAAAGUUGUCCUAACAUUAUGGGAGAGGAGCAUUACUUAAAUAUAAGUUCAAACAAACAAACAACAACAACAAUAAGCAGACCCUCUGAAACCUGUGUGACUUAAAGUUUAUGGCUCAUGGAUCUUGUAUGGCUAACAAGACAGUCCUAACCAUGUCUUCUCAGAAAUAAAUUCUACUGGAUUCAGUGGAGCUUAUUCCCAGAUAAGGGUAGUUAGGAUUACAGCAGCUUAAGUCUAUAUCCAACCCUUGGACCGUACCAUUUGUUGGUUAGAUUUUUCACUGAAAAAAUCAACUAAACGGUUAAUUUUGCCUAUUGAUUGUGCAGCAGAAUUUCAGGCUUGACCCAGGAGUGGAGCUGUGGCUGGUGGCGUUGGGCCGAUUCAGGCUCCAAUGAGGUUGCACCCCCUCAAAAAAUGCACCCGGAGCCACUGCCCCCCAAUACUAUACCACUGGUGUGCAGAAUGUCUAGUAUAAUUCCACCCAUAAUGCAUUAUUACUUUGUCAGUAACAUGUUGCAGAAUGCACUCACAAAAAACUGGAGGGCCCUGACCUGAGACAGUGCUCCAAAAAGAGAAGAGAAAAGGGAGCUUCUGACUUAAAACAGUCGCAUGAAAUGUGCUCCAGACUUAAUAUGCCCUCAUUUUACUAACUGCCACCAAUUCUUUCCCCUGCAUUUCUGUAAAAUUGUAGCUAUCACAUGUGCUCAAAUUUGUGAAGUUGUUUGUCUCUCAGCAUCCCCAACCCCCGGCAGUAGCUUGUCCUGCAAGUAGAUUAAGAAAGAAUGAAAAAGUUACUAUCUGAUUUGCCGCAGAAAUCACAUUGACUCAUUUGGUGCCUCUCGGGUCCUCCGGCCCCCGCGGAGAAAUUCCCAGCAUACAACAAACCUGAAACCUUUUGUCUGUAAAUUUUGGCAAAACCUGAAAUCUUGCUUCAUUUUUGUAGCAAUGUGUAAAAUGUACAGCAUCUGUGGUCAGGCUCAGCUGUGUCUAUUCAAAUGCUACUUAGCUGGUUUAAGACCAGAAUCCUAGAAUCCUUUUGCUAACUGAUUAAUUACCUAAAUUGCUAAAAUGGUAGUUUUGCUUAAUAAUAAUAAUAAUAAUAAUAAUAAUAAUAAUUAAUUAAUACUCCUGAAAUAUUAGGUCCAUUUAUAGGUCCAUUUAUAGGUUUUGAUCUCUGGCUUGGGCUCAGGUAAACAAGGCUGUUGGAUGCCAGGCAUGUUAAGACCUACCCGGACCCUGAUAUCAUCUUCUGAGGCCCUUCUUCGUGUGCCUCCUCCUUGAGAGGUCCGGAGGGUGGCAACACAAGAACAGGCCUUCUCUGCAGUGCCAACCUAGCAGUUCGAAAGCAUGUCAAAGUGCAAGUAGAUAAAUAGGUACCACUACAGCGGGAAGGUAAACGGCGUUUCCAUGCGCUGCUCUGGUUCGCCAGAAGCGGCUUAGUCAUGCUGGCCACAUGACUUGGAAGCUGUACGCCGGCUCCCUCAGCCAGGAAAGCGAGAUGAGCGCCGCAACCCCAGAGCCGGCCACAACUGGACCUAAUGGUCAGGGGUCCCUUUACCUUUACCUUUAGGAACAGGAUGGUGAUAAAACGAAGGGCUGUAGGUCAGUGGCAGGGAGCCGAUAUGUGCAAGGGUGGAAUGGGGUGUUUCAAUAGCACACCAUUGCACACCCAGAACGUACCCCCCCACACACAAAUUGUGGGUUGCCAGUAUGCAGAAGACCCCAGGUUGAACCCCUGGGAUCUCCAGGUGGGACGAGGAGGGCCCACUGGUCUGCCUUGGUAUAAAGCAGCUUCCUAUGAUACUCUUACACACCACCGCAAUCUCAAUGAGAUUCCAGAGGUUGCAGGCAUGCUUCAACUCAGGGCCUGUGAUUCCUUUUUGGGAAUAAGGCACAGCAGAGACUGUGGUGUCUUUACGAUAUAUGGUUUAUUUGCACAUAUCUGAGCCGACUGUGAAGAGCUCUCUUUCCCUCCUAGCUGCCAUGUUGGAGCCAAAGCUGCCAGCCCACUUUCUGCUCUCACCCCCCCACUUCCUCCUUACCAAACUGCUUGCAAAAAAAAAAGCCACUAAUUUUCCUCUUGCUUAAACCAUCCCCUACUGCCAGUUCUGCCAAAUUCCACCCUUAACUCUCCUUUUUUGUCUUUCUAACUAACUGACUGUUGAGGGAAGGAGCUCCCCUCGCAUUUGCCUUCAUUGUCUCCCUAAUGAUCCAUCUUCAUGGGUGAUUUCCAGGACACAGGAAGCCAGCCUAGGUAGCAUUUUAACAUGCUAAAUCCAGGGGUUCAGUCUUUCUCACACUAGCCUUAAAUCCCCAAACCUUGAUCUGUUCUAACUUUGAUUGGACCCAGGAAUUUAGGGGGAUCUGCCCCUCCCCCGCCCCAGCAAACCCAUAAUAAUACUUUGCUGGCCCAUCGGAGAUCUUUUUAUAUUAUAAUAAUAAUAAUAAUAAUAAUAAUAAUAAUAAUAUCUUUAUUGUCAUUGCCCCCUUCGGGGACAACGAAAUUACUUGACUGCUCCAUAAAAACACUAAUUAAUCAAUACAGUAUAAUACAGCAAGGGAGAUUAGAUGACUUUCAAAGUCCGGGCUUCCCAUAUUGGGCUAAAUUAUAUGGUGGCAAUAGACAGUGGUGUGUGUUUCAACACAGGACUUACCCCAGCCACAUAGAAAAGGGGCAGGGGAGGGAGUGGAGAGUCAGAUUUUAAAAGCAACAAUGGAUUUGUAAAAAUGUUACAUGGGAAAAAAAAUACGAGGCAUUACACUUACUUCUGUAAAACAAGAAAAUCCUUAAUAAAAUAUUAGGGGGGGGAGCAACAUUUGAAAUGCACAAUGUUUUCCCCACUUGCAACAUGUGUAUCCCAUCAUCCCUUCUUUUGGGGCCACUUUCAGAGUUUGAACUCUUACAUUCUACUUUCUUAGGACUGAAAUGAACCUCCCAUGUCCUAUCCCUAAAAUGUAGAUAAGCUCUGUAAAUGGUUUCUCUACAAUUGAAAGGUAUUUUGGAGGCAGGAAUUGGGUGCAAGAAUUGGGCAUGUCUCACCUGAAAGAUACUGCUACUUGGUGCUGUGACUGCAGUUUCCCACCCUUUCCCUUCCCUGGUUAAAAACCUUUCUGCCUAAUCUGCCACCAACACUGUCAGCCAAUGGCUUUCAAUAUAUAGACAGCAGCAAAGAAACAAAAUUUGUUGCACCAGAUGCUUCUUUGUCUUAGUAGAAACAGUUCCAGCCCAAAGUCUGUAGGGGGUGUUAUUAAUAAAGGAAUCAUGUUAGAGAGCUGCUGCUUAAGUUUUAAAUUCUGUUACGUUUUAGGCUGUUGGAGUUAUAAAAGCGGCUGCGUGCAUAUAUUUAUGCCAGGUUUUCACUAGCACAUGUCGGGGAGCAGCUUGUAUCUAUGUUAAAUUUUUAAUUUUCAUUUCCAGUUUGUUCUUUGAGGGAUUGCACGGGGUUUUCAUGGUUUUUCUUGAAAGAGGCACGCUGAUAGUUUGCACUAACAGCAAGUGUUAGUUAAUGCCUGGAUUGUAGGUAUCUCAUACAUGCAGUGGCGUAGCGUGGGGGGUGCGGGGGGGCCGGCCGCACCGGGCGCAACAUCUGGGGGGGAGCGCGCUCGCACUGGCAGCUCUCUGAGUGCUAAAAUCCACGGGUUAGGGGGCGCAAAUUACUUGCCUUGCCCCGGGUGCUGACAACCCACGCUACGCCACUGCAUACAUGGGAUUGUCAACAUACCAGCUAUCUGACAAAGCACUAUGAUCACAGGACAAGUAUAGUAUCUGGAAGUACUUCACCCAGACGUGCAUUGAUAGGUAGGCCUGUUUUGUAGAAAACUGCAUCUUCAUAGGGUCAAAAAACUUUUUUUAAAACAUCUGAUUGCACUGGGAGGUUUUAAUUCACCAGUUGUGAAUUAAAUUGUGAAUUAAGUUGUGAAUUCUUAUUGCACCUAUUAAAGCUUGCAUCUUGAUUCAUUUGAAUUUUUGUUGGAGCUGAAUUCUGCUGGUGUUUUGCUGGAUUGGACAAAAAAAACCCAUUUUUUCUGUUUACUGCUGUAAUUACAGUAUAGUGUUGUUGUUGGUUCUGUAGUAGUUGUAAGUAGUUGAGUAUGUAACUUGUGAACCCACUAUUGAGUGGAGUAAUUUAAGAAAGGGGGUGUACAGUAUAAACAAACUUUCCUUCGCAUAAGCAUUCCAGUUUAUUCUAUUUUUUUUUAUUUGUUUAUUUACCUUUGUCCUUUGGGCAGAAUGUAACAUGGAAGCCAGGGAGAGAACAACUCAAAAUUCACACACUGAGAAAUGCUAUCAUAUUUGGUAAUACAUUUUUAUUCCGAAGCCUGCCAUUUCUGUUGCCUCUUAAAAUUAUUGAACAAAAGGACAAGGAAGGGAAUCAUAACUCAGUGACUCAGCUGCUGCCAGUCAACACAGACAAUUCUGGGAAGAUAAAUAACCUGGCCUGGUUUAAGGCUGCUUCCUAUGUUCUUAAGAAAUUGGCUCAAUUCAGGCAUCAUUGUUUACAACCAUAGUAGAACCGUUGAACUUUGAAUUGUACAACUAAAAAACCAUGGUAUAAAACUGCUUGUCUGCUGUCACCUCCUGUACUUUCUGUACUUAGCCUUAGCAAUAUAUACCUAGUUUGCUGGUCAAUCCCAGACUAAAUCAUGCCAACUGCACUAAGGUUUCUUAACUAUGCUUUGACACGAUGUCUGAAUUGAGCCCUUCUAUUCUUUAUGAAUAUAUUAUGUGUUCAUACCUUUGCUGCACUAUUUGUGGGAUAACCAGCCUCAUAUAACCAACAUGCUUAAGUCUAAGUAAUGCAGACUUGGCAAGGUAACCUCUUACCUUGGAAGGAAAUGGGUAUUCAAGCCUGUUCGGUUUUGGGAUGUUUUUUUUUGUUAAGUUUUAUUGAUCUUCAGUGCAUAAACACAAUUAAUAAGAGUUCCCCCCAUCUUAACUUACCCCCCAAUCAAGCCUAUUGUUCAACCCACAGUCUAAUUUGAUAAAAAAAUACAUGUGCUGUUUUAUAAGUCAAAUCAUAGCAAUCCAUCCUGAUGAAUGGGAUGGAGGUGUGAGAUAGAUCACUGUCAUUUGCAUUGUGUGUGGAACGGGGAAUCAUUGCGACUUCUGCUUUUAUGGCAUGUUUGCUGACAGCCUUGCUCCAUUCAUGCCCACGUUCCUAAGUCUAUUCUCACUAUAAUUAAGGAGCUUUAGUUCAGGAUUUGCUGUAUUGUAGAUGAAUGUUUUUGAGAAGUGCUAACUGUUAGCGGAGUGCCAUAAAAUAUCAGCUUCGUCAUGUGAUUUUGACCUUGCAAUUAUCCUGCCUCCUAAGCUGUGUAAACAGAACGUUAGUUCUGGGCGGUGCCCACAAUGUCUGGUACGGCAUGUUUUCUUCAUUGCUAGAACUCAAAGGUCUUGAGCUCCUGGGGUUCUUUUAGGGACAAAGUUCAGGCAGGGGAUUUUGAACCUUUGGGCGCCAAGGUUGGCUAAAGUCAAAGCUUGGUCAAUUCUCUUCUCUUUAUACACACAUGUCCUCAAAAUUCCCAUCCUAAAAAAACAACCAGGGGGACAAUUUCUCCAGCAGGAGGAGAAAUUUUAUAACCAUUUGUCAGGAUGCAGCUCACCAUGAGUAUAGAUAGUAGCAUAGCUGCUUUCUUUUUUCCCUAAGGUCUUGCUUUGUUUUGCUUUGUCACUACACCUGUAACUCUGUAGGUAACCUGGCCACCCUUUUGCAUCCUCCACAAUUCCCUGUGCUUAGCAUCAUUCCAGGGCAUUGUGGGAGGAAAUUGGAAGCUGCUACAAAAAUAAAUUAAAAUGGUGGGGGAUAUUGAGAGAAAAUUCUGUAAGUGGUUAUCUUUUUCAAGGGAAGUGGGAACAAGAAACAUUUCUGAAAUUUUCUCAGAAAAGUAACUUAUGAGAAAGUGUGGUUGGGGCUUGCUGAAGAGGAUGGAAUACAUCAGGAAGUUAGGAUAUAUAUAUAUAUAUAUAUAUAUAUAUAUAUAGCAGCAUAGGAUGUGAGAGGUCACUAGGUCUCAUGCCGGCAAGAUCCCUGAAGGGCCUCAGACAAGCCACUAUCUCUCUGUCUCUGCCCUACAUCUACAAUGUGGGACAAACAGCGCUAGGUGGCCUGGUUAUCAGGAAUAGACUGAUAAGGUACACAAAGCACUUUGAACCCUGAAAGCACUAUUUAAAGUGUUUUCAUGUUUCUUAUUUAUUACCGUAUUUUUUGCUCUAUAAGACUCACUUUUUCCCUCCUAAAAAGUAAGGGGAAAUGUGUGUGCAUCUUAUGGAGCAAAUGCAGGCUGCGCAGCUAUCCCAGAAGCCAGAACAGCAAGAGGGAUUGCUGCUUUCACUGCACAGCAAUCUGUCUUGCUGUUCUGGCUUCUGAGAUUCAGAAUAUUUUUUUUCUUGUUUUCCUCCUGCAAAAACUAGGUGCGUCUUGUGGUCUGGUGCGUCUUAUAGAGCGAGAAAUACGGUAAUUCACAUAACCUAGGAACUACAAAAGGAGGAUAUGGAAACACGUAGAGCACAGAAUCCUUGGUCAAAGCCCACAGAAGUAAUACAAAGCCAUCACUUGGCUGCGUAUGUACACUGCAUGGGCGUAGCCAAGAGCGGGCAGGGAGGGGCAGCUGCCCCCCCAUCAACAAAAAUACAUAGCUAACUGAGGUUCUGCCCCCCACUAACAAGAAUCCUGGCUACACCCAUGGUACACCCACAAUCUCUCCGGUCAAGUUCCAGGUUGACUCCGCACUUACAAAUCUCCUUUUCCUGCUGCUUUCCUUGGUGGCUUUGAAUGUUAAAAUAGCAGGGGAAAGCAUUCAGGGAGGAAACUUGCCUAUCUUCUGCCAUGCAGAUGGUUUUAAGUUUGGGCAUGAAAUCCUCUUUUUGGAGGUCGCCCUAGCAAAAUGCCACUAUAACGUUGGAUCCCAGAUGCUGGGAGUCUCCCUUUAACUACUGGCCUUGAGGCAGUAGAGUUGCCACACUAGCUCUCGUUGCAAAAUGGAGGUGUGUUUACACAAAAACUAAAGAGCCUAGAGUAGCAACGGGCUUCCUGAAGAACAUAUGUGCCUCCUUGAGCCUCCCAUAUGGAGAGAGUGCAUCUGAUAAAUAGAGUAAAUAAUAUUCUUGCACAUGCCUUCAAGGCAUGUGUUGCAAUAUUCCACAGGAAGGAGUGACCUGUCUGCUUCAUUUCCUUUCAUGAAUCAUGACGGCAGAAUGAUGAUUCUCACCAGUGGUAGGGCAAGACGCUCUUGUUAUCUCCCUUUCACUGGGAGUGUUUUCACUUAUUUUUCUUUCUCACCCCUACUCAUUGCAAAACACUGGUCUUACCCACAUAUACGAGAGUAAAGCUUUCUUUAGCGGCUCAUUUCAUUUUCUUCUGCUUUACUUUUUUUGGGGGGGGGGGUUUGCAUGAGCUGGGUCUUUCCUGCACGUGAAUGAAGAAUUGAAGUUCCGACCAGCUGAGGGCAUUACUAUUGCACCAGUUUUUGAAAAAGGGCAUGUAUUAAUUGAUCACUUCAACAUGAAGCACGUGUGUGAGCUGAGAAUCUAUAAAUUGCAUAUUUAACCAACCUGUAGGCAUAGCUUACUCUGUCCUCAGAACACGGGGCUUUGACUAUGGAGAGCUCCUUCAGAAUAUUCCAGCCCCUGCCCAGAGUUCCUAGCUUUUUUUAAACAAAAAACACAACACCCAGUGUGAUGGGAAGAUGAGCUGCUUGUGCGUAAAAUCGUAUUCCCUCAGAGUUUGUUCAAGUCCACAAACCUCUGUCUGUGACGGAGCCCCUCUGACAUGGCUCCUCUAGUCACUAGAAGAUUCCGACAGUGGUUGCUUUCGUAAUCGCUUCCAACAUAAAAGCUCCUUAACGGAAACACGUCUUCUGGACUCUCUGCGUGACAGUUUCCGGCGAGGAGUGGGUGUCCCUACAGGAGGUCCGGAAACCUCACCACUGUUUUCGCUGGAAGUAUCUCUGAGCCAUCCCCCAGCUCCCUUUCCCUCAGUUCAGCUUCUCUCCCCUGCUGGUUUCCUCUUCAGCUGCUGAGUCUCUUCCAACCUGUCUGAGCCCUUUCACCUCCCUCAGUUCAGCUUCUCUCCCCUUGCUGGUUCCCUCUUCAGCUGCUGAGUCUCUUCCAACCUGUCUGAGUCCUUUCACCUCCCUUCCUUCCGAUGGCAGUUCCCUGACAUCCACCUCCCCUCCAGGGCCCCCUUCACCCCCUCUCGCCCCCUCCUCUACGGGCGGUGAGGAGGCAAACCCCGGAAUGAACUUCCUUCAUCUUCCGAUGUCUCGAACACUUCUCUCCACCUGUUGCGGUUCCUGGUCUCGAAGCACUCCUCCUCCUCCGAGUCCAUCUCCCCUUCCCCUUCCGAUUCUGGGAAUCCUUCCAACUCCUCCUCCUCCUCAGUGGUCCCAAAGUAUUCCCUCCGGAACCUCUCCACAGGCUGAGGUUUCCUCGGGAACCUUUGAUGGAACGUUUCUAUCAAUACCUCGUCAUUGAUAUCUUCGGCCAUUACCCACGUGUUUUCUGACUCCGGUUCUCCUUCCCACGCUACCAAAUACUCCACCUGAUUCCCCUUCCACCUGGCAUCAAGGAUUUCUGCCACAUGACUGCUGCAUUCUCUUUCUUCUAUGACCGGUCCCCGAGUGGCCAUCCCUCCUCGUCCCCCCUCGUACGGUGACAGUAACGACCUGUGAAAUACUGGGUGCAGUUUCAUGUGGUUGGGUAACCGGAGCCUGAAAGCCACUGGGUUGACCUGUUGAAUGACCUCAAAGGGACCCAACCUCCUGGGUCUUAAUUUCUUACAACCUCCUUUGAACGGCAACCCUCGUGUUGACAGCCACACCCUAUCUCCAACCCUUAUGGUUUCACCUUCCCUUCGGUUCUUGUCUGCCUGCCUCUUGUAUUCUUCCUUCGCCCUUUCUAAGUUGAGUUGGAGCUGACGGUGGAUUGCUUCCAUUUCUUCUACAAAAUGCUCGGCUGCCGGUACGCUCCAUCUCUCCCCUUCUCCCCUAGGAAAGCCCUGGGAUGACACCCAUAAUUAGCCAAGAAGGGGCUCAUCCCUGUGGACACAUUCUCGGCAUUGUUGUAGGCAAAUUCCGCCAGCGCCAACUUUUCUACCCAGUCAUUCUCUCUGUCAUUGACAUAACACCUCAGGUAUUGCUGGAGGACACCGUUUGCUCUUUCCGCCUGCCCGUUGGUUUCAGGGUGCCGGGCAGUCGAAAAGUUGACCUCCACCUGCAGUAAGCUCAUGAGCUUCCUCCAGAACCUGGAAGUAAAUUGUUUUCCUCGGUCUGAGACCACCCUCAAUGGCACCCCGUGCAACCUAAAAAUGUGUUCUACAAAUAACUUCGCUGUCUCUUCCGCCGUGACUGCAUGCGAGCAAGCUACAAAGUGGCACAUCUUUGUUAGUAGGUCUACCACCACCAUGAUGGCUGUUUUCCCUUUGGACUUCGGCAGAUCAGUCAUAAAAUCUAUCGACACUGCCUCCCAAGGUCGUUCUGGUGUUGGUAAGGGUUCUAAUAGCCCCGCCGGCGCCCGCCUUUCCCCUUUGGCUCGCUGGCACUGCUCGCACCCUCUUACAUACUCACGUACAUCCUCCCUCACCUUAGGCCACCAAAAUUCCCUGGUGACCAACCACAUGGUUUUGUGUUGCCCAAAAUGCCCGCCGUGGGGCUGUCAUGCAACUGCUUGAGUACCCUCCCCCUUAAGUCUCCUUCAGGGAUAUACAGUGCCCCUUUGUAAUACAGAGCUCCAUUUCUUUCCUCGAAACCCCUUGAUUCCUCUCCCUCAUCCCUAAGACCCCUGAGCUUAUUCUGGGCGUAUUCAUCAUUCUCUGUUUCUUCUACCAGUUCUCUUUGUCCCACCAAUGCCGCCCCACACACCCAGCGGUCCUCUGGAAUGACAUGUCUCUCUUCGGGUGCUCCCUCCCCUCCAAAUAUUCAGGUUUGCGUGAGAGAGCGUCCGCCCUAAUGUUCUCUGGGCCUGGCACGUAACAAAUCUCAAAGUUAAAUUUGGAGAAUUCCUGGGCCCACCUCACUUGCCGUUGGUUGAGCACUCGUGCCGUCCUCCAAUACUCUAGGUUCUUGUGGUCAGUGCACACUUGCACCUUAUGUUGUGCGCCAAUUAGCAGGUGCCUCCAUUUCCGGAACGCCUCAUGAAUGGCUAGUAGUUCUCGGUCAUACACCGUGUAGUUCCUCUCGGAUUUGUUCAGCUUUCGCGAAAAAAGCACACGGUCUCCACUCUGACUCCUCCUUCCCUGGCUGGAGAAGCACCGCCCCAACCGCUCUGUCUGAUGCGUCAGUUUCCACUCUCAUCGGUUUUUGUAAAUCCACAUGCAGGAGCUGUUGUUCCGAGGCGAAGGCCCUUUUAGUUCCUCAAAUGCUUGCUCCGCCUCCUCCGUCCAAACGAACUUCUUCUUACUGCUGAGACAGUCCGUAAUGGGCGCCGUCAGGUGGGCAAAGUUUGGGAUGAACUUACGAUAGAAGUUCCCAAAUCCUAAAAACCUCUGCACAUCCUUCCUUGUUUUGGGUGUUUUCCAUUCCAGUACCGCCUGGACCUUGCCGGGAUCCAUGGCCAACCCCUUGUCAGACAGGCGAUACCCCAGGAAUUCCACCUCCUUGGUAUGAAACUGACACUUCUCCAGUUUCACCCACAGCUGGUUGGCUUGCAGCCUGCUCAACACUUCUCUGACGUCUCUCACAUGCUGCUCCUCAUUCUCAGAAUACACCAACACGUCGUCUAAGAAGGCCACACAAUUCUUGUAAAGCAACGGCCCCAGGACGUGGUUCAUAAACGAUUGAAAUGUUGCGGAGCCUGCUUGUAGACCGAAGGGCAUAACUAAGUAUUCAAAUGCCCCUAAAGGGGUGAACAUGGUGGUUUUCCAUUCAUCCCCUUCCUUAUUCGUAUCAGGUUGUACGCCCCUUAGAUCCAGCUUGGUGAAAAUCUUUCCCUUCCGCACCCUUGUCAAAAUGUCGUCAAUCCUGGGCAUCGGGAAGGCCACUGGUUCUGACACUGCAUUUAAGGCCCUGAAGUCACACACCAGUCUCGGCUUGUUCGUGUUUUUUUGUCCACAAAAAACACUGGGCUGCCCCCCACCGCCCUGGACUCUCUGAUGAACCCUCUCUUCAGGUUCUUGUCAAUGAACUCUCUUAGCUCCUGCAUCUCUCUGUCUGACAUGGCGUACAGCUUGCCCACAGGGAGCUGUGCCCCAGGGAGCAAAUUGAUUUGACAGUCAAAGGCUCUAUGCGGUGGUAGUUGGUCAGCUUCCCUUUCGCUGAAGACGUCGCGGAGAUCUGCGUAUUGUCGUGGUACCUUCACGUUCUCCGUUACUUCAGUCCCUGCUAGGGUGGCUUGGGCCCCUGCCAAAACCUUUCCCUCUUUGCAGUGUUCUAAGCAAUGUGCUGACCCAAAAGAAACCACUCUUUGAUGCCAGCCCACCAGCGGAUCAUGUAACGCUAGCCAGCUCAUCCCCAAUAUAAUGGGAGCUCCUCCCAAGGUGGCCACAUUAAAAGCUAUUAGUUCGGUGUGCCUUGCCACCUUCAUUAUCAUUGGGACGGUCUGCAAGCUGACUUCUCCUCCCAACAGCUCCCUGCCAUCGAUCGUGGUUACCUGCAGGGGUUGCUUAAAGGGAGCGUCUGUAUCUGGUGUUCAGCUGCAAACUCUUUGCUCAUGAAAUUGCAGGAGCUGCCUGAGUCCAACAGCGCCUUUAUCUUUAGAGGGUGUCCGUUUGGCAGCUCUAGUGUCACUUCUAUCACUAGGGCGGGUUUAGGAGGUUCUGGCGUGGGCACUUUCACUGCUCUUUGGCCUGGCUGCUGUGCCCCGACAAUGGCAGCCAGGCGUUGGCUUUUAGUUGCUCCGGUAUUUGUCCUCUCUUCCCUCCACAGCUCCCACCAUCCCUUGCCAUUCCUUCCUCUGGGGGCAGACUCUGGCAAAGUGCCCUGGCUGUUGGCAGAGAUAGCAUUUCCGGGCGCCUUUUCCCUCCUUUUUUCCCCCCUCACUGGGCUUUGAAACUGCGCGCGCGCGCGCUGUUCCGAUUUCCAUCGGCUCUGCCGGCGGGAAAGUUGGCUCUGGAAUGUCUGGAAUGCGGAACUCCUUCCAACGUUCCCCUUUCCCUUCCCGCCUCUCCAGUGCUCUCGCCUCCUGGCGCGCUCCUAUGGCCAGCGCUGAUUUGGUCAGCUGGUCCAUAGACUCCGCCCUGGGCGCCCGGGAAAGUUCAUCUUUCACAGCCGAAGAAAGCCCUUCUUCAAAGAGCAUUUGAAUGGGUUCCGCCGAUAAGUCCCACCCCAAUCUGUGUAUCAGCAUGGUGAACUCAGUCCAGUACUCACGUACAGAUCGGCUCCCCUGUUUGCAAGCCAUUAACUGUCUGCGCACCACUCCCUUUUCAAUAUCGCUGGAAAACAUCAGAUCCAUGGCGCGAAAGAACUUCAUCGUGUCCUUUAGGACGUCACUAUGCGCUGCCAUCAGGGGUCUAACCCAGUCUCUCGCCCCUUUUCAAGAUGCCCAAUCACAAAGCCACUCGUGAUUCCUCAUCAGGGAAAUCAUCAAACUGCAGAUUGAGGGCAUAUUGCAUUUCUGUCCGAAAGCUAUGAUAGUCUUUGGGCUCCCCCCCAAAUUUCUGCACCAAUCCUGGUACCUUUCUGGCGAGCUGGGUGGCUUUCUCCCUUUGUCUGCAUCUUGAGCCCUCCUCUCCUCCAGCCUCGCCGUCUGCAGCGCCAGCUGGACCUCCAACACCCGGUACCUUUCUUCCAGGCUUGGACCCGCUCCAGCCCCUGCUUCUCCGGUUCCUGCUGGGUUGCUCAUUAUGCCUUCUCCUGCACAAGCUGCGUUCAAAGACUGUCGGAAUGCUGUGAUGGGAAGAUGAGCUGCUUGUGCAUAAAAUCGUAUUCCCUCAGAGUUUGUUCAAGUCCACAAACCUCUGUCUGUGACGGAGCCCCUCUGACAUGGCUCCUCUAGUCACUAGAAGAUUCCGACAGUGGUUGCUUUCGUAAUCGCUUCCAACAUAAAAGCUCCUUAACGGAAACACGUCUUCUGGACUCUCUGCGUGACAGUUUCCGGCGAGGAGUGGGUGUCCCUACAGGAGGUCCGGAAACCUCACCACUGUUUUCGCUGGAAGUCUCUCUGAGCCAUCCCCCAGCUCCCUUUCCCUCAGUUCAGCUUCUCUCCCCUGCUGGUUUCCUCUUCAGCUGCUGAGUCUCUUCCAACCUGUCUGAGCCCUUUCACCUCCCUCAGUUCAGCUUCUCUCCCCUUGCUGGUUCCCUCUUCAGCUGCUGAGUCUCUUCCAACCUGUCUGAGUCCUUUCACCUCCCUUCCUUCCGAUGGCAGUUCCCUGACACCCAGUAAGCAUUUUUAUUUAUGCAUAUUUAAGGGAAAACGUCCAAGCAAAAUUCUGUUCAAUUUCUCAGUAAGAUAUAAACUUGGUCCUGACUUCCACUGUGCUGACAAGAAGUAUAAAGAACCUAGGAUAAAAAGCUAGCUUUCAUUUUAUUAAGGGAAUUAAAUAGCAUUGAUUAAAGCAUGCAUUUAGACGUUAACCUACAUGCAUUUAUUUCGCACCAUCCUCCAGGGCUGAGGACCCCACCACAACAGUAGUAGGCCCUGCUGAAAUCGCGCAGAAGUAAGUGCCGCAGUGCACUUGUGAUUCCCAGCAACAAGCAUACAGAGGCAUACUACCUUUGACCUAGGUUGUCAUGACUGGUAGCCAUUUAUAUCCUCUGAGAAUUUGUCUGUUACUCUUUUACAGCCAUCCAAGUUGUUGCCCAUCACUUCAGCUUGGGGUAGUGAAUUUCAUGUCCUGACUCUCAACAUUUAGCUCCCAUGUUUGCCCCUGUGCUCUAGCAUUGUGAGAAAGGUAUAAACAGUUUCCCUACAUGGGUGUAGCCGGGUGUAGCUAGAUCAAGUAAAACAGUUGUUGUUGUUGUUUAGCCUUGUCCGACUCUUUGUAUCCCCAUGGACCAGACCACGCCAGGCACUCCUGUCUUCCACUGCCUCCCACAGUUGGGUCAAACUCAUUCUGGUAGCUUCGAGAACACUGUCCAACCAUCUCGUCCUCUGUCGCCCCCUUCUCCUUGUGCCCUCCAUCUUUCCCAACAUCAGGGUCUAUUCCAGGGAGUCUUCUCUUCUCAUGAGGUGGCCAAAGUAUUGGAGCCUCAGCUUCAGGAUCUGUCCUUCCAGUGAGCACUCACGGCUGAUUUCCUUAAGAAUGGAAAUAAAACAAAUAGAACGGAAAUAGAAAAUAAAUAGAAUGGAAAGUAAAACAAUAGAAAUACUUAACUAACUGACCAAUCACUUCGGUUCAGCACGCCCUAACAAAAGUCCACCGAGUCUUGCCUUCUCUAACAAAAAUCCUGACUACACCCAUGUUUCCCUGUUAUCGACGCACCAUACAUAAUUUCACACCCUUCUAUCAUAUCUCUUCUUACUAAAAGCUGCAAGGGGAUUAUUUCAUCCCCUUGGUCGUUUUCUGUGUCCUCCUGAACUUAUUUCAGCUCUGCAAUAUUGGCAGUUCUUUUUUCAAUCCCUUUCCUCAAGAUUUUGUGAAAAAGGCAAAUUUCCUAGCAUGGGUCAGCAUCUUAAUUGAGCUAGCCUCUGUGACUCCAAGGUCUGGUUCCUGGUCAGUCAUUCCUAGUUCAAAUUCUAUUUGCAUAUAUUUUAAGUUAGGAUUCCCCUCCCAAAUGUGCAUCGAUUUGCACUUGUUUACAUCAUGCAUUUCCAUUUUACUGUCUAUUCACCCUGUUUGGAGAGAUCCUUUUCGGAGCAGCCCACAAUUCCUUUUUGUUUUAACCGCUCUGUGAGCGAUUCGGUGUCAUCAGCAAAUGUGGUUACCUCACUGCUCACCCACAAGUCUAGAUCAUUUACCUUGCCCACAACAUGCUUGUUGUGGCAUAUACACCCGUGUAGACCACUCAAGGACCCAAUCACAUUUUGCACCCUAGUAAAAAAAAGCUACAAUAGUUUACAAAGUUUUCUUCCAGAGUAACACAUGGUAGGGUGAUGCUAAAUUGUACGUAAAUAGCAUAAAACAACAACAGCAAAACUGUAAAAUGCUUCGUAGAUUGAAAAGCCUCAGAGAUGCAACAAAAUAAUAAUUUUGAAACACUGUGAGGUCUGGCUGUAGAAAGAGGGUGCUUCUUUUAAAGUACAGGCGCUCUGAUCUCAAAACUCGACCCUACUCUGCUGCUCAUUACAAUAAUUCUUUUUAAAAAAUCACAUCUUUUUUGAAGUUUUCUGCUACCUUUUUCCUGGUGGUUUACGUAAUGUGAACCCUACAGCAAGAGCACAGAAUAUCCACAGGCUUCCUGAAGGAGGAAAAUUCAAGAUGCUGUUAUCUAGUGAACAUUGUUCCUAUUUUCCUAUUUCAUUGCUUUAAAUAAUUUUAAAGUGGUUUUAGCAUUAGCAACUUAUCAUUAGCUUUGGCGUGUAAUGCCUUUGAAUUUGUGUGGGUGUGUGCAGACAUUUGUACCUGAAAGAGAGUUCUCUCUAACUUGAAAAGCAACACUCCCAACAACAGUAUUGCCUCAUUGUGUGGUUUGGCUUUUGUUCUGCAUCAGGAACCUGACUGCUACAUCUCUCUGGCCCAUUUGAGGAGCCCAUAAAGUAAAAUGCAAAUUAAAUGUUAAGUAUCUACCAAGAAUACAGUCCUUGACACCUUUCUUUUAACAUUAACAUUAUUUUAACAGUAUUAUGUUGUAAAUUCAAUUGGAAAGAUCUAGAGCUGCCCUAGGGCAGACAUGUGUUUGUUUUCGUAACAAUCAAGGAUCCAAAUUUUAUUUCUUAAAAAAACUUGAUAGCAGGACCUUUAAAACCCACACUUAUCCACACUUACAGUUUGCCCCUUUCUUACCAGGCACAAGUCUGCACUCUAAAGCUCCAUGUCCAAGUAUUUGCUUUUUUUUUUCUUUUGCUGCAGAUCUUUCCCUGCAAAAACCCAUUCUUUGGCACCGAAUAGGAGCAAAUGUUUAUUUGGGUUUUCCGCAUAUUGCUGUUUGCUCCGAUUGAACUUUAAAGAACUGGCUUUCACAGGGAAAGCUCUGGCGGGGGUGCGAGGUUGGAGGAGCUGGGAAGGCAUUCAAGACAUGGACAUUUAAAAUACAGACCUGUGCCUGGAAAGAGCGGAGGAAAUGUGAGUGUGGAUAAACCCAUAGAUUUAGAUAUGCAUAAUACUGACUGCAAUAAUAAUUACUGCUAAUGUGUGUCUUUUGUUGUUCCAAACAACAGAGCUCCAAACAAUCUAGAUUGAUUGUUGUAAAUACUACCAUGUAUGUAAAUUUUUAGUGUACUGUAUUUUAAAUAUCGUGCUGGGAGUACUAUUUUCUGUCACUUUGUCUUACUGUCAACUUUUCAUAUAGGGCAGUUUUUGUACUUGUGCCUCUAUGCCUGGCACAAAACAACUGUGUGGUCAGAGUAUUUUUUGGCAGAUGUUAUUAUAACUGUUGCCCUUUGUUUUGUGGUGUGGAUGUGCAAUACAGCUAGUAUGAGGUUAUGUGGUGUGUGCAUUUUCAGAAGCGCUUCACUUUCUGGAAAGAGUAUAGGUCAUUUGCUUUAUAGCAAAAACUUUUAAGGCAGCUAUGGCACGGAUGAAAUACAAAGUUUGUGCAGAGAUUUCCCAUAUACCUUUAAAUUAGAAGCUGAACUGGGAGAUAAGGAAGCUGUGGUUUUCCCCACACACAUUUCCCUUACCCACUGCCAACCCCAGUCCAGACUUGCUUUCACCUGUAAACAGAAAGGAGUGAGGGGCAGGGCAUAAUGGGUCAGAGAAGCCACAGAUUGCUUCAGCUGCUGAUUCAUCGGUGAAUUUAAUGAAAAAACUCCGAAUUGCAAUGCAGCAGUCUGUUUGCAGAAGGGAGCAUUAGAUUACCAUUUUGACAAAACUGCUAAAAUUUAAUAUAAGCGAUGUAUUUUAUUGUAACAGAUUGAGAUUGAAUCCUGACAAGACAGAAGUACUGUUUCUGGGGGACAGGAGGCGGGCAGGUGUGGAGGAUUCCCUGGUCCUGAAUGGGGUAACUGUGCCCCUGAAGGACCAGGUGCACAGCCUGGGAGUCAUUUUGGACUCACAGCUGUCCAUGGAGGCACAGGUCAAAUCCGUGUCCAGGGCAGCUGUGUACCAGCUCCAUCUGGUACGCAGGCUGAGACCCUAUCUGUCUGCGGACUGCCUCGCCAGAGUGGUGCAUGCUCUGGUUAUCUCCCGCUUGGACUACUGCAAUGCGCUGUAUGUGGGGCUACCUUUGAAGGUGACCUGGAAACUACAACUAAUCCAGAACGCAGCAGCCAGACUGGUGACUGGGAGCGGCCGCCGAUACCAUAUAACACCGGUCUUGAAAGACCUACAUUGGCUCCCAGUACGUUUCCGAGCACAAUUCAAAGUGUUGGUGCUGACCUUUAAAGCCCUAAAUGGCCUCGGUCCAGUAUACCUGAAGGAGCGUCUCCACCCCCAUCGUUCUACCCGGACACUGAAGUCCAGCACUGAGGGCCUUCUGGCGGUUCCCUCACUGCGAGAAGCCAAGUUACAGGGAACCAGGCAGAGGGCCUUCUCGGUAGUGGCGCCCUCCCUGUGGAACGCCCUCCCACCAGAUGUCAACAACUACCAGACUUUUAGAAGACAUCUGAAGGCAGCCCUGUUUAGGGAAGCUUUUAAUGUUUGAUGUAUCACAGUAUUUUAAUAUUCUUUUGGAAGCCGCCCAGAGUGGCUGGGGAAGCCCAGCCAGAUGGGCGGGGUAUAAAUAAUAAUAAAUUAUUAUUAUUAUUAUGUUGUUGUUGUUGUUGUUGUUGUUGUUGUUGUUGUUGUUUCACCAUUACAAGGGCUUUUCUUACCUUGCAUGCAUUGGGAUUUUAAAAUUCAAGACAGGCCUGUAAAGACAGUAGGCUCAUUUCUGUUUACUUUGGGAAAUAGAACUUCCUGAAUAUGCUAAAUCACUGACCCUGUUAAUGGAAGAUGCUUUACACAUUGCUUAUGCUAAAGCAGAGGCAGCAUUUAACUGUCCUAAGCGAUGUCAUGAAGGCUUUGUGUGUUCGCUUGUCAGUAUGCAGGACAAUGUAAACAGAUUCAUAAUGACUAAAAAGGAAAUGAGUGGGGGUUACUAAAAGAAACCACUGGGUUUUUUAUAAUGCAUAAAGGAAGAUCUAAUUAAUAUAAACAGUGCUGUGCGUCUCUGAAAUGUGAAAUAUGUACUGUAAUUCAGGGCUCUUCUAGACAGUUGCUGUUUGGGGGUGGGAUUUUGCAGCUCUUGAACAAAAAACCUGCUUCCCCUUAAAGAUGGGACGUUUUAUGAUAAGGAAACUGAUAGAGAACUGCACUGGAAAGUUUGGGACAGCACCUGCUUGACACAAUGUUGCCUAACCUCCCCACAAACAAAUAAGAAGAAAUGCUCGAUAAAUGUGUUGUCUGGAAGCAACCUCAGAAACAGAAUAUAAGAGGAGAGGAGAGUGCUAAAAUGUAAUCUAGUGAUAGUCGCUGCGCUCCUUCAGGCAACCUGUUUAUCUAGCAUUCAUCCUGAUUUGUUUGCACAAAGUUUCUGUGGAGGUUAGGUUAGAUCCAGUCUUUAUUAACCAUUUCUUCUGAUUUGCUUGCAGGGAGGUUACACAGCAAUGCACAUUCUGCAUUCACGUUUAUUUGUUUGCAGUGUAUUUAUCAUCUUCCUGUUAAUCCUUCAUUCCUCGCACACUUUUCAGCGUGUUUCCCUGUCACUUUCCUAACCUCAAAAAUUCAGGCCCUUUUGUAAAGUGGGUUUGUUGUGCUGAGGUGACAGAGUGCUUUAAUCCACUUUAUCUGCACAGACCUAAGUCUCCUGUUAUACGCCUGAAUCCCUGCUACAAAAUACUGAGAGUCUGGAGGGGCCCAUUUGUAUCCUGGUCUAAACCAUCCACAACAAAUGCAGUCUUAAUUCCUAUCCAGUAGAUAACAUGUAACUGACUGCUUAUUGAUCCCAUGGAUUAUACUUUCACACAUAACAUGAAUUCACAUUAGAUGUACCAGUACUCAGGAUUAAGGUGCAAUCAGAAUUAAGAGCGGGAGGGCAGUAAAAUGUAAAAGAAGCAUUUGGCUGCCAAAUUAUAGGCUUGGGUGAUUUUGCUGAACAUUACCCUUCCUGUAAAAAAACAACACAAUAAAUUAAUAAAAAUAAAUCUGGUUCUUCCACCCAGGGAGUCACUUAAAAAACUCAUGUGCCAUUAGUUCUGCAUGCUGAUAGCCUGAACCUUUGGCCUUGAACACAUAAGUAUAUUUUCUUAAGCCUGUACAUUUUAUUAAUUUGUUUUAUUCAUAUUCUGCUCCAUCCCAAAGGCCCUGAGCAGUUUAUAUAAGAGUUUAAAAGAUUAUAGGUGGGUGGGGAAGCAACACAGUCUUUCCUUUGCUUAUGCUUUUGAUAAUAUCUUCUAGUAACACUUCUCUGUCAAGCUGGUAAUUGAAGCUUGGUUGUCUUUAUGUGGCACUUAGGCUGCAAUCCUGUAUGCAUACUUACCUGAGGGUAAAUCCCAUUAAGCUCAGUAGGGCUUACUUAUGAAUAGAAGACAUGUAGAAGAUUGUCAGUCACAGCUUGCUGACAGGAGAAAGCCUCUUUAAUGAGAGGUCUGGAGGGUGGCAACACGAGAACAGGGCCUUUUCUGCAGUGGCUCCUUGUCUGUGGAAUGCUCUCCCCAGGGAGGUUUCCCUGGUGCCUUCAUUAUACACCUUUGGGUGCAAGACAAAAGCGUUCCUCUUUAACCAGGCCUUUGGUUGAUUGACAUCCUAUUCCUUUUUAAAAUGUGUAGGGAUGGGUGGGUUAUUGGGUUGUUUUUGUUUUAUUACUUAUUUUGUGGUUUUAUAUUCUGAUUUUAUCCAGUGAACCACCCUGACACCUGCAGGUAUAGGACGGUAUAUUAUAACAACAACAACAACAACAACAACAGAAGAGAUCUCAGUUAAUAGAGCCGAGUGCUAGUACACAGGAAUCAGGGAUGCGGGUGGCGCUGUGGACUAAACCACUGAGCCUCUUGGGCUUGCUGAUCGGAAAGUUGGUGGUUCGAAUCUCCACGAUGGGGUGAGCUCCCGUUGCUCUGUCCCAGCUCCUGCCAACCUAGCAGUUUGAAAACAUGCCAGUGCAAGUAGAUAAAUAGGUACCACUGCGACAAGAAUGUAAACAGCGUUUCCGUGUGCUCUGGUUUCCAUCACAGUGUUCUGUUGCGCAAGAAGUGGUUUAGUCCUGCUGGCCACAUGACCCACAAAGCUGUUUGUGGACAAACACCGGCCCUCUCGGCCUGAAAGCAAGAAGAGCACUGCAACCCCAUAGUCGCCUUUGACUGGGUUUAACCAUCCAGGGGUCCUUUACCUUUACAAUUUACCUACGUAGGAAUCACUGCAUUACUGAAUUAAUAUAGAGUGGGGGUGCUCUGCUCCAUUUAUGUAAGCAAGAGUUUUUCAGGUGUACCUCUUGGUUCUUCCCCUCUCCAGUUGCUUACCGCAGACGUAUUUCAAUUCGACCACACUGAAGCUGUGAAAAGAAGCAUAGCAUAUGAAAGUUCCUUUAAAUAACAUUGACUGAGCAUAAGGAUGGAGGAGAAAUUCGGUUCAGUUUGCAUUUAUGGGUGAACCUGCCUAAUUUGCCCUAUCCGAAACAAUACACAAACUGAAACACAGGCAUUGUUCAAAAGUUCACACGUCCCUAUAUCUUGCAGUGUAGUUAUUCAGCUAAACAGUGUGUACAAAGAUGCAUAUGUUAGCAUAAGAUGUACCUAUGUUAAUGAACAGAGCCUACAAAAAUCCAUUAUCUAAGGGGGGGGGGCGGAGUUCAUUUAUAAAAAUGUCUAUAUUAGGUAUACAAAGAUGUGUAUAUCAGGAGGAAUUCACACUAAAGCGCUGCUAAAAUUUCAUGAGGACUUCAAGUAGCAUUGCAGUAGUCCAAGCGGGAGAUAACCAGAGCAUGCACCAUUUUUUAAUAUAUUUCGACUGCGUCAGACCAACACAGCUACCUACCUGAAACUAACUUUCCACUUACUCAUUCUCUUUCGGAGCCUCAGCCACUCCCUAGCACCUAAAAUCUGUCAGUCUGAAAAAGCUUUGGGUUUUUUGUUUUGUUUUUAAAGCGCAGAAACAGCUUCUGGUCAGUGUCUAGACUAGAUAGCAUUCUGCUCACACAAGGCCUGACCCCCUUGGUUGAAUCAGCAAACAUAGGUAACAUUAAAAUCAGAGACCAAGCCCCAGUAGAAGCUACACUUAAAAUAGGAGAAGAAACACGAACCACCCUGUCAUGGUUCUUCAGUUGCAUCUUAACAACAAAUAAACUAAUAAGAGAAAGUCUCACAAAAACUCUCCAAAACUACUUCAAAGAAAAUGACGUAGAAGAUACAAGCCCCCUCCUUUGGGACACAAUGAAAGCAGUCACCAGAGGAGCUUGCAUAAAAGAGAAAGCAUCCCUUAAAAAACAAACCUCCUCAAAAAUUUGCAAAAUAGAACAAGACAUCAUGGCCUUCUCAUCACAAUACAAACAAACAGGAGCUAAAAAACUCCUUAAACUUACAGGACAAAAAUGGAGGGAACUCAACUCACUAGAAAUCAACAGAACAACAAUCAACAUUCCAUAGUCAAAACAACGCUUCUAUGAGUAUGGAGGGGAAAACUCCAGAUUAUUAGCCAACAGGUGUAGGAAAAAAUCACUCAAAACAAGAAUACACUGCAUCACCAAAAAAGACGGCAACAUAACAUUCUCCCCCAAAGAAAUAACCUCAGUAUUUGCAGAAUUUUACUCCAACCUACACCUCCCACCCGAGGAGAAAAUCAGAAUAUUCCUAGCAGGACUGACCAUACCAACCUUAACGGAUGAGGAACAGGAAUUCAUGGACAAUUCUAUCACCCUGGAGGAAAUAGAUACGGUCCUCAAAAUCCUGACAAAGCCCCAGGCCCAGAUGGCUUUACAGCAGAAUUCUACAAGAAAUUCAAAUAACCCCUAAUGCCUUACAUGACCCACCUAUUUAACGGCAUCAUAAAAAGGGGACCCCAUUCCUAAAACCUGGACCACCUCCAAAAUAGUUUCUAUCCCCAAACCACUUUUUUCUUCCCAACCUUAUACUGCAUGCAACACUAAUGUCUCACAAUAAAUGUGACUGAUCUUUAGAAAACAAAACUUGAAAAAAGAGACAAUGCACGUAUUUUUGUAAACUAAGAAAUCUUUAAUAAAUAUAUAUAUAUAAUAUAUAUAAUAUAAUAAUUAUAAUAAUAAUUGAAAAAAGGAGAAAAGAAAACAGCUUCUGGUUUUCUGCAUGUGUGGGUUCCAAUAUUGUAAAUGUUUCAUCACAGCCAUUAUUUACCUCUUUCACCUCUACUUAUUAUCUUUUAACAAAUACGGAGAAAGGAACUAAAAUUGACACUAUAUUAAAAACUGUGGUUAUAUUAAAGAAGGUGAAUAUAUUAAAGAAUACAGGAAGAUGCAAAUUAAUAUGGAUGAUUUUAUUAUUCCAGAAGUUAAUAAAAAAGCCCCUCUUUCUAAAACUCCCCUUGUUAAUUAUUCUGUCUCUGAUAUGUCAAUUUAGCCAUUAAAGAAAUUUCUCGUAUCUUCUGCAGCAACUCUUUUAAUACUGGAAUUCUUUUUUCUUUCCAAAGUUGAGCAAAGUUGAGCUUGUUAACAGACUGGCAAUUAAUUGCACAUCCACAUUUUCUACUUCUGUUUUUAAUAUGCACAUAAUAGUAGUUUUAGGUCCUCUUGAGGGAUUGUCUCCUGUCAUUUUCUGUACUGUGUUGAGAACCAGUUUUUUAUUUUAUUUUCAAAGCUCCAGAAACUCUGUUGGUAAUCUGCCCUGGGGGAGGGGGAAAAUCUUUGGAUUAUAAAUACAAAAAGUCAUAACCUUGAAGCACUGAAAAGCAAACAGAUUUUGCUAUUUUGAACAACCUAGGGUUAAUCUAACCAGUUGUGAGAACAAUGUGUGAUUGACAAAAGCAUUGAUAGUGUCUUCUUAGCACCUAAAACCACUUAAGUGAUUUAGCUUAUUGUAAAUCCCACAAUGAGGGUGUUCGAUAAAGUUGUCUCCCCGCCAUUGCUCUGGCUGGCUUUCAGGGUCCUCUGAAGUUAUGUCCAAGGCCCCUAACAGCAUGCUAGAUUGUUUGGACUUCAGAUCAAGUCAACUCUAGUCCAAAUAAAGAGGCGGUACUGGAUCUGGAAUGGCCUUUGGGGACUCCCCCCCCCCCUCCAAGCAUAUAAAAAGCAACCUGAUUUGUUGAACACCGCAGGAGGCAUAGCAUGGUUGGCAAAGUUUCAGACACCAAAUGGAUUCACCCCAACAGAAACGCAGAAAUCCAUCCUCAGUGUUGGCAUCAUCACUAGUGCCAUCUGUUUAGGAUGUCCACGUUCCCUACUUUUCAGAGGGCAAUUGCAUUUUACUUGCACGGGGAUGCGUAUGUUCUGUUGUUGUUGCUGUUGUUGUUGUUGUUCAGUUGUUUAGUCGUGUCUGACUCUUCGUGACCCCAUGGACCAGAGCACGCCAGGCACUCCUGUCUUCCACUGCCUCCCGCAGUUUGGUCAAACUCAUGCUGGUAGCUUUGAAAACACUGUCCAACCAUCUCGUCCUCUGUCAUCCCCUUCUCGUGCCCUCAAUCUUUCCCAAUAUCAGGGUCUUUUUCAGGGAGUCUUCUCUUCUCAUGAGGUGGCCAAAGUACUGGAGACCUAUCUUCAGGAUCUGUCCUUCCAGUGAGCACUCAGGGCUGAUUUCCUUAAGAACGGAAAGGUUUGAUCUUCUUGCAGUCCAUGGACUCUCAAGAGUCUCCUCCAGCACCAUAAUUCAAAAGCAUCAAUUCUUCGGCGAUCAGCCUUCUUUAUGGUCCAGCUCUCACUUCCAUACAUCACUACAGGGAAAACCAUAGCUUUAACUAUACGGACCUUUGUUGGCAAGGUGAUGUCUCUGCUUUUUAAGAUGCUGUCUAAGAUGCAUAUGUUCUAGGCUUCUUUAAAUAGACUGUUUGUGUGGACCGUUGCACAUCCUGUGGGAUGCAUGUUUUUACCUGUUUGUUCAUUGGAUUAUAGGAUUAAAUGGCUGCGCCUUUGCGUAUGUGCAUGAGAAUUGGAAGCAGAGUCUGAGGUGAAGCAACCUGGGAGGCAGAGUUUGCUGAAAACCAAAUGGAAAAACAAAUUGCUGGGUUUUUUUAAUGUAUGGAUAAAGGUAAAGGGACCCCUGACCAUUAGGUCUAGUCGUGACCGACUCUGGGGUUGCGGCGCUCAUCUCGCUUUACUGGCCAAGGGAGCCGGCGUACAGCUUCUAAGUCAUGUGGCCAGCAUGACUAAGCCACUUCUGGCGAACCAGAGCAACGCAUGGAAACGCCGUUUACCUUCCCGCCGGAGUGGUACCUAUUUAUCUACUUGCACUUUGACAUGCUUUCGAACUGCUAGGUUGGCAGGAGCAGGGACCGAACAACGGGAACUCACCCUGUCGUGGGGAUUCGAACCGCCGACCUUCUGAUCGGCAAGUCCUAGGCUCUGUGGUUUAACCCACAGCGCCACCCGCAUUCCUUAAUGUGUGGAUAUUUGAAUGCAAAUCUGUGAAUAUGCAUUAUUUCACAAAGGCUGCAGCGAUAGCAUGUCCAAGUGAUACCUUAAUGUGGGAACCCAGAAAAAUUGAUAACUACAAAAUGCACCUACCUCUCUGUCUUCUUUGUUUUUAAAAAAUGUGUUGUGUUAUAUGGAAUGCAUAUCUACCAACAUGGGAUCAAAUUUCAAAUAACAAAGGAUAAAAUUUUAUUGGGCUUUUGGAUAUCUCUGUGUGUUCCCACCUACCCAUCUCAACCCUUUAAAUUGCCCUACGAUUUCAUUGCUAGCUUCUCUGCAGGAAACUUUAGUUAUUUAAUUUUUUCUCUCAUGAAUUUAUGAUCUUGAAAUCACUAUGUGCUGGGCUGCUAAAUUGGUUUUAUUAGCUGUAGUGAUUUUAGUAUUACAGAAUUUUUUAUUGUGUUUGGUAUUCACAGUCCUGUUACGAUGUUUUGUAUUGGUUUAGCUCUGUGAGCUUCCUUGGGCGUCCUGGUGAGAAAGCUGGAUAAUAUGAAUUUAAAAAUAAUAAUAGUCAUAAUAAUAACAGGUAAUAGAUAUAAUUAUAAUUUACGAAUGCAUGCUGAAAAGGCUGUGCUGAACUUUCUACCACUUGUGGAAGAAGCUGCAGUAAAGCAAAGAAAAAUAUAAAAAAAUGAAUUUUGGUAUUAAAAUGAAGUGAAUACAUGUGGGGGAGAUGUGCCCCCUCUUUGCAGAGGCAGCGCAUUUAUCAUUGUAUAAUUUGCUGCUACAUAAAUCAUAAGACAUUUUAGGAAAAGUCAACCAACCCCCAAACACACCAGCUCUAAUGAGAAGAAUACAUUAAAACACCUCCGAAGUGCCGUGUUAAUCAGCUGCAUGUGAAUCUAUGUGAAGCUCAGCAUUUGCCUCUUCAAAGGGUUAGCGCUAAGCAGGAACCAAGUGUUCACGGUGGAUGACAGAAUGGGGUUUCUUGAGAUCCCCUGUGGAUUGUAAUGUGGGGAGGGGGGAAUCCAAAGGUUGUACUUCUACUCCAGUCUCACAUAAAUUGUCAUAUUGCUCCACUAAGAAUUGCCAGAACACAGGUAAAAAGAAAUGAAUACAUUCUGAAGCAAUUAGAAUUCAGCGAGGAAACACUUGGGGGAAUAUGUUAGCAAACAUUCUAGAAUCUCUCCACUAGACAAAAAACAAUUGGUCACAAAAGAAAGGUAACACCCACAGAAUCACAAUAAUUUUAGGUAGGGCAGUAAUAUUCACUCAGCUGCAUACAGUUCUCAGACCACUUUGCUUUGCCCCUUAGUGUUGUCACCAUCCCCUUCCAAGUUCACCUAACUUCUCCAUACAUUUCCUCAUUUUUGUUUCAGUAACUUCUUUGAGCAUAAUUAUCAUUGUACAGGCAACUCCUGUUUUGCGGGUGUUCAAAUACAGUGGUACCUCAGGCUGCGAACGGGAUCCGUUCUGGAGCCCCGUUCGCAUCCAGAAGCAAACGUAACUAGCGACAGCACGUCUGCACACGCGCGCGGCGCUUUUCGUCGCUUCUGCGCAUGCGCGUGACGUCAUUUUGAGGGUCUGCGCAUGCGCGAGUGGCGAAACCUGGAAGUAACGUGCUCCGUUACUUCCGGGUUGCCGCGGAGCGCAACUCGAAUGCACUCAACAUGAAGCAUAUUCAACCUGAGGAAUGACUGUAAUUUCACGACUAUGUGUGCACGGGCUGUUUUCAGACCCAGAAGAGGCUGUGACGGCAGAACAGGGGCAUGGUGGGUUUAUGUGUGCUCUGCCGACACGUGUGAUGACCCAGAACGUAACCCCUGCGAAAAACGGGAGUUGCCUUAUAUACCUUUCUGCAUUUUGUUUCCCUCGGACCUCACUGUAUGCAAUUCUCCUCCCAGCCUGUGUUUCUAUCAGUGCUAGAUAGUGCGGGGAGGGUAGCGGUGGUCACCUGCUGAGUCACCUGACAGCUGAGUCGUUGCUGCUAACCGGAACGGAGAGAGGGAGGAGUAAGCAGGGAUGUUGGCGUGGUGCAAAUUAGUGCAGAAUUGGCUGCACUGGGGUGUGCGCACCACACCAGCCUCCCUGCCACACCCCCUCUUCUUGCUGGUAAACAGCAGCAACUCAGCUGUUGGGAGGUCAGAUGAGUCCUGCUACCCCACCAUGUCUUUGGCUACUGUGUAUACCUGUAACUAAGGAUAAAUAACCCUCAUGCAUGUGAUGAAAUGGGCUCUAGUUCAUAAAAGCUUAUGGCACCAUGUUAAACUUAUUAGUCUUUAAGGAGCCAUGUGCCUCUUAGUUUUCUUUGUGCCAGUCUUCUCAAAGUAGUAGUAAUUCUGGAGAUCUGGAGUGCAGUUAGGACUGUACCUUGGGGCACGACUAGGGAGCAGAAGUGGUGGGCAGAGGAUGGAUGGAUGGAUUUGCCAGGUGCACAGAGGAGCUAUUUUGGUAAAUGCGUGAGUGUAUGUGAGAAAUUUCAAAUCACUUUCUUACUUUGCACUUCAGAAAGGAGCACUGAAAUGAUUAAUUCUGUUAGAUGAAUCAACUAAAUGCAUGCCGCCUAUUAAUCAGGGAACAAAUUUUAAAAUUAAAGAAGUUUACAAUACUGUAAAAUGAAAUGAAAUGAUAAUGAAAUAUAUGACUAACACUGGAUCUCGGCCUCUAAGUAUAGUGGAAGUGCUCUGAACACACAUAUUCUGCUCUGAACACAAAUAAGGGUUGGGCAAAUCUGAAAGUAUUGCCCUCUCUCAGUUUCUCAGUUUCCCAGUCUUAAAUUUGGUUUGCCCCAUUUCUGCAUUAAGUAUUCAUUAAAAAAAAAUCCAUGAAAGUUCACAUGCCUUUUUUGUGUGCAUUUUUGCAAGCACUGCCAAGAGAGAGAGAGAGAGAGAGAGGGAGAGAGAGAGGGAGAGAACUGCAUCAGAAAAUUCCAAUAAGCCUGAACUACUAAGGGUAUCUGCAUUUUAGUUUGCAUAUUGGUUCAGGAAGUACAAAUUAGGUAGGGUGGUAUUAAAAUAGAAUGAACUUCUUCCUCAUUACUGACAUCAAAUGGCUUCACAAUGCAAUGGAUGUGUAUCGAAACCAUGUCCACCACAUUUUAUAAGGUCCUUCUAUUUUCACCUCUGUCACAUUCAUAAAUGGCGUGUUUCCCACAGGUUAGGGAAGCCACCCAGAAUGCCUAGUCUGUCGAGGCCUGCAGUCCUAAUUUUCUUAAGACUUGUGUACCCUUAAUCAGUCAAAGAGCCUAACUUCACUUUACAUUAAUGCUGUGUAUUUAAAAAUAAUAAUAAUAGGGGGGGGGUGUGAUUGUCCUGAAGAAUGCAACAUGUGGUGAGAUUUAAACCUUCUCUUUCCAGCUACAAUAUUAAUGAAAACCCGCACACCUCCCCUCCCCCACUCAGUAUGGUAAUUGGAAUGGGGGGGUGUCUCCCAUGGGCACCAGUAGAAACGUUUUCCUAAUGCUGAUUUUGCACGUUUGUAUGUGUGUGUGCUCAGUUAUCACAGGUGGGAAGGAACAGGUUAAAUCCCACCUCCUAAGAACCCCUGGUGCUUAAUUUUUAGAAAUCCACAGUGGGAUUGCUAAUUGUGUCAACAACAUUGUGUGUAGUUGGGCCAUUAAAGGUUGAGAUGGGGCCAAGAUCAGCUCCAGGUUUGAAGAGGUCCUCGGUUCUGGUGGACCUUCUCUGGUGGGCUUGUCAAGGUUAUUUGGCUGCGACGGCAUUGCUCCAAGUGGUUGUACCUGGCCACACUUUUAAUUUCCCAUAGUACUCUAAAAUGAUGCUAAGUUGGGAGAAUGGUUGGAAAUUAAAAGGGUGCCUAGAUCCAGCUGCCCACUGCAGCCCAGAAUGCUGAGCCAAAAAUAAAGAAAGAAUUAAGAUAAUGCCAGGUGCUGGCCCAGUCCUGUGUGAGACUAUCCAAACUCAGCGAGGUUAAAGCAGUCUCUCAAGUCUAUUGUGCAUUUUUCGUAGAUGUGCUCUCAACGUUCUCAGCAGUUGUGAGCUUGGGUGAUAAGGAUUAGGACGGUUACUCUGAACGUCCACAAACAGGAGUCACAUGCAUCAAUAAGGUGUUUGCGAAAAUAGGAAAAAAGUCACACACAAACACACACACCCAAAAUCAGAUUUUGAAAAGGGAGGGAGUUGUGGUGGAGGAAGGGUGGAACAACAUAAGCUGAAAACAUUGGACCAAUGUUGUUAUUUGUUUAACAUGAAACUGAUUUUCAUUUGAAAAACCCAGAAGUGGUCAGAGACCAUGAAGAAAAUGUUCACAAAGAUGUGCACAUUGCACGUGCCACAUUAUAUUGUUAGUUGCAGAUACAAAUCAUGUGAGACUUGGCUGUUUGUAUAAACAACAGUCUUUAUUGGAACCACGGGUGUAGACUAAAGGUAUUUUAGAUAUUUGUUUAAAAUAGGAAACAGCUGACAACCCACUUUUUCUUUUAAACAGAAUUUUAUUUCUCCGUGUACUGUAGCUUUUUUAAAAUUAUUAUUUUCAAUUCAAGUGGGGGCAAUAGGGAAGUUUUUCUAAAUUUGAAACCAGCAAGGGCUUGUCUGACUAUCGAAUCUCUUGAAGUGAGGUUUCAUCUAAAGAUAUCUAUAGGCUUUGUGUGUGUGAAGCUGACAUGUGUGAUGAUAGCUCCUUCUAAAUGUCAGAUACCUACAGCACAUGCUGCGAGUGCUACCUCUUAUCAAACCCAGAGCCCUUUCUUCCUUUUUAAAAUAUGUUUAUGUAAAUUCAGCCUUUAUGAAGCCACAAGCUGUUUCUCUCAGUUUUGUUUUCGGCUAUCUUUGAUGAAAAAGAUUGACAACCUACGCAUCAGUCUACAGUUGCUCCACAAUAGAUCGAAAUAAGUAUACCCAUGACAAGUUUUGUGCAUUGUACAUUACCCAUGCUUCAUUUAAAGCAGGGAUCAGCAACCUUUUUCAGCAGUGGGCUGGUCCACCGUCCCUAAGACCAUGUGGUGGGCCGGACUAUUUUUUUUGGGGGGGGGUGAACGAAUUCCUGUGCCCCACAAAUAACCCAGAGAUGCAUUUUAAAUAAAAGGACACAUUCUACUCAUGUAAAAACACACUGAUUCCCGGACCGUCCGUGGGCCUGAUUGAGAAGUGAGUGAGAGUGGCCCACAGACUUAGGUUGCCUACCCCUGAUUUAAAGGUUUCCUUCAGAUUUUUGGUGGGUUGGUGGGAGGUCUGUUUGCUUAGAUCUAGUGAAAUCUGGCAAGUUUGACCACUAACCGGAGCAUAUAUUUUUUAUUUAAGUUUCUAACCCCCACCCUCACCGUUCCUCCCAAAGGACCCUAAACUGGAAAACAUCUCAGCAGUGCAAUUUUUUCAAAAAUGUAACUUAAUCAAAAACACCUCAAAAGGUUGAAAAUCGAUCACUUUAGCAACACAGUUGCUAAUUUCAAGGUUGUCACGGCCAGUAUCUCUGUCGUCCAAUGCUUGGGUGAACAGCAGUGCUUAAUUCCACCCCGCCAAAAGUCACGGAGGGCAUUCCACCAACAUCGAACCGCCACCAGGAAGUCAACAGCAAGCAGGGAGCAGCCAGAUACUCUGAACCUUCAUUAGCCAGCUUUUAUUCGUGGGAAUGAACACACUAAUGAUGGAAACCAGUGUGGCCCAGUGUAUGUUAUGCUUUAGAUUUGUUUUUAAAAGGCUUUUGGUCAUGUACUCACUGAGGUCCAUCAGCAUUUCGUCUGCUGCUGUGACACCUGUGCAAAUAAGAGGCCUCCCUCAAAGGGCUGGUGUGUUGUGGAAUGAGUUAUUGGCUGCACAGCCCAUUGCUGUAACAAUGGGUACAUUGCUGUACAGUGGGUAAGAGUACUGUACAAAUAAAAACACUUCAAGACAUCAGAUUGUUUUUUUCUCUGUCUCUCCGGUGCAAACACGUCGCAAUGUAAUUUGGCUUACUAAUCAAUUCUACGUUGUGAAAUGACUUUUCUGAUGCUUCACAUGGAUUUCAUUUUUAGAAAAGGGUGUUUCUGAACUACUGUAUAGUGAAACUCGCCCCCCCCCCCGUAAUGACUGAAUGACUGUGCCUGUAUUUUGGAGGCAAUAUUUUAAAGAGAUUUGAAAGUGUCUUAAGAGAGUUUAUCCUUUACAUUUAUUUUGUCUGCCCUGUCUGCUCUGUUUAUCUCUUAUCCAAACAGGUCCUACAAGCUUUGAAACAGUAUAGAAAACCAAUGUUGGCGGUUGCCAGCGUAAGUGUGCAGUCUUCUGCAUGCUUACUUAAGAAUAAACCUCACUAAAUUAAGUAGGCAUUACUAGCAAGUAAGCAUGCAUGGGAUCAGACUGCAAACAUAUAGUUGAACUGCAGGUAGAGUUGUUGAUUCAUCCGUUUCUCUGCUUCAGACACAACUGUUUCAAGCACAUUAAAGAUCAAAGCAGAUGCUUUUUGUUCAUUGUUUCAUCUUAACUCUAGAAGAGUGGCAUAGAUGUUGCUGCUAUUGCAUUUAACCUUUCUUCAAUUUAAUCUUUACAUAUUGUACCUGCAGGGAUGCCAUUAUUCCACUGUGAACAAAUUAGAUCUCCUGUUGCCUGUUUAGAUUUUUUGCAGUGCCGCAGCGUUUAAUGGAUCAGUUGGUUAAUUGAUUAAACAAAGGUUUUAAUCACCGAAAAGUGGCCUCGAUUAAUUUGUGCGCCAGAUUUUCUUUUCUUAAAAAAAAAAAAAAUUACUUUGAGUGCAGGUCUUAUUACAUAACAAACUAUAGAGUUGGUGGUAAGCAUCAUUUUUUUAAGAAAAGGCAUUCCUUCUCUCUGGCUUGGAUCCUAACUAGGCACCUGUAGAUGGAAGAGCUCCUUCUGUUCACAGAUGAAACUGAGAUCCAGCACAGAGGAUCCUGCUGUCGGGAGAAGGGAACCAUUUAUUACCAAUUCACCAUUUCCCAUGCUGCGUUCCCAGCCCCAAUGGGCAGAUCUUUUGGUUUUGGGGGCCAAGAUGGAAGGGGGAGGAGGGAAUUAGUGAAAGUCACUUCCACCUCUUUGCUGGUGGGAAUGGCGGGUAGGAACAGCAUCCUACUGUUGUGGGCCAUAAAACAGCUUAUCUCCUGAGUUUACGCCAAUAAAACUCAGAAACGUGAGGAGUUAGAAGUCCAACGUUGUUUAUUGCAAAGCAAUAGGUUACAGUCGGAUCGUUCUGCAAAACUGCAACCCCGCUCGGUGGUCCAGGCAGUGGUAUUUAUAAAAUUUCAAACAAAGCAUUUCAAUUUUCACCAAUCGUAUACACCAUUACCUCAUUUCAUGUUUAAUACACAUGCGCAAUAAGCAUUGGCAAUUUCUUCUGAUUAAGUUCUGAUUCCCAUCGUGUUCUAUUAAUUGUGUUAGUGUGCAUAUUGGGAACCUAUGUUACGUGUCGCCAUUUGCACAACGUAGCAACUUAUGUUCCAGCGUUGAGCUGUAUCUUUGUGAUUCACAUAUUAGCAGUAUUUCUGACCCAUUGGGGGGGCGGCAACUUGCAAAAUCAGUAACAGGCUACCAUAACUUCUCUAUUAGAAGCACACUCAAGGAUUUACAGGGGUACACAUUAUCACAUUUAUUGUGGCCCUUUGGGCCACUGCCACACUACCAAUGGGAUUCUGCUCAUAGGAUGCAGCCGCCACUAGAGGCCUAGUGAGUCUGAAGCCUUGGUAGAGGAUGGUGCUUCUAAGAUGGUGAUUGCCAACAGUGGUUUUUUAUCAACUUGUAUUUAAAUGAACAAACCAAAAACAAUUACAAAAUCUUACAAUUUAUUCCCCUUCCCUGUCUCUUAGUGGAGAAUGGCCCCUCUAAAUGAUGCCAGCUACAACACACAUGUGCAUGAUCUAAAACAGGGGUCAGCAACCUUUUUCAGCAGGGGGCUGGUCCAUUGUCCUUCAGACCUCGUGGGGGGCCGGACUAUAUUUUUUUUGGGGGGGGGGAAUGAACAAAUUCCUAUGCCCCGCAAAGAACCCAGAGAUGCAUUUUAAAUAAAAGCACACAUUCUACUCAUGUAAAAACACGCUGAUUCCCGGACCGUCUGCGGGCCGGAUUGAGAAGGUGAUUGGGCCGGAUCCGGCCCUUAGGUUGCCUACCCCAAUCUAAAAAUAAAGAAAUCAGCUUUUUCCCUCCCAAGCUAUUGCUUUUAGCCAUGUUUAGUAAACCAAUUGAAUAAAUCAGUUGAAACUAAAAUUCAUGACUAAGAUUUCUGCAAAUUAGGUGACAAUCCUAUAUUAUUGUAAUUAUUUUGUGUGUGUGUGUGUGUGUGUGUGAGAGAGAGAGAGAGAGAGAGAGAGAGAGAGAAUAAUAAACAAGUUGUCAGGAAUCUUGGGCCUUUGCAUACUUUCUAAAUUGUUAUGUUAACAGUUAGUAUUUAAUAAUUUUGUUUUCUAGCAGUAUUCUGAAUCUGGCAUAUCCCUAAAUGUAUUAGCAAAGAGGAAGCAUAUUCUGAAUAUCCAUAGGUGUUGUGCUUGAUAACUAAUCUGUCUUUAUUAGCUAUUAUUCAGCUCUUAUGGCAUUGUCAAGUUUUGCCAUUUCCACAAAACUGAAAUAUAUUCAGUGUUUCUGGACUCUUGCAAACAGACUGAACGGCAAAUACAAAUCACAGCAUGCGAGAUCACCCUCUGUGAAGUCGUUUUGAGUUUUGUUCUUGGCAAAGAUGAGUUACAGUAAAUCGUACGCAGACAAAGGAAAUAUUUCAAGAAACAAAUGAGUCAAAAGUUGAGGAUGUAAUAAUCCGCAGUAUAUAAUUUAGCAGCUGCUGAAAACGUGACGGCAGUUGUGAAAGUCAUUUUAGGGAGGUACACGCUAUGUGGUAUUUUAAAAAAUAGUAAUGAAUUACUAACCCUUACUAACUUUCAUUUUGAAAUUAUACAUUUAACCGCAACAAUAAAUGGUGUUCAUUUUAUGAUUUUGUUAAUGUCCUUUGCCAGUAGUACUUUUAACAGCCCAUUGUAUGUAUCUCAUUUUUGUUAUAAGUUGUUUCUUUGAUUAUAUGAAGAGGACUGAAUUGUAAAUAGGUGGUUCUGUUUAUUCUUUGGCUUAGUGGCAACAGAAAAGUAAGUUCAGGUUAAAAGAUGGCUGAUAAUAGCAAGGAAUAUGCAGAGGAAUGAUGGAAGAGUUGGGUUACAUUUUAGAUGGCUUGUCCUAAGUUUUAUUUGUUUGUUUUUGAGACACUGGUGGGCUUUGCAUGGAGUCAAUCAGGCUUAGUCAUCAAAAUGCAUAUAAAGGAUUGCAGCCAAAGUCUGACAUCUAUUCUGUUUCAAUUAGACAGAAGGCUGGUAAUUUUAUAAAAAAAAAGGAGAAGGAAUUAACACUAUACCUUUGAGAUUUGUCAAUUACUACAUGAAAUAUAUUUACUGGGAGGGAUUUUGCACACCAAAUGAUAACCAGGAAAAUGCCUUAAAAAUAAAUGGCACGAUAAAUAAUAAACUAGACAAAGAAAUACUAAUUACAGUGGGGUCUUUGAUCCAAAAAUAGGUCAAAUUCAACAGGAAAUACUGGUAUCCUUCCUAAGGUAUUUUUGUGUGAAAUGUUAAGAAUUGCCUAAAUAUUAAAAGGCCAUGAGACAUUUUCACCACCGUACCAUACAAUUCUUACUUGAGAAUGAAAGAAAGCCGGCUUAAAUGCUGUGCUUUCCGUGUGUGUUGUGCUGUUGUAUUUUAAGUGCACCCACUUUAGAACUCUGUUUUGAAUCUUUCAGAAUCGGUUUAAUUCAAUUUUGACUUUCAUAGGUAUUUGCAGAAAAGGGAGCUUUAGUGAAUGGUUUCAGAAUGUGUCAUUGUGUCUCUUGACUCGCAGGAAAGAAAGCGUGGGAGAUACAACUGCUUUAAAAAGCUGAGAAUACUUCUUAAAUUAUUGCUUCAGAUAUUGCCUAACUGGGAAUUGAGUAUUCGCAGUAGGUGCUUUUAUUUCAUGACUCUGUUGUCUCCUUAUUUUCUCAGCAUUGUUGGGUGGCAGUUGUUUUUGAAACAAAUGAAAAGGGGUUUGUUUGUUGAGUUACAUACAGUUUAGUGUAGCAAAGCCAAAAAAGUAACUCACCGUUUUUUAAACGGCAAUUUAACUUGGUUGCCGCAUGUGGCAAAAUCAGAGAAACUGUUUCAUAUCUGAUUUGUUUGACUUCUGUUUUGCUUUGAAGGAACUUACAUUCUUUUCUGCUUGGCAGAACUAUUCUUCUUUACAGUAUCCUUGUUCCUCCUACCCCCAUGGAAAAUAUUAAAAGACUUAAAAUUUGGGUUUGUAUUUGUCUAGUAAUUUAAUUGGGCUUAUAUUUGUCUAAUGAUUUAAAGUGCUUUUAUUCAAGAUCGCAAACUGCUAGCAAUUAUAUUAACAGUAAUUCAGAUUGUAUGAAGUUUUAAAAAAUCUUGUUAAUCAUGAAAAAUACUGUGUGCCUGGUUUGCAGUGUGUGUGAGUGUGUGGCACAUGUAGAAAAUAUUUAAAAAGAAAAGAUUUGAUUUUUUUUUAGUCAAAAUCGUCAGUAUUUUACUCUCUGCAGCAUUUAGAGAUUGGUAAAAAUAUUUAGUUCUUGGCUUAAAGAAUAUUUCUCUCUCACACACUUGCGCAGGCAUACAUAAAAGUUGUGGCUUUCCACAAACUGGGUGUACUGUACAAUACCUUAAGUGUUAUAAGAAGUUCAGGAACAAAAUGUCUACUUAAAGCAUGAGAGAACUGACCACAAAUUGCAGAUAGAACUGAUAACAGCAGCCAACAACACCAAGAAGUACAAAAACAAAUAUAAAGCUGAAAGACCACUGGAGACACACGUGUGUGUGUGUGUGUGUGUGUGUGUGUGUGUGUUUGCAUGUUUUACUCUAUUUCACUAUGUAGCUAACCUCUGAAAAGAGUCUGCAGUAUUUAGAUGAUGUUUGAUGAAUUACCUUGAUGAGAAAUCUUUUAGAUAACCCCACUGACAGAACUGCUUCUGCUGCCUGUAUGCUCACAAUUCAAAAAUCUCUCGGCUGCCCUAUGCUAAAAUUGCUUUGAAACCAUCUGUACUUAAAAUGAAGGAUCCUUUCCUGUUCUGUGAGGCUGAUUUAAAUCAAAGCUUUAUUCAGCUUUUGAAUUUUUGAUUGCGUUUGUAGCUAUGAUUGCAGCUUAUAAAUUUAAUUAUCUGACAUUUACUGUGGAGUGUCUGCCUGCCUUGCCCCAUCUGUGGUAAAACUAAAAGGAAGAACCAGCGAUUAAAAGGAGGGGGAAGCCACUGGCAUGAUGAAUUUGCUGCAUUUAAAUGCAUGUUUCCACAGUAGUGCAAAGGCAGGGAAAAUCCUCGGUGUGAUUCAUGAGCCGUGCUCAGAAUAAUUUUUCCUACACAUCGCAGCCCGGAGGCAAGAACACAGCCUUUUGUCAUCCUCUCUUAGUGUGGGCAAAAGAGUUACCUGUGAACAAAGUAUACAAUACAUUUUGUCUCUUGAAAUAAGUCGGUUGUUGAACAGAAAAUUCAGGAUGAGGUUUUUGUUUUUGUUCUGCCGCUUUAAUCUUUGUUUUUUACAAAUAAAUACAAAUAACUCAAACUGAAACUUGAUGACUUUUGGUGAUACUAAACGAGCAGCCCUAGGGGGAAAUUUUCUUCAUUAAUAUGGGUCUUUCACAACCCACACUCGGUUUCGCUAGGAAAAUUGUUUUAACCUUUUCAGCAGCUCAAGAAGAAGCCUUUGAAGUCUAGACAUGCUAUAACCUUGGUUCACAAUUUGGAUCCUUUCCAGAUGCCCAUAAAAAGCCCCAAACAACAAACAUACUUAAAUUUUUAUUAUUUUUUAUUUUUAGCACUAUAAUAACUGGCAGCCCCGAUCCAGCAGCAUAGAACCAGUAUUCUGUUCCCCAGUAGUAUAGGGACAGUUUUGUUGCAGUGCAGGUAAUAUUUCUGUAGAAGCAAAAAAAGAUAUUUUUUAAAGGAGGUGGUUUCUUAGAAUUUCAAAGAAGGGCAUGUGCUGCCUCCCAAAAACUAACUAACUAUUGAGAAACUAAACUGGAAGACUCACAAAACUGAUAGGGCAUUUGGAGGAAGGUCCUGCUGGUCUGAGCGUUAUUGUUUAGAAUCAUAAAGCUAGAAAAUCCAACUUCCUUAUCAAUGCUGGAUCUGCCAUACAGGAUGCAACCACAGCAUUUCCAAGAGAUGACCAUCCAGCGUCUGCUUAAAUAUCUCCGUUGAAAGAGAGCCCACUAUUCUCGGAGGCAGUCUGUCCCACUGUCAAAACACAGUAAGCCCUGAGGACAUUUCUCCUAUAGUUUAGCCAAAAUCUGCUUCUUCUUCCACCCAUUGCAUUGAUUUUAAAGGACUUAAUGUAUGUGAUACAGUAAAGGAAGAUUCGUGUGAGACAUAGCUGUCAACGUUUUCCUUUUCUUAAGGGAAAGUCCCUUAUUCCGAAUAGGAUUCCUCACAAGAAAAGGGAAACGUUGACAGCUAUGGUGUGAGAUGGGGAGGCAUUUCCCACAAUUGGCAGAGGAAGAUUGUGGACCAUGUUUCCUCACCAACAACAUAGUUCACUUUGAGUAAUGAAAAAAGAAGUAUUUCGCCACAGCGAAGGCACCUGUAGGUGUGAGGUUGGGUAGAUGUUCUUCUGCAGCAUUUGAGUACAAUUGAUGGGGAAAGACUCUUGAAGUCAGAGCUGGGAUUGCUCUCACUUGGAAAACAGCGUAUGAAAAAUAUCCUCUGUGGCGUGGAAAUACAUUUAGGAGGUUUGCUUGUGGCACGCAAAACUCAUGUUGCUGGUUUUUGUGGCGCUCUAGAAACCUAAAAAAAACUUCUGUCAGAGGUGGCAGUGAGACAGCAUAAAUGGGACUUUACCCCUUGGGAAAGGAUGGCUGUAUUGUACAUGCCAGUUUCAAGUCACUUUAUCAUCUGGCCGAAUAGGCAUGUGAAAAUAUAUAUGCAGAUGAAAUAACACUCUGGUUACUGUUGCUCAGGGGAAAAGCCACUUAACACGUGGAACAUAGUGGCUACUUAUAUUGCCUUAGAGAAGCUUAGGCUUCUUAGUGCCUGCUUAAAAGAAAAAAAAACCAGUUUUACAGCAUUUUGCUGUUGAAUCGCAGAACUGUAAAGUUGGAAGGGAUCCCGAGGGUCAUCUAGUCCAACCCCCUGCAACGCAGGAAUCUUAAAUAGAUCACACAUGACAGAUGGCCAGCCAAGCUCUACUUUAAAAACCUCCAAGGAAGGAGAGUCCACUACCUCUCCUGGGAAUCUGUUCCACUGCCGAAACAACUCUAGCCUUUUUUUUUUUUUUUUGCUGCUACAUCAUGCAGUUGACUUAGGUUCAGUUUGUGGUCUCCUAAGACCCCCUAGAUCCUUUAAACAUGUGCUACUAGCAAUCCACCUGUCCCCCCAUCUUACAUGUGUGCAGCUGGUUCUUUGUGCCACAUUGCAUGGGACUAUUUUCUCUGUUUAUGAGUUGCAAAUAUUUCCUCCCUUUUGCUGCAAUUCCUUGUGCCUGACAACUGCAAAGCUUCCUUUGCAUUGAAAUGAAACUGAGGGCAUACGCUGUCAACAGAAGAGACAGUCAGCAAAAGAACCGUAUCUAGCAAGGUCUUUGCACACUCCCGACACUUUCCUAACAAUCUAGUACUGAGUGUAACAUACACCUGAGCGAUACAGCUAAAACCCUAUUCGACUCAAAUGGCAGUACUGGGAAAUCUAGGUUCAUAGUAUGCUCCUUACAUAGCUUCAUGACAAUAUAAUCUUAUGUCAACAGCACACUCCUUUACCUGUAAUUUCUGAUUUUCUUGGUGUUUCCUACCUUCCCUUCCUCCAAACUUAGGUUGUGGUGAAUAGGUGGUAAGUUUUCUUCUCCUUUUCAUCAGCUCUGUCUCAACGUUAGGCAAUGGCGGUUUUUAUAUUUUUAUAUAUUUAAGUGAAUCAAUGUGUGGCAAUGAGCAGUGGCCAUUUCUGCCCUACCGCUUUUGUGAUUUGGUUAAAUGAAACUUCAUUAUAAGAACUUAAGCAGAUCCCUGCUGGACUGGAUCAGGCCAAAGGCCCAUUUAGGCCAGUAUUCUGUUCUCUCACCUGCCUGUGAGAAACCUGUGAGCAAGACAUGAUGAUGAACUCAAUAUUACUUUCCUACUUGUGUUUCUUCCGCAACUGGUAUUCAGAGGCUGGCUUUCUCCAGUCUUGGAGUUUGCCUUUAGCCCACAUCACGACUAAGAGUCAUUGCUAUAUCCUCUGUGAAUUUGUCUACUCCCCGUUUAAAGAUAUGUCAGUUGGCCGUUUUGUGUGUGUGUCUAUAUAGACAUUUAUACCUUUCCAUGACCAUUAUUUUUGAUUUCUCAUUGUACAGAAAAGGUAUAAAAAUGAGGAAAGCUACCUGUUUUGUGACAUUAGGUAUCUUGUGCUUCAAAUUCCAUUGUUUAAUUAUAUGCUGUGGGGCACAGUGUGUCCCUUCGUCUGGCCUCAAUCUGCCAUUAUUCAGCUUCAUUUGGUGGACCUUCCACCUCUAAGAUUCUAUGAUUUCCUUGAUCUGGACACUAUAUUUCUGUUGAUGCAGCCUAGAAUAGCUGGGGGAAGUUUAUUCACUUUCUUCACAGCAUGCAUAAUUUUGGAUGCCACAGUCAUGUCUUCCCUCAUAUUUUUUUUCCUAGAUGGAAAAAAUUGCCUCAACAUUGAACCUUUCCUCAUAGGAGAGCUGCUCCAGUCACGUGAUCCGUUUGCUUGCCUCUUUCUAUUCAUUAGUGUCAGCACUUGAAGGCUACAAACCAGAAAUCUGUAAGGGGUCCUAUGUGUUUUGAUGCAUGCCAUCAACAUAAUUUGCAUACACUUUUCAGGAACCCGACAGAUGCCAAACUACAGCUGAUGGAACUUCUUGCUUUGCUUCUGCAUUUGAUGCCAUCAAAUGAGAUAAACUCAAGAAAGCAUUUGAAAAUUCUUGUAUGGGUUUACAGUAGAAGCAAAGAAUAAAUGUGGGCUUUUAAAACAAAAAACACAAAAAAACCACCCAACUCCUGCCACACUUUCCUGUCCUAUUUUCAAACUUACAUUUGCAACCUUGAGAACUAGUAACUUAACCUUUUUUUUAAAAAAAAACACCACCCAGAAACUGGUUCUAGCAGGAACCUUGGGGACAUUACAUACCUCCCACCUGUGCUAUAUAUGUGAGUGAGCUAAGAGUUGUUUAUAUUAGGAACUGUUGAGGAGGCAGAUACCCACAAGUCUGUGGCUUCUGUGAUAGCAAAACAGCUCAAGAUACUUGGGUAUUUCAAAUGGUUUGGAGGGGUGGGGGAGUUUGCCCUACAUGUGUCUCAAGUAAAUAGCUGUCGUCUCUUAACAAAAUGGGAUGUUGUAAAACCUAGACUUCGGGUUUCUGUGAGAUUUUCGCAUUACACAAGGUCCUAUCUCUCUGAGACUCCCAAGUGAAAUUUCUUCACUUCCUCGGUACUGCUUUUUAUUCCUGACUGUUCUGACCAAAACAACUCCCCCCCCCAAAAAAAAGUAAUAAUGAAAUGUGCAGCUUCCUUGAAGCCAGCUUUGUUUUCUAUCGGUGGUGGUUUGUUUGCUAUUACCAGCAGGUAUGACACUGAAUGGAAAGAUUGUCAAUGUCUCCUCAUAAGAACCAAAUGACAUUUAAGUUUUAAGGAAAUGCCAGCUUAAAAAAAGAAAAGAAAGAAGAAAGCGUGACUAAGAAUCCCAGUAAGACUGCUAAUCUUGUAUACAACUGAUUUUGUGUCAAAGGAAGUCCCGGACUGUCCCUUUUGCAUUUUAUGACCUUUCAGCCUCAUCAUUUUUAUUAUUUUGUCUCUCUACAUUUGUGUGUGUGUUUCUAUAUAUCUGCCAGAUGACAAUGAAGUUCCAUGCAUCAGAUGAAGUGGCCUCCAGUCCACAAAAGGCUUAUGGCACAAUAAAUCGUUCAGUCUUUAUGGCCCCACAAUACUUUUGGUUGUGUUUGUUGUAAGAAACUAACCUGGCCAUCCCUUUAGGGUAAGCCUCACUCUUGCUCUGAUAAGUACGGAUCACCUUUCUUUAUUUUAGGCCCCAAUCAACUAAUAUAAGCAUGCAUAGAGCAAACCGGUUAGUCAAAAUAAUCAUUAGUGGGCAUAUUUGCAAGUCUCUGGUAGGUACUGUUGUAUGACCUUAAAAUUCUUAUAACAGUAUCCUCCCUCUUUCGAAAUCCUGGUUCCUCAGUCCUUGAAGCAGUCACUUUUGUGAAAUACAGAGGGGUGAGGACUAGUUCUCUUCAUUCCCCUUUUUGUGUGUGUGCACCCUAGUGCAAUUUUUAAAAAAAAUAAAAAUAGGCAACUGAAUUCUCAUAGACCACUCAACACUAGCAAAACAUUCUCUUGAUCUUUCCUAAAACUUGAAGUGGUCAGCUUCUCUCUCUCUCUCUCUCUCUCUCUCUCUCUCUCUCACACACACACACACACAAUUGUUGUAGUCAUGAGGUUUGCAUGAUUUUUGCUUGGUAAAUAGAUACUUAGGGGUUUUUCCUUCUGAGAAGAGCAAGCGUGUGGCUAUGGAAAUACUCAUCCUCAUAAGAUUACUGUAUGUUAUUUACACAACGAAAUUAAGAUUUCACGAGAAAUCUAACAUGUUGACUUUCUGUAUUUGCUGCUCACUCAUUUCCUGUGAGGUUGAGUUUGUUUAUCUUGAAAAAUCCUAUUUUUAAACCUGUUCUGACAAUAAGCCAUUUGAAUGUUCAUGCCAGUCAUUUGAAGGUGUUUCACUUUGGUGCAUGGUUGGUUGGGCUUUGCAGCUGCUUCUUUGAGAAAUAUGAUGUUCAGAAGAACCAUAAUUUGCAGGGCAAGGGGGGAAAACAACAGACGUGUUUUCUAAUAUUACAUGAGGGGAAAUCAGUUCUGAACGGGAAAGAUGACUUCCUAAAACUAUCUGAAGUCAAAUUCUGACCCAAGCCAUCUGGUCUGAUGCCAUUCAUGCAAACUAUUACUUGUGGCCCACAACACAUGAGACAGAUGAUGAAUUAAAAAAAAGAAAACCAGUUUACAUAUUAGGCCAAAGCCUGAAGUAUACAAGACUUGCAAGUUUCUAGACCAACAUUUAUGGCUGCUUGUAUGGCUGCUGUUGUGGUCCCUUCCAAUGCUGCAAUUACAUUAUUCUAUGAUUCUAUGAUACAGACUGGUUCACACUUGUAUGUUUCUCGCUUGGUGAUGACAAAUGAAGGUCAUCAAAUGGUGACUAGUGUGUGUAACCGAGACAUCACAGAAGCUGACUGAAAUGCCGCAAACAUAAUUUUCACCUCACUUUCUACACACACAAACACACUGUUGCUGGGACCACCUCUGUUAGGUUUUCAGAUGGACAUAGUGGGAGCUAAUGCAGAAUUACCUUCUCUCAGCUUUAAUUUUUGGGAUGAAACCAGUUUGUGGGAAAGUGCUUUCCAAGGGUAUGAAAUAUGUAGUAGGUCCAGUUUGUGUGCGGACUACGGGAAGAUCUCAGUGUGCACUGAAUGUAGAAUACAAUGCUUGUGUGUACACAGUUCUUCGACUGCACUGGGAUAAGGCAGCUUCCUGCGUUAACACAAUCAGCUGAAAUUACUCAGUAAUCCGUUGAUGAGAACUCAUGGGAUGCAUGCACUUCAGCGUAGAUGGCUUUCAAAGGAUGUGUUUAUCAUGCACUUAACCAUGAUAACAAAAUUCCCCUUGAAAUUCCUAAUAGCUGUUUCGUUUAUGCCCUGCCUGUGGUCUUCCCAAAAGCAUCAGGCUGACCAUUGACAGGAUGUGGGACUAGAUGGACCCUCACAGGGUUGUGAGGAUGAAAUGGAGAUGAAGAGAAGCUGCCACGAACUCCUUGGAAGAAAGAUGGGUGGGGGUUAUGUAAAUGUUAAUAAAGCAGAUAAACUCCCAUCAGCCCCAGCCAGGUUGGCCAAUGGCCAGGGAUGAUGACAACUGUAGUCCAUUAACGUUGGAAGGGCGCCAUGUUUGGUUACCCCUGGUCUGAGGUAUGAGAGUAACCCCGCAGUCCUGUUUUGGCACCUGUUAAUUCUCUUGCUCUCGUCCUGCAUUUUCUUUGUAAAAACCCGAACAAUGAUAACAAGAAAAAGGGAGCAACUAGUACAUUGUGUAUCCAGAGCCACUGUUAUGUAUUGAGUUGAAUAGGAUCCAAAUUGCAGCAGUCUGAUUGGUCCUAGAACAAUAGGAUUCAGAAUGCAGCAGUCUGAUUGGUCCGCAGGAGCCACCCAAUCCAACUCCAGGUGGAAGUGAAUCCGCAACCUGAUUGGCCUACAGGAGAAUCCCAGAAUUAGCCAAUCAUGUGGGGCCCAUUGUCUAAAUAAUGUAUAUAAAGCAGAAAUUUCGGGGGAACUUCCAUUCCUCCUCACUACUAUGAGCUGAAUAAAGAGCAUGAAAUCCACACUCGACUCCAAGUAUAUUUCAGCCACCAAUUGAAAACAAAUAGCCUGUGCCUUUUUGAAGCUCUCUUUAACCUUGUAGGCAGAACGCUGUCUAAAAGUAAGGACUUGUUUACUGAAUUCAGGCCUCACCUCAGUAACUUGCCUGAAUUGAUUUGAGGUUAUAUAUGAAGCUGUGUGGCAGGGCUCCUAACCUAGGCCUGUCCAAGUCUUAAGGGGAAAGAAGGAGAGGGGAAGCUGUGGUUUGGGUUGCCCUUAAGGUGACAGUGCUGGAAUACAACACCUCGACGUCAUCUUGUCUCGUAGUAGUGAUUUCCCUCAGAUAAUUACGCAUUUUCUGAGGGAAAACAAGGUGCUUUCUUUUUCUGGGGGCGUGUGGGGUUUCACAGUCCCUCCCACACUAUGAUGUUAUCACAUGACCUGGAUGGAACUUGUGCACAAAGCAGUUGGGGCUCUUCUCAAAAAGGUUUGGCUCUGCCCACGCCAUGGCCUAUGCAACAUCAUCGAAUCACGAAAUGUGGGCUGAGCUGGGCUAAAAACAUGCAGCCCUCGCCACUCUUCAGCAGCUUUGGAAGCAGUAAAAAAAACACCAAAGAUGCCUGUCUCUGAAAGACUAUCUAGGUUUGGUUUGGUUUUUUAAAAUAAAAAAAUGGGACCUAUCUGUGUGAAACGCUUGAACUUGAGAAAUAAAAUAAAAUAAAACCCGCCACUGUUGCAAAAUGCAGCAUUUGCUGUUCCAAACGCAGAGGCUGAAGAACACCUUCCUUCAUUCCAAUGCCAUGGAUGUUAGUAGUCUCGAGGUGUCUUCACCCUACCAAAGCAGUUUUUUCCUGAGAUUUGUCCCAUAACACUGUCUGAACUGUAAUAAAUGAAAAUCUGCCUUUAUUCCCUUAUGGGGGACACAAGAGCCCUUAUAGAGUCCUUUGUAGGUUCUCCAUUGGUCGGAGAAAAUAACAGAGGCCAACCAGAGAAUAUUGAGAAGCAAAGCAGCUCGUAAGCCUGAUCUUUAUUGAACUGUUGCAACAGGGUGCUCCCUUCACACGCAGGAAAGGAGGAGGACUCCGAACAAAGGUGUGUCUGCCCUUGUAUAGACUUGUAUAGACUUCUGGGGGUGGUCCUGGAGUCCAAGACCACCCCCAGAAACAUCAUACCUACAUCACAGAAGGAGUAUAGCCCAAGCCCCCCCCCCAUACAUCAUACCUACAUCAUAGAUGAGGCAGUCUACAACAGAAAUCUGAGUGUGUUGUUUAUCUCCUGUCUGGCCAUUACCUGUUAAUGGUUACUUGAUUGGAUACCCUGGGGAGCCUGGCCAGUCUUUUGUAAUGACAAAUACUUAGUUCCUGAGCCAGGUCACAGGCUCACCCUAUUCAUAUACAGACAUACCCUUAAGACAGGAUUUGUGAACAAAAAGACAAUGGGGAAGAUCCCCCACCCCCUCCCUCCUUGCAGAGAAAACAUUUGGUCAGUUUGGGUGUCAAAAUGGUUUCAAGGCGGUCCUCCUGUGCGGCUUCAGACAUGUGGUCCACACAUCUAUGUAUGCGCUAGUACGUAACACAGAUACAGAAAGGUGAAAAGGUGAAUGGUUUCACCACAGCGACCCCACUGAAUGCCUCUGUGUUUUGUUGCUGAGAAGUAAUUCACUCACGGAGGCGAUGCUCACUUGCCCUGCAACUUGUUCCUUGUGACUAAGGAAUUCUUUUUUAAACACCCGCCUCCUCCAGUGCAGAGCUUGUGCCUAGAAACUUCAAACUGGGCAGCACAUUAUGAGGCAAGUAUGGAGUGACCUAAACCCCUGUUUGCCUUGUAAUGACAAUAUAAAAGGUAAAGGUAAAGGGACCCCUGACCAUUAGGUCCAGUCGUGGCUCAUCUCGCUUUACUGGCCGAGGGAGCCAGUAUGACUAAUCCGCUUCUGGCAAACCAGAGCAGCGCACGGAAACGCCGUUUACCUUCCCGCUAGAGCGGUACGUAUUUAUCUACUUGCACUUUGACAUGCUUUCGAACUGCUAGGUUGGCAGGAGCUGGGACUGAGCAACGGGAGCUCACCCCUUUGCGGGGAUUCAAACCGCCGACCUUCUGAUUGACAAGUCCUAAUCUCUGUGGUUUAACCCACAGUGCCACCCGCGUCCCCAAUGACAAUAUAGAAUCCUGCAAUUCAGGAUGGGAUCUUCAGUCUUCCCCUGCCUAUUUUUUAUAUGCCACUGCUCUUCCUCAUGUCCCAUGCUGCACCAUUUCUUCCCUAGCCAGCCUUCAGAAAUAUGCCCACGGGGAGAAAGGGAACCUGGGAGAACUGGCAGAAAGAGAAGUUUUAACUACUACUUGCGCACAGGUCAAUUCUGCACUCCCUCCUAUUCUCAAAGUUCUGCUAGGUGGAGAGAAGGAUUAACACUAUAUCAGGUUUUGUUUUUUUUAAAAAAGGCAUGUCAUAAUGAUAUCAUUACAAACUUGGAGCCUUUACCUAACUCUGGGGUCAGCAAACAUUUUCAGCAGGGUGCUGGUCCACUGUCCCUCAGACCUUGUGGGGGGCUGGACUAUAUUUUGAAAAAUAAAUAAAUGAACAAAUUCCUUUGCCCCACAAAUAACCCAGAGAUGCAUUUUAAAUAAAAGCACACAUUCUACUCAUGUAAAAGCACACUGAUUCCCGGACCAUCCGCGGGCCAGAUUUAGAAGGUGAUUGGGCCAGAUAGUUUGCCUACCCAUGAGUCCUAACCCUCAUCAGUCCAAAUGGGAAAAAAUAAUUAAAUAGGGAAAUACUGAUAAACAUGUGUCGUUGGAGGAAUGUGCCACAGGAUACUAUUAAUAUAAGCCUCAAAGAAAGUGUCUACAAAAUAGGUUUUUUAAGUGGCAUUUAACGCUAAAGCAUCUUAGAUGUACAGUAUAGGCAAUAAGUCCACAAUGGAGAUGUAAGAAGCCUAAAGCCAGCAUUUUACACACAUAUUGGAAUUGUUCUCGAAUGAUCCAAAAAGAAGUGUUCCCCUGUUCCAUGAAAUAAUGUCAUAUAAAUAAUAACAUUUUGAGAUUGAGUCACUAUAUAUCAAGUUUCAAUUUAAGAGAGGGAGGUUUAAAAGGUUGGGUGGGUGGGUUUUUUUCUCACACUCUCUCACCAAAAUCUAGCACUAACAGGAUGUUUGUAACCAUUAAGCCAAAUCCAAAAUAGAGAGCGUGUAGGAUUAUCUUGAUUUAGGUUCAGGAUUCCCUGAUAUGCUUUUCAAAUCCUAGCAUGUGCAGUUUGUAUAUUUCUAAUUUUUGUUUGAACCUUGGUUUUAUUAAGUGUGGUUUGUACAGUUCAUGGCUUUAGGGACUAAACUGUAGCUUCAAGUCAUAUAUAGAGGAAGCUGAUUUAUACUGAGCCAUAGGUCUAUCUCGCCCACUUGUGUUUAGUGAUCAAACAGACUAAACUUCAGUCUGGCUGCCAACAGCUCCCCAAGGCCUCCUGAGGAGUUUUCCCCUCAGUCUUGCUGUUUCAGAUUCUUUAAAGUAGAGAUGGCAGGGAUAUUGCAUUUGGGAUCCUCUGUGCAAAUGUUCAUGUCUGGGCCCUGGAAAGAUAACAAAUAGUCUCUGCCAAGGGAAUUAUAAGCCACCACAUCCACCCCUUCUGUUCUGAGCCCACUAGGCUUGAUGUUUUCAUUGUUGUAGUGCUGUGGGAACCUUUUAUAGGAACAUGGGAAGCUGACUAACACCCAGUCAGAAAACAGAGAAUUAUAUUCACAGGCCAGCAGUGGAUCUCCAGAAUUUCAGACAGAGGGUUUUCCUGAUGGUCCUGCCUGGAGAUGUGAGGGACCUUAUGCAUGCAAAGUAGACGGUGUACCACUGGGCCACAUACCCUCCCCUGGAGUCCCAUGCCACUUCCAACGAUAUAUGGAUGAUGGAGCCAUGUUGGUUGUGAAAAUGAUGGGAUUUCUGCCCAUGCUGCCAUGCCCCUCCCUAAGGCCUGGUCAUUGUUUCUGUGUCCAUAAGUCACUCUCUUCAUGGGACACAUGCAGCUGGAUAUUAGCAGAGUAGCAUGAGGCUAGAGUCUAGACUGGGAGGGGGGGCAUGGCUUGUAUGUCACUGAUGGAAAUGAUUGAAUCCUGUGAACUGCUCUGAGACCAUAUACUACUACUAAUAAUAAUUGUUCUUAAGUGCUAAUGCUCACAAUUCCACUGCCUUGUUUUUUUUAAGUUUCCAGUCCUCAUUUCCUGUUGUUGCUGUCUCUGAUGAAAUAGGUUGUGCGUGUUUCGAAAUACUAUAAAAACUGGCAAAAGCCUGUUUAAAAGAGGUGAUGGUGGGGUGGUUGGGACCAUUCUAACUCUACAACUCUUUCAAGCUUAUAAUUGUCCUGUCGUAUCACCUUCAGCACUUAGCAGGGUGGGGUGGGGAUUGCUAUUUUCUGUCCCCACCUAGGAAGGAUAGCGUUAUGUACUAAGCUUGGAUCCUAGAACAAUAGGCAAGUAGGAUCCUAGAAUGCAACAACUGAUUGGCCAGCAGGAAAAGACCAAUCAGGCUCCAGGAGGGAAGCAGAAUCAGCCAAUCAGAUGGGUCUCAUUGUGUAAAUAAUGUAUAUAACAGCCUGAGGUUUUGGGGGCAAUUCUAUCAACUGUUUUACAAGCUGCAAUAAAGAGCAUGAAAUCACUACAGGACUCUGAGUAUAUUUCAGAUAGUCUUUACUUACCCUAAUUAAUGGGGGAGAGGCUCUCUCUCUCUCUCCCUUUUGUUAAUCAUGGCCAAUGAUGGUCAGGGGCAAUGGGAGCUAGACUCUGAUCACAACUGAAGGGAACCACAUGGGCUGUCUUUACCAAACUUGGUCCACUGGGAAAGGAGGGGCAGAGAGAGAAGGAACUUGCCCACCUGGCAUGGAUCUUUGUAUAAACUGCUUCAUAUUUGUCAGUUUUAGGCAUGUGUAAAUCAUGUGUAAAUUGGUGCAGAUUUAAUCAAUUAAAUGUUGAAUUGGUUGAAACUCAUAUAAUCAAGCAACUAAAAUUUCUCAAAUUAAUUUACACAUAGCCCUCUUGGCAAAACAGACAAGUAAGACGAAACCCAUUUUGCUCUGAACCUGAUACACAGAGCAGCUUUUUCAGAAGAGCAUUUCAUUUAUAGCAAAUAACUUAACAAGAUAAAAACCUCAGGAAAAGGACAAUAUAUUUACAGCAAUUGGAUUUGCAAAGCUGGGAGUAAAGGAUUAUUAAUUUGGAUAUGGUGCUUUCCCCCCCAGCAUUGCUAUGCAGCUGAAAUGCGCUUAUUGUGAACGGCAAGCCCAUUUCUAGAAAACAGUGCCGUUCAUUUUUGUUUGUUGUGCCUUGCGUGAAUAGGCCCCUUCAACGUGGGCCUUAAAAGUUAGCAUAUUUAUGGCCUGAGCCCGAAACAUGCUGCACCAGCAAAUAAAUUGGUCCAGAUGGAAGUAUUCAGGCUGCUGUGGCUGUGUAGCGUCACAAACCACAACGUUCUGUUGGCAUUGCAGGCAGAUAGUCUGGUGCAUGGCUGUGUAUUCGGGACUGGAACACUAGUGCGCAAAACGCCCUUUAGUUUCAACACCCCAAAGUGGUUCGGCGUGCAGAGACGGGAUAAAAUGUUAUAAUAAUGCAAGGAUUUGCCUGUGUUUCCGUGUACUUCCUCCUCUUUCUCUUGAACUUCUGCGCCAGCACACAGGACCAAGAUAUUUUGAGCCACUGUUGUAGGAAACUCAUAAUCUGUUAAUGGUGGCAGCUGCCUCAUGGUAAGGCUGUCCCUGUUAGCAGAAGAGGACAAGAAGAGGUGGCCAGGUCCAGGAAACUGAGAGGCAAAGGCAGAGAUGGAAGUCAGUAGGCCAUGAUGGGAAAACCCAAUAUCUUUGGGUAGGAGCUUUUCAAAUGUCUCUUAACACUCAAUAUUCACACAUAGCAAUUCAUCAGGAUUCUCCCCACAGGUCAUUUGGUGUCAGUUGGCCCAGUCAAAGUACAGUGGCACCUCAGGUUACAUACGCUUCAGGUUACAGAUUCAGCUAACCCAGAAAUAGUGCUUCAGGUUAAGAACUUUGCUUCAGGAUGAGAACAGAAAUUGUGCUCCGGCGGCACGGCGGCAGCAGGAGGCCCCAUUAGCUAAAGUGGUGCUUCAGGUUAAGAACAGUUUCACAUUAAGUACGGGCCUCCGGAACGAAUUAAGUACUUAACCUGAGGUACCACUGUAUGUGUUGGGAGGUGGGGGCAGUCCAGCCAUAGCCGGCUCUGUUGUCUUCUAUGACAGCCUCCUAGGUACUUUCCUUCUCCUUCCCACAGGACACCUGGUGUCACUUGUUUUUAGAGUUCCUCUAAACAUGUGCCGUGUAUCUCAUAACGUGAGUCGCCACAGACGACAACUUCCACAUUUAUUUGACCCCACAUAAGCUUCGGACUUCAAAGCCCUGCCUUAAAAACCUUAUGCAUUGCCAUAAAUCCUAGCAUAAGGCAGUGUUUCUCAAACGUGGGUCCCCAGCUGUUGUUGGACUACCAUCAUCCCUUACCAUUGGUCCUGCUAGCUAAAGGAUGGUGGGAGUUGUGGUCCAACAACAGUUGAGGACCCAAGUUUGAGAAACACUGGCACCAGGAGAGUCCUGUUGGAUCAGACCAAAGGUCUGUCUAGUUCUGAAUCCCGCACUGCACAGGAGACAGACAGGUGCCUUUUGGAAGUGCAUCAUCAGGCCGUGAUGGCAGUAAUGAUUUCCUGGUAGCAGACUCAGACGUGAAAUUUCGAUGGCUGUGUAGCCAAAAUGGGGCUUCUGUGAUACAAGAGGGAGGUAUCAGCCAACUCCCCUCCCCUUCAAAAAAUCCCAAUUCAAUGAGGAUUGAGAAUUCUCCAUAGGCACAGAAUGUUGUAUUUCAGUUAGAAAAUAAAAGUAAAAAUCUAAAGUAUCCCGAAGGAAGAUGUGGCUAGGUGUCUUGCUGAAACCAAGGAGAAGCAUUUCAGUUAGAAGGUGAGGAUGCGCUGUAAUAUUCUACAGCCUUUUAAAUGUCUCUGUGGGAAGGGGGUAUUGUUAUGUUGUUUUGGUUUAAUUAUUUACUUUUGUUUUAUCUUGUAUUUUAUUCUGCGAACCACCCUGAGAUCUUUUGAUGAAGAUAUAUAAAUUUAAUAAACAAAAUAAAACAAUUAAAAUGAAACGUUUUGUUGCAUGUGGCAUCUGUCACAGUCAAUAAUCAUUGAUAGACCCGCUUUCCUCCACGAAUUUAAUUUAAAGCAUGUGGCUUCCCCCAAAGAAUUAUGGGGACUGUGGUUUCUUAAGUGUGCUGGGAAUUGCAGCUCUGUGAAGAUGGGUAAACUACACUUCCCAUAAUUCUUUGGGGGAAGCAAUGUGCUUUAACUAUACAGCAUGGGUGUGAUUUAAACCCAUCCAGGCCACUUGCUAUCAUCUCACCUUGUGAUGGUGAAUUUCACAAAGUGAAUAUGGGUUGCACACUGUGGCUUAAGUAUUUUGUGGGCCAAACAGAGCACCACUUCACAUGUCUGCAGUGUGUAUUUGCCAUGGUAAACACUGGAAAACUGCACGUCCAUUGGAGAUAAGUAUACUCCAGGUAGCAGCAGCUAGUCACAGCCACUGGCCGUCUGGGUCAUCCAUUGUACACUCCUGCACUGAUGGAUACAUGGCAGGCAUGUCUGUUUAGUAAAGUGUGAAUCAGCCCUGGCAGUCAUUAUGAAACAAGCUCCUAUGACCAAAAAGGGAGAGAGCAAAAAUUAGACACGUUAUCACUGCGGGUUGAGGUAGUGUUUUGAAAUGGGACUUUUUCUCCCUUUCCCUCGCUCAGCGCCUCCCCCAAUAUAAUCCAUUGUUGAGUAAACAGUCAUAAAUCUGUUGCAGACGGACAGGCUACGCCUACUCAAAUUGCCUACUGCUGCAAUUUCAGCUUCAAGCUUUAAUGCCCUAAACAUGAAUAACUUUUGUGAGCAAGGCACAGAUCUGAUUAAUGAUGCAAGCUUGCCAACCACUGUAUUCAACAACUGCAACAGCAGAGCCGCACCCCGCCCUGUCCUUUAACUAACUAAAUAAGCAAAUUUCAGCACUGAAUUAUACAAGAGCACCAGAGCUUAAUAAACUGUAUUCUAAAAGACACGGCAGAUAAGGUUUCGUAGCCCCGCUGGGCUAGCAAACUCAGCAGACUUGUUCAUUUAGCUUUCUGUUUUCUGGUGUUUGCCAACUUUUUGUCUGUUAAUUCAGACGCAGGAGGAAGAACGUGUGUGGUUAUUUGGUCAAUUGGCUCCUUUCACAAACAGAUGGGUUCUCCCAAGCCUACUGUCUUUAAAUACACGUGCACGCACACACACAAAAUGUAUAUCAUGUUAAGUAUGCAGCAGAGUGGGACCCCUGCUUUGAUGUACUCCAAGAGGGUGCCAGAUGUAUUGCUCUGCUUUCCUUUGAACCACACCAGUGAGGCUGAGCGGGGGCAGCCCAGGACCUUCAUGCACACUGCUCAGGCUUGCGCCCCGAAGAGGUCAUUGUGGUGCUGCUGAUGCUGCAAAAGCAACACAGCAGGCGGCAGUUACGCGAUACCAGUCUCUGCAGCCACAGCAGGCGCUGUGACUUCACUCCUGGAAGCACAUUCCAUUGUUGCUCGAGGCAGAUCCCAACAGUGACUCCUGUGAGCAUGACUGCAGCUGUUGGCUUGCCACAAAUCUAGAGGGGACUUGUAAUUAAGAGUUACCAUCUCUUUCUUUUCUGGCAUGCUCAAGUAUCAGGCAAAAAUGGGUGUGUUUGUAUAUCACAUCUGUAUCUUGUUGUUGUUUAGUCGUUUAGUCGUGUCCGACUCUUCGUGACCCCAUGGACCAGAGCACGCCAAGCACUCCUGUCUUCCACUGCCUCCUGCAGUUUGGUCAAACUCAUGAUGAUGCUGGUAGCUUCGAGAACACUGUCCAACCAUCUUGUCCUCUGUCGUCCCCUUCUCCUUGUGCCCUCAAUCUUUCCCAACAUCAGGGUCUUUUCCAGGGAGUCUUCUCUUCUCAAUCUGUAUCUUAGCAGUCUUCUUUUAUCGUUGUUAGCCACUCUGAGCCCGGCUUCGGCUGGGGAGGGCGGGAUAUAAAUAAAAUAUUAUUAUUAUUAUUAUUAUUAUUAUUAUUAUUAUUAUUAUUAUUAUUCUGAGGAGUUCAAAGCAGAAAACAUGAGGCUAUCACAUUCUCCCACAUUCUGCCCAACCCAGUAAAACUGAGAGUUAGUGAUGGGCCCAAUGCUAUGAGCUACCUAUUGGAGGAGUUGAAAACUCAUGCCUGUAACCCAAAUCUAAUGGUCUGUCUGCUGUGCCACAUUAGUUCUGCUCUACAGCUGAAGUUUCUCCCAUUGUGAAGAGGCACUGAUGGGAAAACCUUGUCCUGUCAUUUUUGUGACUAUCAUCCCAGCUACUGAAAGGCAAAAGAGCUCAGCGAGGGAAGACAUGGCAAUUCACCCAGGAGUGGGUGAGGGGAACCUGGGGCCUUGAAGGUGUUUAUUACCUUAUUUCCAGAAACUUCUGCACUGUCAACAUCAAGGACAGAAAUCAUGGCAGCAUAAAGUCAACAACAAAAGUACGUUAAUAUAGUACAGUUGUUGGACUACAACUCCCAGCAUCCCAGACCCACUGGUAAUGCUGGCUAUGGUGGCAGACCACCAUCUGACCAACAUCUGGCAGACUACAAGUUCAAUAGACUUGCAAUAGCAGCAGUGACAGGAGGAAAAAUUUUCCGAUAGGGAUGUGGCUCACCAUUAGCAAUGAAAGUAAAGGUAAAGGUAAAGGGAACCCUGACCAUUAGGUCCAUUCGUGGCCGACUCUGGGGUUGCGGCGCUCAUCUCGCUUUAUUGGCCGAGGGAGCCGGCGUACAGCUUCAGGGUCAUGUGGCCAGCAUGACUAAGCCGCUUCUGGUGAACCAGAGCAGCGCACGGAAACGCCGUUUACCUUCCCACCAGAGUGGUACCUAUUUAUCUACUUGCACUUUGACAUGCUUUCAAACUGCUAGGUUGGCAGGAGCAGGGACCGAGCAAUGGGAGCUCACCCCGUCGCGGGGAUUCGAACUGCCGACCUUCUGAUCGGCAAGUCCUAGGCUCUGUGAUUUAACCCACAGCACCACCCGCAUCCCGCAGCAAUGAAAGUAGCAGAGCUUAUUUUUUUCCCCCUAAGCCUUUUGCUUGCUAGCUGCGUUGGCAGCCUGGCCACUAUUUUACUCCCCCUCAGUGCAUUAGACUAACAUCUUUCCAGGGCAUUGAAGGCAGAAAAUGGCAGGGUGCCACAAAAAUUGGUAGAGGAUAUUUGGAGAAAAUUCUGCAGCACUCCGUUUUCUAGGAAGGUGAGAAAAAUGAAAAUGAAAUCUUAGAAAUUUUCUCUGAGAUAUUUCAGGUCAGCUCUACUGGAUACAGUGCAGAUGUCCUGUAUGAAGGCCAGCAGACCUUUCCACACACAAGAACCAUCUUUUUUCCCCCUUUCUUUUUAAAGACUAGCAGUUGCUACAGCCUCUUUCAAGUAUUUAUUUAUAGCCAGGAUGAAAGAUAGAAACCUGCCUUUAAAAAAUGAGCGAUGAGAUUAUACCAAACCCCACUGAAUUUUGCAUAAGAUCUUAAAUUCCACACUGCCUGGUACGGUUGCUGCCAUGCAGCUUCCUAAACUCCCUGUUUAAGCAUUAUAUUCUCGUUGUGAUUUAUUUUCCCCCUGGAGUGCUGAAGUGAACACAGUCCACUAAAAUUAAUUCCAAGGGAAAAGAAACUGGUUCAAAUCUCCUGAGAGAUCAGGCUGCUGUUUCCCUGAGGGAAAGCCUCCUCGCCACUUGAGAAAUGUGCCUCUUGCUUGAUACAUUUUUCAUUCUCUGCAUAUUAGCAAAUUAAAAAAAGACAGCAGAUUUAUAUUUCCUGCAAGAGGUGAUUGUAUAACAGAAGUCAGCUAGUUUGUUUCCCUGUUUAUUUCAACAUGGUUAAUUGGCUAAUAAAGAUGCAAUAAUCUGAAUGGCAACGCGUUCCAAAAUAUGGAAACGUGUCUUUCUGCCCUGCCAAGCCCGUUUCGUUAAUCGCCAGCACAUUACGGUAAUAAAAAGCUCAUCCACUAAGUACAAAGCUGUAAUGCAAGACAUUACAACGGCCCUAAAUUUUGGUGAGCCGUCAGCACCAAUGCCAGGCUUUAAUUAUGAUUUGCGAAAGGGAGUUGCUGAACAACCAUACGUGUCACCUUUAUUGCCCUUGGGCCUAAAGAGAAUUCCGUUCUGAAAAAUGUCAGCAUAGCUUGGCUCCCUGACCAUCCAACAGGCAUAUGAGGGAGUGCCCGUAUUCCUUAUUUAUUGAUUUUGUUUUGCCCCCCACAAAAGAUCUGUGUGGCUACCGGUGUACUCAAGGCAAUUUGCAUAUAUCUUCUGAAAUAUUCUGAAACAGCAUAAUAAAAUAAUUGCAUAUGAAACAAAUAUAACAGCUAUAUGAGUGGAAGUAGCGUGCUCUUGGAGGUGCUGUGAUGACCAUUGAUUUUGUGAGCACUCACUUUGCAUGUAGAAGAUGACAGAUCAAACUCUUGACAUCUCUGAUUAGAAGGUUUUCAGGUGCCAUAAUUGGGAGAUGGGGCUCCUGCAAAUGAUCUGCAUUAUCAAGCCUCCCAGAGUGGCUGGGGAAACUCAGCCAGAUGGGUGGGAUAUGAAUAAGAAAUUAUUAUUAUUAUUAUUAUUAUUAUUAUUAUUAUUAAUCUUAGCUUACUUGCACAAAGCUUUCACAGAGGUUAGACUAUGUCUGAUCUUUAUUGAGUGUUCAUUCUGAUUUGUUUGUGGAGAGGUAAUAGGCCUUCCCGAUAAUUCAUUCAAAUGCAUUUCCUCAUCACUUUCCUAACAGCAGUUUAUUUAUUUAUUUACUAGAUUUGUUUCAGCAGAGUGCUUUAAUUGCACAGACCUACAUUUCUGCUAUAUGCUCUUGACUACCUCCCUCAAAAUACUGACUUUCUGGAAGCAGCUACAAAUGGACUAAAGCUCUAUCAUAGUACAAUUUUGUGACGCAGGUCUCCAAUGCAUGUUUUUUAUUUUAUUUUGAAUGCAUAUAUUGGGGACAGGCGCACCGAGUUAGGCCCAUCAUUGGAGGGGGGGCGUUGCACAUGCAUGACAUCACACACAUGCUGUCCCUCCCCCAGUCUGGCCAGGCCUGUCGGGACACACAGGCGUCCCUUUGAGGAUUGCCAGAGGCUUUCCCAGAAGGCUUUCUGGUGAUCACGGCAGGGGGCAUGGAGGAUGAAAAUCGCACUCGGUGCCUCCUGCUCUUAACCGGCAGGCCAGUGCUCACCUGGGGGCGGUGGAGGUUGGCAGCCCCCUCAAUAUUGGGGAGGCUCAGCCCCCUGCCUAGAAAUAUUGAGGAGGCUGAAGCCCCUGCUACCCCCUAUAGUUAGUGCCCCUGUACUGGGAUAAGGUGAAAAUGUUUCUCUAUAACAGGGGUCAGCAAACUUACUGCGCCUUGGGCCGGUGUCUCCAGCGCCAAUUGUGCGGCGGGCAGGAGGGUGGGGGAGCACGUGCCCAUACGCAUGUGCACACGCUACUUCUGGCGCACUUUCAGGUCAGAGGAGCAGCCGAAAUAGCUUGUGCGCAUGUGCACAGGCCUCCUCUGACCCAGAUGUGCACUGGAAAUAACAUACAUGCACAAAUAACACACAUGCACUCAAGCUAUUUCCAGUGCUCCUCCGACCUGGAAGUGGGCAGUGCAGUGCUGGUAAGAGUGGGCGGUGGGGGUCACUGCGUGCCGGAUAAACGAGUCCCAUGGGCCUUAUUUUGGGUACCCCUACUCUAUAACCAUGCCCUUGGCUGAUUAAACAAUCUAUGGCCUUUUGAUUGUGUUUGUGGGAGGGGGGCUAUUAGAAUUGUAGAUUUGGAAGGGACCACUGGGGUCAUCUAAGGGAUGCAGGUGGCGCUGUGGGUUAAACCACAGAGCCUCGGACUUGCCGAUCAGAAGGUUGGCAGUUCGAAUCCCCGCGACGGGGUGAGCUCCCGUUACUCGGUCCUUCUCCUGCCAACCUAGUACAGUGGUACCUCAGGUUCCAUCGCUUCAGGUUACAUACGCUUCAGGUUACAGACUCCGCUAACCCAGAAAUAGUGCUUCAGGUUAAGAACUUUGCUUCAGGUUGAGAACAGAAAUCGUGCUCCGGUGGUGCAGCAGCAGCAGCAGGAGGCCCCAUUAACUAAAGUGGUGCUUCAGGUUAAGAACAGUUUCAGGUUAAGAACGGACCUCCGGAACGAAUUAAGUACUUAACCUGAGGUACCACUGUAGUUCGAAAGCACGUCAAAGUGCAAGUAGAUAAAUAGGUAAGGUAAACGCUGUUUCCGUGCGCUGCUCUGGUUCUCCAGAAGCGGCUUAGUCAUGCUGGCCACAUGACCCGGAAGCUGUACGCUGGCUCCCUCGGCCAAUAAAGCGAGAUGAGCGCCGCAACCCCAGAGUCGGUCACUACUGGACCUAAUGGUCAGGGGUCCCUUUACCUUUACUGAGGUCAUCUAGUUCAACCCCCUGCAAUGCGGGAAUAUUUUGCCCAGCGUUGGGCUCAAACCCCCGACCCUGAGAUUAAGAGUCUCAGUGCAAGCAAGAAGCACUAUCAGAAGGACACAUUCCAGCCUGGCAAGAACAUUCAAGUAGAGCGCCAGCCAAGGCUGGUAACAGGUUUGGACUAGGUAGAGUUGGUGUGGCUGGGCAGGAGCAGGCCCUGGACCACUUUCAUCCUCCAACCCUGAUGUUCGCCAUCCCUGCCUUUCUGCUGUACUUCUAACAUAUGGGAGGGCAAGGGCAAACAGUGUUGUUUCAAUAGAUGAUAUUAUGGACUGAGGGUUUUCAUUGUGGUAGAGAUCUUUUUUUUAAGAAGGCUGGUUUUAGAUGGUUUCCCAGGGGUAGCCAGUGUGAUUACCUGCAGAUGUUGUUCAACUCCAACUCCCAUCAGCCCCAACCGCCGUACCAAUGAUAGGGGAUCAUGGGAGUUGUAGUCUAGCAACUAUUGGAGGGCAGUAGGUUCUCCACCCGCAGUGUAAAACAUAAAAAGUAUGUUAUGUUGUCUCACUCCAAAAAUGCUGAAAGAUACUGUCCAGUGUAUUCACAGACCUAUAACAGGAUCAGGGGUAGGGGUAGGGCCUGUGAGGGAAUGCCAGUGAAAUUCCCAAGAAAAAAGAAAAUUAGCAGAUCUGUUUGAGUCACACAGGCUCCUGCCAGGGACCACAGAGAGAUCGUUACAGGUAAAAAAUAAGCAAGUAACAAGGCUGCAAAUACAGUGGUACCUCGGGUUACAUACGCUUCAGGUUACAUACGCUUCAGGUUACACACUCCGCUAACCCAGAAAUAGUGUUUCAGGUUAAGAACUUUGCUUCAGGAUGAGAACAGAAAUCGUGCUUAGGUGGAACGACGGCAGCAGGAGGCCCCAUUAGCUAAAGUGGUGCUUCAGGUUAAGAACGGACCUCCGGAACGAAUUAAGUACAUAACCUGAGGUACCACUGUAUUCGAAAAGUGGACGAGGAGGAGGAGGAGGGGACGGGGAAGAACACAGCAGCUAUGAAUUGUUUUAUAGGUUUUGUCUCAGAAGCAUUUUUAGCAUUUGAGGUUCUGGCAUUUUGAAAUUAACCACAGUGACAAUUUCACAUCGUAAUUCAUGGGGGCUGAAGCAUUUAUGCUUCUCCUUCCACAGAACUUUCCGGACCCGACAGAUACAGCUAAACCAAUGCGAUGUAAAAGGCAUCUCAGCAUUUUCCACUGGCUGCGGAAUUGCCUGGAUUUAAUCCGUUAAUUACUUUUUACAUAUGGGAGGGGAGUAGAUACAACCCCCUGCUCAUAAAUUUCAUUCUCGUAGCCUUUGAACCGCAGCAACUUGUUUUAUUAUUUCAUCGUUACUGUUUUGAAUUCACAGCUACCAUUGGUGCCUUGGGUUGGAGGCAUUUUGUAUGGAGACAUGUUGUUGUAGCAGUCUCCAAAAUGAGAGACAGGCAGACUGCAUUCCUUAAACUAAUCUGGAAUUGACUUUUUAAUUUGACAUGGCCAUUAUGCAUCAAAUAGCUUUGGUCAUAACAAGACCAUACAUUGAAUACACAUGGAUUACCUUGAAGAAUCCUGGGAACUGUGGUUUACCCUUCACAGAACUACAAUUCCCAGCAGUCUUCAGUUCUCAGGAUUCUUUUGGGGGCACGGUGUACAAGAUGAUGCUCUUUUUCAUGGUUUCAGUUUUGGUUCAUGUGCAUUUGAAAAGAGCUGUUAUUCCUAUUAUCUUAUCUCCUAUUGGACAUAGCUGUGUGGCAAGCAUAUACAAUCGUACCUUGGUUUUUGAACAGCUUAGUUCUCGAACGUUUUGGCUCCCAGACGUCGCAAACCCAGAAGUGACUGUUCCGGUUUGCAAACUAUUUUUGGAAGCCGAACGUCCGAUGGGACUGCAGCCAAUCAGAAGCCACGCUUUGGUUUCCGAACGUUUUGGAAGUCAAACAGACUUCCGGAAUUCAACUUUCAAGGUUCGACUGUAUUGUAUUGGCUUUUUACUGCCUCAACUAUAAUGGCUUCUAUAGAAGAAUCCUGGGAAUUGUUGCUUUUAGAGAAGGUGUAGAAAAUUCUUCAGAUCCACUACAAACUCCAGUUCUCUGGCAGUGGACAUUAAACUUAAGCCCAUUAAAGUCUUCGAUGUAAAUAUGUCCUUGGUGUGUCCUUUAAUGUUUAAAAGCAUUAAAAGCCGCUGCUGGAUCAGGCCAAAGGCCCAUUUCAUCUAGCAUCCUGUUCUCACAAUCACCCAUCAAAUGAGCACAACAGCCUUUUCCCCACUUGUGAUUUCCAGCAGCAAGUAUUCAGAGGCACAACAACAACAAUUUUAUUUAUACCCUGCCCAUCUGGCUGGGUUGCCCCAGCCACUCUGGGCAGCUUCCAACACACAUAAAAAUAAUAAUAAAACACCAGACAUUAAUAUUAACAAUCAGAUCCUAUGUGAAAAGUUACAAUACCUUUAAAAUAAACAACUUAUAUCAAACCUUAUUCUUACUUUUAUUAUUUAUUUAAUUUAUAUACUGCUCUAUACCUGCAGGUCUCAGGGCAGUUUGCUGAUAAAUAAAGCAAUAUUCAAAACUCCAUUGGAAUCCAAUAGUCAACAGUAAAAUUAAAGAUCGGCAAAUAAUAAACAGUUUACACUUAUCAGUUACAAUAAAGAAUUGCUAAUCUAUAAUCAAUUAAAAAAAACAGCAAAUCUCAAUGCAUGAAAUACCACAAAACAUGCAAAACAAUGUAAAAGGAUCAAAUUGAGAAACAAAGAUACACAACUUAUAGAACUGUUUUUUCAAAACUAUCACUGAGCUCCUCUCUUCCCAGCUGCUUCUGCUGUUGUCAAAAUCAUGGUCUGUGAAAGGCUUAGACUUGCUUCAGCCAUUGGAAGCAGAAUGUAACCAUCAUGGCUACCAGCUUGUUGUGCCUUCUGUGAGAGAAGAUAUUCAGAUAUACCAAAAUUUCAUUGCACAGCUGGCCCCAUUGGCAGCAGCCUGCACACACCACCAUUCCCCUGAGACACCUGAGCUAGCCUCCUUUGAGCACCCCUGGGCUAGCCUACCAUCCUCAGGUGGACAGUGUACUAUCAUCAGUGUUAAUGCCCGGUUGGAUUCUGCACAUAGAAUUGUAGGGAUUGGAAGGGACCUCAGGGGUCAUCCAGUCCAUCCCCCUGUGUCGAGUUCGUACGGAGCCCCCGGUCGUCUCACGGACUAUUGACCUGUACACCACUAAUCCGCUGCCACCAACCAGGUCCUCCCUGGUAAAUCACUUAGUCUCAGUCAGGUUCUUAGCAAAGAAGAGUGUAGUUUAUUGCAAACACAAAUAAACUUUAAGUGCAUUCAAAACGUUGUUACUCUUUACCUUCUUAGUCUUAUUUUAUCCUCUCUCUAACGCUUCUACCUCCCCUCACAAAUGAACCAUCUGCACUAACUGUCUCUCUAAUUCCAGCUGUCUGCCAGCUGCUUUCCCAACUGCCUUUCCCAACCAACCAACUAAAACCAACCAAUCCAAACCUCGGGCUAAGCCCUUUUAUAAACAGGUAGGCUCCGCCUCUGGCUUUUCUAUUGGUCUACCUAUUGACUCUUUCUCUCCCCCGUACAGAUAUUUUCAAACGAACGGUCAAACGUCACACCCUGCAAUGUAGGAAUCUGCCCACAGCCAUCCCUGGGUAGGCUUGAACUAUCAACCUUCUCUGGUUAGCAGCCAGGCACACUGACCCUUAUUGCGCCCCAACAACCAGCAGUUGAGAGGAGGGCGCCAUCUUGUCCUUUGCGCCAGGCAAAAAAAUGCCACAAGCCCCCACAGUUGUUGCUGUUUCAUUCUGUGGUCUCUCCUCCCCACCCCGGACCAAAAGUUCAAUGGAUUUGGAAGGGAAGAAAGCAGGGUGGAUUUGAUUUAAAUCAAAUUGAUUUAAAUCAUGAUAUAAAUUACUAGUCAGUAAGACUUGAUUUCAAUCAUAUAUUUUUUUACAGAAAGACUAAUUCUUGCUGGCAUAAUCUUAAUAUUUACAACCAGAUGAAGGUUUCAUUUUUGGAAUAGUAAAUUUUCAGAGUAGUUUUUACAGUUCGGCUAUAUCAAAAAUUACUGAUUUGGUUAUACUAUUAGAAAUACAUAGACAGAGAAUUAUGAAAUUAUUGUGAGGUUUAAUAAGUUAACUUUCUAUUUGGACAACUUUUCUGCUGUACUUUAUUGGAAUGAGAAGAAUAAUCAUUUCCUUAAUAACAAUUUAAACAAUUUAUUUAACCAAAACAAUAACAUUAUAGCAUAUUUAUCCAUGUUUGUUAUCUGAGGUGGUUAAACAGUUUUUUAAAAAAACAACUUAGACUGAGUUUUAGCGCACAUGAAAAACUUAAAUCUUUAUUUCCUGAUGAAUCGCCUUUGGACUACAAUGUAACUUAAAUAGAAAACUAUAUUUAGAAAGAUUUUUCCUCCAAAAGCAUUUCAUUUUAAAAACCCAAUUUAAAUAACAAAACUGUUAGAAAUAAAAAAAUCUGAUUUAAAUAAAAAAAAUUGAUAUAUAUAUAUAUAUAUAUAUAUAUAUAUAUAUAUAUAUCUCGUUGAUUUUUAUCCACCCUGAAGGAAAGUGAUUUCCUAAAAAUACGGACGAUGUUGUUAAUAGCAUUCACCUGAGAAGCAGGCCACCAGAAAGGAGCGUAAAGGAAGGAUUCCCUUUUAUUCUCUUUACCCAAGCUUCACAAUUCUAGCUAAUUUAUGGAAGGAUUAUGGAAAGAUAAUCUGUGCCGUUUUUGUUUUACGGUGCAGGGGAUGAUAUAUAGAUUUAAAGCUCUGGCAUUUCUCCAGCCGUAAGGGCUGAGUGCCAACACAGGCCGCAGUGCCAAAAAGCUUUCUCCCCACCUUAGCUUCUCCCCUUAGCUUUGUAUAGUCCUCAGCCUUGACAUUUCGGUAUAGAGUGGGUCUCAGAUGAGCUUUUCUGCCAUCAAGGUUGUGUCAUCUGCAUAUCUGAGGUUGUUGAGAUUUCUUCCGGCAAUCUUAAUUCCGGCUUGGGAUCCAUCCAGUCCAGCCUUUCACAUGAUGAAUUCUGCAUAUAAGUUAAAUAAGCAGGGGGACAAUAUACAGCCUUGUCGUACUCCUUUCCCAAUUUUGAACCAAUCAGUUAUUCCAUAUCCAGUUCUAACUGUAGCUUCUUGUCCCACAUAGAGAUUUCUCAGGAGACAGAUGAGGUGAUCAGGUACUCCCAUUUCUUUAAGAACUUGCCAUAGUUUGCUGUGGUUGACACAGUCAAAGGCUUUUGUGUAGUCAAUGACACAGCCUUGAUGGCAGAAAGUGAGGAGGAAUUAAAGAACCUUUUAAUGAGGGUGAAAGAGGAGAGUGCAAAAUAUGGUCUGAAGCUCAACAUCAAAAAAACUAAGGUCAUGGCCACUGGUCCCAUCACCUCCUGGCCAAUAGAAGGGGAAGAAAUGGAGGCAGUGAGAGAUUUUACUUUCUUGGGUUCCAUGAUCACUGCAGAUGGUGACAGCAGUCACAAAAUUAAAAGACACCUGCUUCUUGGGAGAAAAGCAAUGACAAACCUAGACAAGCAUCUUAAAAAGCAGAGACAUCACCUUGCCAACAAAGGUCCGUAUAGUUAAAGCUAUGGUUUUCCCAGGAGUGAUGUAUGGAAGUGAGAGCUGGACCAUAAAGAAGGCUGGUCGCCGAAGAAUUGAUGCUUUUGAAUUAUGGUGCUGGAGGAGACUCUUGAGAGUCCCAUGAACUGCAAGAAGAUCAAACCGUUCUAUUUGUUUUAUUUCCAUUCUGAAGGAAAUCAGCCCUGAGUGCUCACUGGAAGGACAGAUCCUGAAGCUGAGGCUACAAUACUUUGGCCACCUCAUGAGAAGAGAAGACUCCCUAGAAAAGACCCUGAUGUUGGGAAAGAUGGAGGGCACAAGGAGAAGGGGACGACAGAGGACGAGAUGGUUGGACAGUGUUCUCGAAACUACCAGCAUGAGUCUGACCAAACUGCGGGAGGCAGUGGAAGACAGGAGUGCCUGGCGUGCUCUGGUCCAUGGGGUCACGAAGAGUCGGACAUGACUAAAUGACUAAACAACAACAAAAGUUGAGCUUUGUUUGAAUUGGUAAUUCCUGGCUCCAUCGGCAGCUUUCAAAGCUGAGCUACGGUCCCUUGAGUUCAGUGAGAUUUACAUGCCAGCGUAUUCUGAUUUUCUUCCGAGGAACCUCCGAGUGACAGCGAUGGCCCAUCUGUGGCUGCAAGAGUGGUGGCAAGUCCCCACCCCCCCAGGGCACACCUUAUUCCAAAGAGGAGGAAACAAAAUCAUUAAAAAGUCACUUCCAUUAAUCAUUCUUAUUAAACGUAGAGGAUAACGCUUAAAAAAGAACUUUUAACUCCAUGCAAGCAGCCAAACAGGAGUCCUGCCAGAAGUGUCAUGCUUCAGGACUUAACAUGAUGUCAUUCGCAGAGCUAACAAAGGAAAAUGAGAAAUUAAUGGCACAAGCUAUACAUUGUAUCAUGCAAAGUGUAGCUGGGGUUUUCCUCAAGCUUCUUGUGGUGUGUGGCAUUGUAUUAUUGGCAGGGAGAAGGUCUUGCAAAGAAGCACAUUUUAGCUUGCGAGCAUUUUCUACUGCUCUCUCACAAGACUACAGGUUUUCGGAUUUUUACUUCCGGCUGGGAAAAAGUAACAGGACUCCAGGCAGAAUAAGUUCAAAUGCACUGCCGCCACAAACCUAAAUUCUUCUUCUUGUUGUUGUUCGCCAGUGUAAUGUACUGAUUAUUUUAUUGGGCUGAGGCUGGAGAGACCUGUGUUCAAAUGCCGCUCCACCAUGAAACUUACCGAUUGACUUUGGGCCUGCCUCUCGACUUCCCUCAGGGCUACUGUGGGGGUGCAAUGGGGAAGGGAUGAGCCAUGUGCAUUACCUUUGAGGUAAAGAUGAUAAAUGUAGCAGUAGUCGUAGAAGCAGAGAUCUAUGUAAGUCAAUUUUUUGAAUGUAGAGCUUUUUCUGAUUCCAGUUUUCACACCACACUCAUAUUCUCUGCUCUCUCACACACUUGCUGAGCCUACUCAUUCACAAUAUUGAUGUACACAAUUACUCAGACACGUAAUUCAUAUACUGGUGUCGUUACAUUGCAAAUCCAACGUUCAAAUACACAAGUCUAACCACGAGCCAAACAGAUAUGUAGUAUUGCCUUUUCCUUUCUCUGUUGCAUAGGCCUAGUGUGCUGGCAUGUUUUAUUUUAAACUCCUGAGCACAUUGAGAUGUUCAUAAACAUUGCACGGCACCUCAGUGUUAAGCCGAUGGCUAGGGAGGUCCGGUUUCAAUAUAACAAUGCCACAAUUUUGUGGUUUUUCUUUGGAAAUACAUAUUUUUUAUGGCAACACACACACACACACACACAGAGAGAGAGAGAGAGAGAGAGGGAGACCUAUCCACUUUUUCUUGAGGUUAAUUACCUUCAUUGGGCAUCAGUUAAUUUUUGUCACUUUUAAGUAAAUUGAUGAUUUUAAAAAACCCUCCAAAUGUUUAAUUGAUGUUUUCCUGUUGCUGCCUCUGGAUGCUCUAUUAAUAGUGCUGCCGAUCAUCAGACUGUUCCCUUCACUUCUGUUAACUGCUGGCUGUGCUGUUUCUUCCACUGCGAUGCUUUGAGACUUUGAGGAAAAUGGUUAAAAUAAAAAUUGAAUCAGUUUAUUAUAUAUAUAUAUAUAUAUAAACAUUUAUAUACUCCUAUUUCAUUUAAAAAUAUCAAAGUGGUUUACAACAAAAGUACAUAAAACCAUACAGUAAAACCAUUAAAAAAAGAAGAAGCUAAAAACAGACAUUAGUUAACCUUUGUGGAAAUAAGUGUUUUGAAGCGCUUGCAUAAACCUGGUGGAAUAGAAGAGUUUUGAGCAGGCGUUUAAAAAGUUGAAACAGAAGGUGCCGGCAGAAUUCCACAGGACUGAGCUGAUGACAUUCACUUUUUGCUACCAAGUGAGUUUCACCAGCUCAUGGAAAGACCAAGUUUUGAGGGAUUUAGGAAUAGAAUGAAAUGUAAUAAAAGGCAGUUUGCAUUUUUUGUGAUCUUACUCACUAGUGUGGAGUGCCAUCACACAUCCUUUUUGUGCUGUCAGCCAGGGCAUUUUUAAUAUGAUAUGAAUAUAUGAGUGCUAGCAGCUCAUUUUUUUUACCAGAGAGAGAGAGAGAGAGAGAGAGAGAGAGAGAGAGAGAGAGCGCCUUGAUAAAAUUUAUUAAUGUUCUGUUUUGGCCACAUCCAUUUUUUCACCUCUGCCAUCUCACUUUAUCAUGCAGCCCUCGGUGGGAUAGCCAUGGGUCAGUGCAGCCAUUCGCCCAGAAGAUGUUAGCUGCCCCUGUACUAAGGCCCUAUGCCCCCCAUGCUUGGACCUUAACUGUGCUUCUUGCACUUCAUGACUUUUCAGUUCCACUGUUUACAUUUUCUCCAUUCUCUAGCCAUAUACGUAUGUGCCAAAUAUCCACCAGCUGGGGAGGUGUUUCAUGCAACUUGAAGGAACAAAGCACUUGAAGAAGCAUCUUCCUCUGUACCAGCCAACUCAAGUUUUGUGAACUCCAGGGGAAGCUGUGCCUGUGGUUACCUCAUGAGAUAUGGCCUGAAGGUUAGGGGUGGGGGUGGGUGUUUUCACACAAGACAGAGCCUUCUUGGUGGUGGCACCCUCUGUAGGGAGCCGAUUAUCCCCCGCACUGUGUUCAAUCAGGCAGCAAGUCCUAUUUGUUCCAGCAGGUCUUUGGAGCACAACAGGACACUGUAUUAUGCUGUAUUUUGCUUCUGCUUUUUCUUUUAUUGUUGCAAUUUCAUUGUCAGUCUCCCACCCCCCAAGCUGUCGUGAACAGAAAAGUGAGGUAUAUGAAAUAAUACAACAACAAACAAACAAUUAAUGAAGGGCUUUAGCCCAUGGUAACGUAUGCGCCAAUAAAUCUGUUAGUCAUUAAAGAGACACAUGGUUGCCUCUGGAAUCUGAGGUGUGCUUUGUCAUUUAGUGCCAAGAUUGUGGCUUCCUUUCAUAUAAAGCGUCCUUCUCUCAUCUGGUUUGGGGUGAGCGGGGCAGGAGAGUGCGAGCGAUUCUCUUUUAGUUGCAUUUUUCUGCCCAUCUCAGUGGCAGAGCCGAACCAUUGAAUAUUUGCCAUUCUGUUCGCAGUCACGGGAGCCAACUGUUUAUUGCUUUCUUUGGUUUGCGUCUGAGGGUGGGGAAUAUCCUGGUGCAAGUCCUCUUUUUUUGGUCUUAUUUCCUUUUAAUCGGUUUGGGUUUUUUAACGGAACGCCUUGCACUUUUCAGCGGCAGCAGGCUUUCCCUAGGCGUGACGCUUGUUUCGCCUGCCCCAGUCCUGCAGGCAACCUCCCUCUAAUGGCCUGUGAUAUUGCAAAGGUGUUUUUAUAGCAAAAUGUGGUGAAGAGAGAAGAGUAUUUUUAGGCUGGGAGAUCAAGGGGAGAAGGCUGCAUCUGGUAGGUUUUUAACCGCAGAACCUUUUUUUUAUGGUGGGUUCAGAGUUUGGAGUGGCUGGAGGCCAGAGGCUGACAAGAGGUUGGCUCUCUGCUUAUGCUACCUCCGGGUUCAGAGGCAACACGCAUCUCACAGAAUGACCGCUCCCCGCUUAAAACGCGCUCAGCCCUAGAUCUGGAGCGGCCCCAUCAGCAUAGGCUUGGCUUUGCCUUCCCUCAGGUGGGAUACCUGGAGGUCCCCGCCUACCUCAGUCAGUUGUCCAAUCCCACCUGGGGGAAGCGUUGCCAAGGAGACCAGGCCAGGUAGGGGAGGGAUUACCUGCCCACACAAUAGAGGGAGGAUCUUACCUGGGAAUCCUCACUUGGCUCCAGAGCUUCUCCCACCCUACCCACCCUCAGUUAAUGUCUUCCUUUGCAGGUUAACUUUUCUUCAUAGGUUUUGCAGGUUAACUUUUCUUCACAGGUAUGCGGGCGCUGCUACGAUAAGGUCGCUGUUAAAGGGCCGGAAAGGAAUUUCCCUGCAUUGGCAGGUUUCGCCUUUCCCGUAGCAAAACGUCACAACUUUGGCGGUAUCAGGCCUUGGGCAGAAUCCUUUAGUCCAUCUUCCUCUUUGCGGCGGCUAUACCAGGGUUCCCUGUUAAAGGGGUUUCUGAAGGGAGGCUUUGACCGUACGCUGAAAGGUCGUCAUUGCUCUCCCCUGCGACGGCGGCGU
RNAcentral lists this long non-coding RNA (90137 nucleotides) under Podarcis lilfordi (Lilford's wall lizard). The record is from RNAcentral. Lineage: Eukaryota; Metazoa; Chordata; Lepidosauria; Squamata; Lacertidae.